This 138966-nucleotide long non-coding RNA is filed under the name Eucalyptus grandis. Its description in RNAcentral is "long non-coding RNA (EGRA_LNC003508)". The record is from RNAcentral. Lineage: Eukaryota; Viridiplantae; Streptophyta; Magnoliopsida; Myrtales; Myrtaceae.
CACUCGGUUCAUCCAUAACCCUGAAUCGUAGAACGAUUCAACCGGACCCUGGAAAGAGAAAAUGUGAAUGUUACAAAAUAGAUUAGUACAAGAGGUGAGUAUCGACUGUGUAAUCAUGUAUUGCUACAACAUAAUUGCCUCGCAAGGUUUUGGAGGAAACGAGCAGGGGACUUCCGUGCCCUUAGGAGAGCUAUGCUAGCUUCUCCUCUCAUUUCAGCUGGCUGNNNNNNNNNNNNNNNNNNNNNNNNNNNNNNNNNNNNNNNNNNNNNNNNNNNNNNNNNNNNNNNNNNNNNNNNNNNNNNNNNNNNNNNNNNNNNNNNNNNNNNNNNNNNNNNNNNNNNNNNNNNNNNNNNNNNNNNNNNNNNNNNNNNNNNNNNNNNNNNNNNNNNNNNNNNNNNNNNNNNNNNNNNNNNNNNNNNNNNNNNNNNNNNNNNNNNNNNNNNNNNNNNNNNNNNNNNNNNNNNNNNNNNNNNNNNNNNNNNNNNNNNNNNNNNNNNNNNNNNNNNNNNNNNNNNNNNNNNNNNNNNNNNNNNNNNNNNNNNNNNNNNNNNNNNNNNNNNNNNNNNNNNNNNNNNNNNNNNNNNNNNNNNNNNNNNNNNNNNNNNNNNNNNNNNNNNNNNNNNNNNNNNNNNNNNNNNNNNNNNNNNNNNNNNNNNNNNNNNNNNNNNNNNNNNNNNNNNNNNNNNNNNNNNNNNNNNNNNNNNNNNNNNNNNNNNNNNNNNNNNNNNNNNNNNNNNNNNNNNNNNNNNNNNNNNNNNNNNNNNNNNNNNNNNNNNNNNNNNNNNNNNNNNNNNNNNNNNNNNNNNNNNNNNNNNNNNNNNNNNNNNNNNNNNNNNNNNNNNNNNNNNNNNNNNNNNNNNNNNNNNNNNNNNNNNNNNNNNNNNNNNNNNNNNNNNNNNNNNNNNNNNNNNNNNNNNNNNNNNNNNNNNNNNNNNNNNNNNNNNNNNNNNNNNNNNNNNNNNNNNNNNNNNNNNNNNNNNNNNNNNNNNNNNNNNNNNNNNNNNNNNNNNNNNNNNNNNNNNNNNNNNNNNNNNNNNNNNNNNNNNNNNNNNNNNNNNNNNNNNNNNNNNNNNNNNNNNNNNNNNNNNNNNNNNNNNNNNNNNNNNNNNNNNNNNNNNNNNNNNNNNNNNNNNNNNNNNNNNNNNNNNNNNNNNNNNNNNNNNNNNNNNNNNNNNNNNNNNNNNNNNNNNNNNNNNNNNNNNNNNNNNNNNNNNNNNNNNNNNNNNNNNNNNNNNNNNNNNNNNNNNNNNNNNNNNNNNNNNNNNNNNNNNNNNNNNNNNNNNNNNNNNNNNNNNNNNNNNNNNNNNNNNNNNNNNNNNNNNNNNNNNNNNNNNNNNNNNNNNNNNNNNNNNNNNNNNNNNNNNNNNNNNNNNNNNNNNNNNNNNNNNNNNNNNNNNNNNNNNNNNNNNNNNNNNNNNNNNNNNNNNNNNNNNNNNNNNNNNNNNNNNNNNNNNNNNNNNNNNNNNNNNNNNNNNNNNNNNNNNNNNNNNNNNNNNNNNNNNNNNNNNNNNNNNNNNNNNNNNNNNNNNNNNNNNNNNNNNNNNNNNNNNNNNNNNNNNNNNNNNNNNNNNNNNNNNNNNNNNNNNNNNNNNNNNNNNNNNNNNNNNNNNNNNNNNNNNNNNNNNNNNNNNNNNNNNNNNNNNNNNNNNNNNNNNNNNNNNNNNNNNNNNNNNNNNNNNNNNNNNNNNNNNNNNNNNNNNNNNNNNNNNNNNNNNNNNNNNNNNNNNNNNNNNNNNNNNNNNNNNNNNNNNNNNNNNNNNNNNNNNNNNNNNNNNNNNNNNNNNNNNNNNNNNNNNNNNNNNNNNNNNNNNNNNNNNNNNNNNNNNNNNNNNNNNNNNNNNNNNNNNNNNNNNNNNNNNNNNNNNNNNNNNNNNNNNNNNNNNNNNNNNNNNNNNNNNNNNNNNNNNNNNNNNNNNNNNNNNNNNNNNNNNNNNNNNNNNNNNNNNNNNNNNNNNNNNNNNNNNNNNNNNNNNNNNNNNNNNNNNNNNNNNNNNNNNNNNNNNNNNNNNNNNNNNNNNNNNNNNNNNNNNNNNNNNNNGUGGAGCGUCAUCGUAAGAAUAGGAGAUGUCACCACACUAUCGGCAAUUCGCAAAUGCGAGUUUCAGCAACGGGUAAUGUUUGCAUAUGCACUGAAGAACAAUCUAAACAUGGUGAAGUUUGUUGUCUAAGUUGGAGUGAUGAAUUAGCCCGACCAACAAUAUAGUUGUGUAAAUGUUAACGACAUGCCAUGCCUUACCGCGUGUGCUCAUGCAAAACCAUCAAUUGGUCUUCAUUGAGAGCCAGAUGUUAAAUGAGUAGUUGACUCCGCAGCAACCCGUAUACAUGGACAGUAAGAGAUUUGAAUGCUCUAAUAGAUAAAUCUAAAUGCUCAAACUGUAAGAGAUAUCUGUCAACUUACUUGCCGGUCAAAAUCAAUGGUGUGAAUGGAGAAAACUUCAUUGGCUAUUUGAAUGUCUUUACUGAUUAAACCAUCCAAGCACCUGCUUGGUAUGCUUGCAUUUUCACUACACUCCUGGGAAUAUAAAAUUGAAAAGCAAGUCAACAUCGAGAAACCUGAACGAAUGCUAGAGAAGGAAGAUGGACAUUUUGAAGAACUAAAGUUUCAUGCAUGACCAAUGGAUCACAUCACUAAUGAACCACCUUUUCAAUACAUGUAAGAUUUGGCAUAUUUGAUGGGUGAUGAAGAUCUCACACCAUCUCUGCCUCCAAAAAGUUGUAUAUCCCGUAUUAUAUCUUUGGAUAAUUAAAAAAAAUUGUUCAUUGUCUAAAUCUGCAGUAUCACUAAUAAUCCAUCGAGCCAAGAUUCAACCUUGCUGUGCACCUAAAAAAAGGCAGGAGUAACCCUUGACAAAAUUGGAAAUGAGAUAUUAAUGGCUCCAUAUCAGAAUACAAGUUAGAUAUGUUCUCGCUGAAAUUUUUUGCAGGAAAAACUGCUCCCACUCUGCACUACUUACUAUGCGAAGUUUAACAUAAGUCUCUCUUUUCCACUAAAAAAGUAGCAAGUUUGGUUACUUAGUAACUACUUUAUCCAAUAUAUGUAAGACUUUGAUUUCGAAUUUUGGGUUUCAUCCAAGACCUUUUUGGCCAGUAAAGGGCAGAGCAAAUGGAUUCUGUUGCAGAAAGAUUCAUGUGAACUCUGCUGACCAAAGUUGCACAGAGCAAUUAGGGAAGACAAACAUCGUGCAAGGUUGAGGAGGAAAUGGAUUGAUGCUGCUUUCACAUCCAGCAUCAUUCUAAAGAAAUACGGAGAACCAGAUGAAAAUGCAGAAAAAGAAAAAGAAAGUGAUGCGGAUUCAAAGAAAGGGACGUAUGAAUUUAAAGGCAAAGGUGAGCUGCCACAAAGAUUGCAUCUUCUGAGGAACACUUUUUUUUAGACAAUUUUAUGUAAGUUUUUGUAUUAUAUGAACUAGACCAGAUUAUUUGGCACAUUCAAUGUUUCAAAUUUAUCGUAUCCUUUACAAUAUUGAAAAGGUAAAGUAAUUAUUAAUUUCAAGCAUGUCUAUGAAUGCAUAAAUCUAAGUGGUGAUAGUAUUUUACAGAAGAUAAUAUAUUUCCUUUCUCCCUCCACAUACGUUCCCUGCAUAGCGUAUCUGCUUUUCUGCAGACUCAAAUCAUUAAAAUGUUAUAUCAUUAACCUAUUAAUUAUAUGUGUUAAUCAUCUCUUUUACUGCUAGGAUAUAGAAAAAUUGCCAUGCAUGCAUGUAUUAUGUUGCAUGGUCUAAUAUAACUAAUCUGACAUAUAAAGUUUCCAUGGCUUAGGACACCCAUAGAAAUCAGCACCUCUCAGUAAAUUCGAAGCCAGGGAUUCUAGUCUAUGCUUCGAUUUUUUAAUAAAAACCAGGGCACUAAGUAUCAAACCAAGUAAGUACAGGUAAAACUUUCUUCUCUAGGUGAUUGGGAAGUCGACUCCUCACACAUCCCAUACAUGUUGAACUUUUUCUCCUCUAAGAGGAAGUAAAUGAAUCCUUACGAGGCAGCAGUAGGCAAUGCAGAUUUUUCUUCAGUGACAGAGUUAAAACCAGGUACCUCCUCCUCUUCCUCGUGUUCUUGCUCAAAAUCUUCUUCUCCUUCAUCAUCAUCUUCGCCAAACCACACCUCGGAUACAGAUAAAGCUUGCAGCCUACGGUGGUCACCAUCUUUCAUAGCCUCAAUUAAAGCAUCCAUUAACACAGGUUCAACUUCUCGCAGGCUCGCAGCAACUUCCCUAACAAAUAUGAUUCAUUAAGGAAGUUUACAUUGGAUAUUAUGGACUCGUGAGGCAUCAAUGAAUCAAUGAAUCAUUGAAUCAACACCUCUCGUGCGUAUUUUGUAAAAUAAAACUAAAGUAAAAUACCUUAGCAAAAAAAAAAAAAAAACUAAAUAAAACUGAAGAGAAAAAAAGCCAAGGACAUUUGUGUUCCAUCUGGAAAUGAAAAAAAGCAUUCAGCAAGCAAAAUCUCAGAUUUUUUGCACAGCUUGAGCAUUCAUGUACGCCUCUCACGAGCACAUCAUUAGCAAUUACUUAUCAUUCAUCAAUUUAUGCUCAAGGAACUAUACUGCAAUUAUCAUCCAAGCAUUUCAAAAGUACAAGCUGACAUACUCACACACAAUCUAAAGGGGGUGAAAAGGGGGCAGUCAAAAAAGAGCUUCUUAUCUUAAGAACUAUUUUUUUGGGCAAGAACUCAUCGUGCAAUGGCCAAGCAUAGCAAAGAAGAUACCAGGUGAACCGGCAAAGAAAGGCAAAAAGAUUCUCACGAACACACACAUCCACACUCACAAAAACAUGAAUAAAACUUGACAGUACCAAUGAAAUUGAACUGCCUUCGCUUUCCUUCUCGAACAUCCGGUCCCCGUCUCUGCGACAAAUCGACAAACAUCUCAACGGCAUUAACAAGUAACAACUCGGACCAAAAGCCUCACCAGAAACAGCCACGCAUUGGAGAAGCAUCACCUUCGCAAGCAUCCGAGCGUCCAACGCCGCUUGCUCUCCAGAAAAGCCACUCUGCAAUCUCCCUUUUAAAAGGAAAGGAUAAUGAAUCUACAGCGCUACGUUAUUGAACAUCAUUAUAUACACAUCAUUUUUUCAUCCCAGCAGUAUCUGAGGAAGCGCUUGAUUUGGGGAUGGGAAAAGGAAGCGAGCUCCACGCCUUCUUCUGGUUGAGGCUCUUCUGGGCGUCGGAGUCGCUGCCGACAUCUUCUCGGGGAAUCGUACGGCGGCGGGCGGUUGGAGAAUCUGAGCCCGCGCGGCCGGUGAUGGACCUCGCGGUUACACCGUCUGGAACAGAAAACGUUGAGGAUGCGACGUUGUUCAAAAGGGCGAAAGAGAUAUCUGUAGUGGAUAAUGGCUCUCGCUUCAUUUCCCUCUUUUUUGGCUCUCUUUUUUUUUUUUCAACUGAGCGCUUGACAAAUUUCAUUAUUCAUCUUUUCAAUUCAACUCAUAUUCAAUUACACCACCAUACAAAACGAGAAGACAUUAGAAACAAGCCAUUCAUGAGGGAAAUGACAUUUGAAGCCAAUUGGGUGACAUAUUUAUUUAUUGAAUCUACAUUACACACUUUAAAGAGACUAUUCCUUAACAAUUUCACUGUCCAUGAAACUUGAUGGCCUUCCACUUUGGCUUCUCCAUCCACUGGGCUGCGCUUCUCUCCAACAUUCUCACGCCUUGCGCGAGCCAUUCCGGCCUUCCUAUUUCAAAUGCAAUGUAUGCUAUGGAGAUCCCAAUGACAAUUCCAGAGGCAUAACCAAUCCACACUUCUUUCUUUUUGAACCAACUCUCAUGCCUUUCACAAUCGAAAUGUGUCAAGGAUGAUGGUGGAGGAGGUUGAGCAUCACCAGGGCAUGCUUUCAACAAUGGAGUUCCACAUAAGCUUGGAUUCUCACUAAACGAGUCGUUUGAAAAUGUGCUCAGUUGCCUGUCUUGAGGAAUUCGACCAAUGAGUUGGUUCUUCGAGAGAUUUAAGUACCCAAGGGAUGCCAAAUCUCCCAAUACUCUAGGAAUUUCCCCACUAAGCAUGUUCGAAGAUAGAUCGAGCCAUCCAAGAUUAGUCAAGUUUCCUAAAGUCAAAGGGAUGGAACCAAUAAGGUGGUUGUACGAAAGGUUGAGCCCUACAAGGGAGUGAAGAUGGCCAAAAGCUUCAGGAAUGUCUCCUUGGAAAGAGUUUUGUGACAAGUCAAUAGUUGUGAAGAUGGUCAAGAUCUUCACUAACUUUAUCUCUUGCCCUUUCAUCAUCACGGUCACAGUAUUUUCAUAUGGUGUUAUCCCGUAGGGAGGGGUAAAUCAUGUCAUAUACAAUGGUUCAUCUUCCCCAACUUCUCUAUUCUUCAUGCCUCUAAGGUUCAUUAUCAAGUUGGCUGAUAAAGGACCACUGAAGUUGUUGUUGGAGAGAUCCAAAAUGCGUAACUUCGGAAAGAUGAGAUCUCCCUUUGGAAUAUUCAAAAGACCCUUGAAAUUGUUGGACCUCAAAAUGAGAACUUUUAGUUCUGGGAGUUCUCCUAACCAUCUCGGGAAUGUAUCCUCUAUCUGAUUGCUACUAAGAUCCAAAACUUGCAGAUAUGUACAAUUGACAAGUGACCGGGGCAACGUGCCUUCAAACCGAUUUCGACUCAAAUCAAGAGUCAACAAUCCACCUAUCAAAGAAAUUGAUUGUGGAAUUGUGCCCUCGAGUUGAUUCAUUCCCAAGUUCAAAAUCGAGAGAAAAAUGUUCUCAUUUGUUAAGCACCGAGGAAAGCUACCUGUUAAGCUGUUGUUAGACAAGUUGAUCGUCUGGAGAUAGGUGGCAUUGCAUAUCAAAGAAUGAAUCUUUCCUGUUAUAAUAUUAUUUGCAAUGGAAUAAUACGUUGUGACGGGAGAUGGAAGUGGGAUUGGCCCUUCAAAUUUGUUGUUGGACAAAUCUAUUACACCUAAUGAGGUGUUGGAGAAAACCUUUGUAGGCCACCGUCCAAUAAAGUUGUUGUUGGAAAUAGAUAAAUAUCCAAGAGCUAGGAAGGAGAGUUCGAAGGCAGUGAGGUUGAUCAUACCAUGAAAUCUAUUGGAUUGCAAAUCAAGGUGAUAUAGUUGCGGUGCUUUCAGCCAAUGUGGGAAUAUAUCAUUAAACUCGUUGUGAUUGAGAACUAGCCCCAAUAAGUUUUUCCAUUUGACUAGGGAGCGUGGUAAUGGCCCUUGCAAUUUAUUGUUGCUCAAGUCUAGAACCUCAAGAUUGGUUAUAUUACCAAAACUAGGGGGAAUAUUCCCUAAGAGACUAUUGUUAGACAAAUCUAAAAUCAAGAGUUUGGAUAUAUUACCAAAACAUGGGGGCACAGCCCCCAAGAGAUUGUUGCUCGAUAAAUUUAAUUCCAAAAGGGAACUCAACUGACAAAUCGAAGAGGGGAUCUCACCAGUGAAAUUAUUGUUCAUGGCAUAAAAGUAACGAGUAGAAGGUGAAGGGAUCGGGAGUGGUCCUUGGAAUGAGUUGUUCUGGAGGUCAAUAUACGACAAUUGCUUCCAAUGCAAUUGGUGUAUACCUCCCUCUAGAUGAUUAUUAGAAAGAUCUAAACAUGUAAAUGUAUGAUGGCUUAUUCCCCAAAACCACCUUGGGAUCUCCCCACUAAUCUCAUUGAAAGAGAGGUCUAAGUCUGUUAGGCUUUCUAACGAAUUCAAGAAAUAAGGAAACUUGUUCAAGUUGCAAUAUGAUAUCGUCAACACUUGAAGCUUUGGGAGAAGGAGGUAACUAUUGGAAUAGAGAGUGACAUGAAACUGAACAGAGGAAAACUCAAGACCAAUGACAUUACCUGUGACAUUAUCGCAAGUGACCCCAUUCCAAGAGCAACAAUCUAUGCUCUUGUUCCAUUCCAAUGUGCAUUUAGACUGUAGAUAAGGAUAACAAUAAGUUUUAUUAAGGUAGAAGGAAUUCUUAAAAUUGAGUAAGGCAUCACGUUGGUUAGGAGGGCAAAGGAAGGAGGCAGAGAGAAGAUGGAAAUUUAAGAAAAACAGGAAAUAGAAGAGGUCGAGGAUUUGAUGCCACCCCAUUGUGCAAUUUAGCAUGCGAGUGAGUUUAUUGGUGGUGGGGAGUGCUUCAACUUAUACAGCCCUUCUCAAGUGUGAAGUCAUUGAAACGAGUCUUCUCUAAGGUCCAUUGGUGGGCUCACAUGUGUCAUCUAUUUUAAAAGCUUUGUUGGUUGGCAUACGAGAAAUUUCAUGUAAGAUUCAGUCAGAAUGAUGUCUCAUUUUCUCAUGGUCAAGGAAGAUCAGAUUUUCUGCCAAAGUUAGUUUAGUCAUAGGUACACAAGCGUGUAAAACAAAUAUUCAAGUUAAAAAAAAAAAAAAUUCCUUUCCUAGACACAUAUACUUUACACUAUUCGUUCCUUCUAUAUCAAUCAUGAUAAGGAUGGACAGAAAGAAACAUUAACAGGGAGUGAUAUUUGACACAAGCUUUGUGACCCCGACCCUCAGGUUGUACACUACAUCCUAAAGAUAAACACAAAAAGAAAUAGAAUUUAAACGGAGUUGUUCUCCUUACGGUGAUAGGCUACCUAAUUAAUUGACAACCCGCAACAACGGGAAAGCCUCCAAUAUUUUCGUCAGACAUAGGAGCAAAUAAAACCUAAAAAAGUUAUUUGACACUUCAUGCCAGAGACAAUCCAUAUGCAUAUUUGGAUCGCGUCUAAACAUGUAUAAUACACGAGUCCUUAGAGACCACAUCAUAUUUCUCAAAGUUAAAUUAUUGUGGAAUUUAAUAUAAAGUGAUAAAAUAUCUUUAACUUCACUAAGUGCUUAAAAAUAGUUUAUAGCUACAAUUGUGCAGAAAGAAAAAGAAACACAGUCUGGUCGAGCACAAUAACUGUUGGCAGCGAUUCACUUAAUUAUAAAUGCUAAGAAGUCAAAGUCUUCUUGAAAUGACAUUAUUGUGAUCGCAAAAUUGUAUUUCUUGAUUGUCUUGGUGGGGUUCCUUGGGUGUGGAAAAUUCUUAGUUACUUGGGCUCUACGUAGACAUGGAGUGGACAUCUUAUCCAUUUUUCUUGAAAGACAUAUUACUCAAGUCUAUGGCGGCAUUUUCAUUUUAUAUAUAUGUGUGUGUGUGUGUGAUGCUCUGUUAUCAUAGUCCAGUAGAUAAAUGUGGAGAAUCUAUUAGGAGGAGCGCUUUCAUUUAUGAAUUUUUUUUCCAGUAAUGCAGCUUUGAAUUUGCAGAUACUUUGAAUCUCUAAUAUCUUUAAGUUUGAUAAAGUGCUUAUCAAAAAUUUUACGGCUAUUAUAGCUUAUGACAACUCUUAAAAAAAACUGUCUCGCACAACUUUUAGAUGUUAUAACUUUAAAAUAUGUAUUGCUCCAGUACCUAACUCUAAGGGUAAGACAUAAAAAUUUUAUACGAUGAUUUCGUAAAUCGUGACAUAUAUUUGAUAAUAGUAAGCACAAAAACCAAGCGGCCGUGAGGGGCGACGGUCCCCAUGCCGGUCAACCCAAGCAUACAAGAGGAUUAUCAGUUAUGGAAUCGUCUCACCUUACCCCCUGGAAAUCUGUAUUGUCAUUUCCGGGAGCCUUUUUUUUCCCCACCGCAAAGUCUAAUUCGGCUUCAAUUAUAAGGAAAAACCAAAAUGUCUCGAAUUGGCCACGCAACUUAUGAAAACCUGCGCAAAGACCCUGUGGAAAGGCCUGCAUAAUUGCUUCGGAGGCUGAGGAACUGAUGCCACCCCACAUUGCGCUUUAGCAGAUAAGUUAAUGGUGGUUGGGAUGGGGAUUCAACUUAAAGGAGAUUUUGCAAGAAUCGCAUGUUUGGAUUAUCUGCAUAAUGCUUGAGCUGCCAUGAUCCCCAGAAUAAAGACGACAAACAUCUCGUCGUGUAAACUCAAUUGUGCUAGAGUUGGUGGAAUAUGAAAACGAAGAAUCAGAUCAUCUCAACAUGAACCGGCUCUUGAUGACCCCCGCUCUCAUAUUCCAAGUCAGGAAGUUUGUUUUCCCAUGGAAAAAGUAUUCUCUGAUGUACUUUGUUCUAUUGUAGGAAAACCAAAUAAGGGCAAAAGGAAGUGGCUUUAGCAAAAGUGAGGGUUGCAUUAUUCUAGGCACUCAGGUGGUCCUUGUUCUGCUUUUUAUCAAGUAAAGUCUCCUCCCUUAUUGCUUGCCAAUAACGAAUCGCUUUUCUUAUGCUCAUACUAUUUAUCCACUUAAUUAAUUUAGUUAAGUUUCUUAACAAAUUACCGACAUAUUUUACUUUCAUCUUCAAUCAUUGAUGAGUAGAAGAGUGCAUAACUUUUAAGAUUAAGCAUCCCAUUGAUCUCUCUCUCUCUCUCUCUCUCUCUCUCUCUCUCUCUCUCACUCAUAUUUCUUUUCAUCAGGGUAAACAUAAGCAGCAUGCGAAAGUUAAUCUUAUGUACACGAUCGAUUAUAUAAUAAGAUCAUGAAGAUCAAUUGAGAAUUAGCAUGUCUAGAAUCCACAUGUGAUUUAUUUUUGUUUUUGGCUUUGACUUGACGUUUUCAAAAUCUUCCCGUGCAUGUUAUUUUGAAUAAAACUGUUCGGCAAGUUAUUUUAGAAACCGUUAUAUAGUCCGGGGAUGUAUUGCAUUUGUGUUUUAGAAAGUGUUAUAUAGUCAUUUCGUUCUCUCUUGUGAUGGGAGAGUAUGGCCUUUUUCCGGUAGUUAUAUCUUAGUCCACUGAUCAUAUAAACACAUAUUUUGAGUUAUCCACCAAAUAAUGGAGAUUACAAUUUUUUGGAUGAACAAUUAUUCAUGCUUUUUUGCAAUUUUAAGGUUUGAAUAUAAUUUAGGAUCACCAAAAUAUUAGCCUGUGAAGUAUCAAUGAUAUGUGAAUUGUUGUUUUGCUUUCAGUCCCCUCUAAUAUGUCGUUUUUGAGUUAAAAAUAUCGCAUGCAAUCAGAAGUGAGUAUUUUUCCGCCCUGGCUUCAACUAUACAAUAAUAAAUGUCUUGUUUGCAAGAUUCAAAUGAUGAGGGUAUCUGACGUAACCAAAGUACCUUUCAAGUAUGUAAUACUUAAAUAUGGUACGGUGAAAAAGAGUAUGACUGAAUGCAUAUUUAAAGAGGCAAGAAGAGGCUAGUCAAUUGAAUUUUAAAUGGCAUAAAAAAUACAAAUUUUCAAGAAUUUGAAGCUUUUUUCAUAUAAAAGCCACAUGAUGAAAUCAAAUUUUGGCAGGUUUGGAUUAAACCAGAUAAUGCGAUGCCAAACCAUCUUUUUGCUUAUCAUCUCGUAUCGAUUCCACUAGCCCAAGUAUCAGUUGAGUAAACUUACCAGAAGAAUUUCUUGUGAAAACAACUCUAUCCUUAGAAGAAUUGCGAGAAGAGUGUGUCCCACAAAGGCUGCAUGAAUCACGAGUUGAGAUUAUACUAAACAAAGACCCAUCUUUUGCUUCUUUUCAGUUGCCUCUUUUCUCCUUUGAUAAAGUCUAAUCUUGCUUUAUUUUUCAUAGUCAAGUCCGGUAAAAAGAUAAUAAUAAAGAAAGACCUGAAUGAAUGUGAAACGAACCCGCAUAAUCUUUUAAAAUUACGACAAAGUAAUCUUCACGUUCAUGCUGUUCAAACGCUAUCUUCCCUUAGCAACGGCUGGUCUUUUGAUUACUAUCACGACUAGGGGUCCAACAAGAAUAGUCUGAUACCGAGGGAGCGUUAAGGAAAACUUCCAGAGAGGCAGAUUUUAUUUGUGAUGCUUCCAGAAAGCAUAUGAAACACUGCACUGCUUUAUAUUCGAAAACAAGUCAGAUCAACAGUUACGUACAAUUAGCUCGAGCAUAAAGUCCUUGAGGAAAGGCCCGCGAAAUUGCUUGGGAGGACGAGAAUUUGACGCCACCCCAUUUUGUACUUCGGCAUGUGAGUGAAUUUAUUGGUGGUGGGGAUAAGGAAUUCAUCAUCGACUUUAGACAGACUGUCAACACAGGUCUUCUCUGAAAGAUCUGUUAGUGAGUUCGCAUGGACUUCCAACUUCUUCCUCCGUCAUCUCCAAUAAGACCACUUUAACUUGCCUUCCAGGUUGGGAGUUAAAAUUUCUUUGAAGUUUGAUAAAAUUCUUGUCAAAUAUAUUACGUAUUCGGAGACAAAGUUGGAAGUUCGUGCACAAGGCAUAUAAAUGAGAUAUCCACUAUUACCAACUUUGCUCCUUCGAAUUGGCACGACUUAAGGAGAUUUUGCAAGAAUUGCAGGUGUGAAUUAUAUGGAGAUUGGUUGCAAGCCAAAACAUCUGAUCUUGGCAGAAUUGGAAGGAAUCUCUGGCAAUUGAACUGCCAUCAUAAUUUAGUUAUUUUAUUUAAUGAAUACCACGUGAACUCAAUUGUGCUGGUCUUGGUGGAAUGUGAAAAGGAAGAAUCAGAUCAUCAUCACAUUUCCAAUGUGAACUGACUCUUGACGACCCUCGCUCUCACAUUCCAAGUUAGAAAGUUUGUUUUUACAUGGCAAAAGUAUUGUUCAACACACUUUAUUCCGUCGCACGACAAUCUAAUCAAGCGGAAAAGAAAGUGGCUUUAGAAAAAGUGUGAGGCGCUAAAUAUAUUCACUCAGGUAGUUGUUCUGCUUUUUAUUCCAUCAAUGUGCAAGUCAAGUCUCCAUGCGUACAUUGCUCUUCAUGGUCUUAACUAAAUUCUGCUAUGCAAUGUUGCACGUUGCACGUUGUAUAACUUCCAUUUGCCAUCAACAGAGAGGCAUUCUCAUUUAUUUAGGUUCAUUUAUUUUACAAAAAAUGAAUCAUUUCAAAAAUAUAUCCCUAAAAAUGAUAGAUUAUAUCGCUUGAUAUAAUUAGUCAAAAAAAGAUAUUUCCAUUAUCAACAAUAAUUUAUGUCCCAAUAUUUUCGUAGACAAUAUUAAUAAUUGACACUCAUUCAUUUUUAUGAGUGAUGUAAUCAAUCAGUUUUAGGAAAAUGUUUCUCAAAUGAUUUAUUUUCUGUGAAACAAACGGCGUCCUCCUUGCUUUUCCUUCUGAUGAUAAUCAAACUUGCGAAAUCCUCCAAGCACUCAAUUAAUUAUAAUUUGCAUUAAGCAUGAUACUCCUCUCAUUCUAUACAGAUGGUUCUACACGCAUCAUAUAAUUAUUGGUUUUCUAUAUAGAUUAGUAUGCUCAUAACAAUUACCUCACUUAAUUAAAUAACUCUUUCUCAAGUUAGGUUCUCUCUUUCUUAUCUCUCCAAUUUUUCGACUGGUCAUUUUUCUUUUCAUUAUAUCAGGGCAAACAUCGGCAGCAUAUGAAAGUUAAAUCGUAUGUAAGUGAUGGUUCAAACAUUAAGAUAAUCAGGCUCAAUUGAGGAUUACCACGUCUGCAAUCUUCACGUCAUUGAUUAUUUUUGUUUUGUGUAGUCUAGAUUAACAUUUUUGUCUUUGGCUUUGGCUUGAAGUUUUGAAAAUCUUCCCAUGCAUGUUAUUCUGAAUAAAAAUGUUUGGCAAGGUUACUUUAGAAAGUCUUAUAUAGUCUUGGGAUGUAUUGCAUUUGUGUUUGUGCGAGUGAGAGCUUCAUUUUGUUCGCUCAUUGUGAUGGGAAAGUGUGGCUUUUUAUUUUUAUUUUUUCUAUAUAGGUAUAUGUUAGUCCCUUGACGAUAUAAAUGCAUGUUUCGAAUUAUCCACCAAAUAAUAAGGAUCAGAGUCUUUUUUGGAUGAAAAAUCGGUCAUACUUUUUCAUUUGUAACUUUGAAUGUAGUUUAAAAUCACUAAAAUAUUAGCUUGCGAAGAAUCAAUCACAUACGCAUUGCUGUUAUGCUUUUUGUCACUUCAAAAUAUUUGUUUCGCGUGAAAAAUGUCGCGUGCAAGCGUAAGCAAGAUUUAUCUUAGUUUCAUCUUUAACUAUAUAUGACAGAUAAUUGAUUUGUGUGUAGCACCAAAGUGUUGAGUAUUUCUGACGUAAAUAAAGCACCUUUUGCCGAUAUAAUUCUCCAAUCUCUGAUUACAAAAUUGAUGAAACAUUAAAUUAAUUUUAAAAGAUCAUAACUGAAUACGUAGAAACAAGCGAAGUGGAUGCUCAUGAGUCGAAGAAAAAAUGGCAUAUAACAGACAAAUUUUCAAGACUCGAAGACCAUUACAUAUAACAAGCCACACAAUAAAAUCAAAUUUCAGCAGGUUUGGAUUAAACCAGAUAUUCUAAUGCCAAACCAUAUUUUUGCUUAUUUUCUCGCACCAAUUCCACAAACCCAAGUAUCAGCUGAGUAAACUCAGCAAAAGAAUUUCUUGUGAAAACAAUUCUCGUGCCAAUUCCACCAACCCAGUGUGCUUUUAUUUAGGUGCUUUCUUUUCUCUUUUGAAGAAGUCUAAUCUUGCUUUAUUUUAAGAUGGCUGACAAAAAGAAAUAAUAAAGAAAGACCUGGACGAAUUUGAUAAAUUUUUAAACCUUUGAUCCUAUAACCAAUUUCGUGUUUUAUUAGAUGUACAAAUAUAUAUAUUUGGAUAGCAGAUAUAUAUAUAUAUAUAUAUUGAUUUUGUUAUAAGUUGCGUCCUUUGAAUAAGAGAACCACCAUGCCAUUUCCCUAUUUUGGAAGGAAUCGGAGUGUGAUAUGGCUAAACUUGCUUGGAAGAACAAGUCCAUGACAAGGCCAUCGAUUCUACUCAUACCACAUUCUAGUUAUUAGUGUAACUUGACAUUUAUCGUGCACUCUGCUGCCAUUUGCAUAGAGGGCAAUGACUUGUACUGUAGUCUCUGAGAGAAUCGUACUAUUCAACAUUCCCAGAACAGCAGAUUGUGUAAGAGGAUUUGCUUCUACGUUAAAUAUAAACAAAUGAUUGAUUCAGAAAUGCAACGGCAAUAGCGAGUAGAAAUAUUUGUGAUGAGCACAAUAAUGGUAAGGGUACGAUCAAAACUAUCGUCAAGAGUUACCAUUCUUGAUUUGGCCACUAGAAGAAGUUUCUUUGCAGAUUUUCCUCUUAAGUCAACUAAUUCAAUACCCAGAUUUUCUAUUAGCUAAAAUGGAAGAAAUUAACGGAAUGACUCCAUUGUAUUUUUUAGGACUCAAUUGCACUUUCGUAACAAGUUUUAAGAUUUUUUGUACACUUAUCUCAUUUUCCUUUUAGCAACGAAGUUGAAAACAACCUUCUUUUUUUUUUUUUAUCAUUCCCCUCUUGUUUUUAGGGAUACAUUCCAUUUAUUUCCAUGUGAUUAUUUUCUGUCCUUCCUCACUUCUUUUCUAAACAACAUGCAAGUCAUAGAGAAAUAUUACUGAUGAAUCCUCAAUGAUGAAUUUAUGAGCUUUUCUAAGGACUUCUAUCUCAGCAAUGAAGAACACUGUGUUAGAAACAAGAAACGAUGGGCUGGGCUUGGGCUUGGGCUUGGGCUUGCUUCAAUGGUCACAGUGCCUAGAAACUCGUCCAGGCGCGUGGGGUUCUUGUAGAUCCAUGGGAAUGAACCUUGAAAUUGGCAAACCCAUUUCUCCUAAAUCUAAAUUCCCUAAGCAAGAACAAGUAAUUGGGGUGAAAUUGAUCUGCACAGCAUCAUGGAUUGGCCAUGUGCUAAUCUAAAGCUAGAAAAUCACAAUGUUACAAAUCCUAUAUUAAUAAAACGAAGGAAUUAUGGAAGCGAUAAAUUAUAAAAUAAAUGAAAUACAUUCUAUUAAGAUUUCAGGCUGUUAAAGAUGAGACACUGCUCCUAUCUGAUAUAGAAUCCAGUCUCUGAAUAUAUGAUGGUUUUAUUAGCGAUGGGCUUAAGGCCCGUCCGCCCAAGUUGGGCCCAAAAAGCCCGGCCCACGGGAAUAGGGCCCGUGGAUGGGGGAAGGUAUAAAAGGGAAGAGAGAGAGAGAGAGAGAGAGAGAUGACACCUGUUGGAAACAGAAAACGAACGUACGUCUUUUUCUUCUCACGCUCUCUCUCUCUCUCGCUUUCUCUCGCAAAAAGAAAACAGUGAAGCGCAAAAGGCGAAUUUGCUUCAUCGGAUCGAACAAGACCAAGUUUCUCUUCCUCUAUCGGCGUCGAUGUUUAAUCUGUGGCUUAAAAGGUACGCUCGAAUCCGUGGUGUGCUUUAGGAUCAGUGAUAUGUGUUGUUUUUCCCGGGCUCGUCUUCCGCAUUAAUUUAGGGGUUCGAUUCAGUGUCGAAUUCGCUUUUCGAGGGUCCUUUAUUCCCAACAUUGGUAUCAGAGCCCUAGUUCACGUUUUCCCGACCUGUUUGAUUUUUUUGAUUGAUUUUUCGCGAAAAUUUUCAGCCGUACAGAUCGGGGCGAGAAAUCCCAACACCCGAGUGUUGUUCGCCCAUUUUUCCGAGUUUUCGUAAGACAAAAUCGAAUUCUGAUUGCAUAGGGAGAAAGGGGUCGUCGAGACGAGUCCGGCGACAGGUUGUGCGCCGCCGGGCGACGCCGCACGCGCCCACACGCGCGGCCAGAAGCCGCUGCGCGUGGGCGCGACGAGCCCGGAAGCGCUGGCUCAGCCAGCGCAUGCAGCACACGCGCCGGUCGGCGAACUGGCGCGUGCGCGCCGCCGGCCGGCGAACCGGCACGCGCUGGUCGACGGACCGACGCGUGCUGACGUCACCCAACGGUCGGUAACCGCUGGGAUGAUGUCAGCGCUAACGUCGGUUGGCCGGGCGGUCACCGGCCGGCGACCCAACCGGCGACCCGACCCGCGGACGCCUGGCACACGCGCGGCACGUGCCGGCUGACGUCUGCGUGACGUCAGCCCGCGCACGCGCGCGGCAUGUGCGGUCGGUUCGUCCGACCCGGUUCGACCGGUCCGACGAUCUUACUGUUGACCCGUUGACCGUUGACCGUUGACAAAAAAAAAAGAGGAAAAGAAUGUGUUUCUUUUUCAAUUAAGUCUAUGUGGAUUAUAUGUGAUCCCUUAUUUGUUCUGCAUUUGUUGCAGGAACAAUGCCUCCCCUGAGGUUGUGCACACCUAUUCGCGCAGUUACCGAUGAACAAAAGGAUAGGCUGUCUAAGUUGAUAGCUGAGCUGACUAAUCAUCGAUGGGAGAGUGGUGACUUAAUUGAUCACGUCCUUGAAGUCAACAGGAAAAUUCAAAAGAUCAUAUGGAAUGGUCGUCCUAUGCCACAGUCAGAGAUGGUGCGAUUUUUCAUAAACACUCUUCCACCUGAAUGGCAAGAUGUGUUAAAUCGCAUAUGGGAUGUCAACGGAGCUGCUUCAUAUAAGAAAAUUGUGAUGGAUUUUGUAAAUGAAUAUUACUGUAUUGUUACAAGGGAAAAGAUCAAGAAAUUGAACAAAAGAUGAUCUUUCCCAGUUCGUGUGCUGACUUGGUGUUAGUUGUAUUGGCUGAUAUUCGUUAAGUGUGUUUUGUGGACAUAUUAUGUAAUGAUUACUACCUGAUUGUUGUUGAUGUAGCAACCGAUAUCUUGGUUGUAUUAGUUGAAAGCAUUAUUGUUUUAUUGUAUGUCAAUUAUCCGUUACUUUCUAUUAUUGCUGGUUGAUGUGGGUAAUUAGCUGUGGGUAGUUAUAGAAGUUUUUAUAACUUCAUAGAAUUGAUUUUGCAUAUGACAAUCACAUUAAUGAUAGUUUUGAGUUAGAAUUUUUGGAGGAUGAUUGGAAAUGUAGUGACAUUUUGAUUCUGAAGCCUUACUUGAAAUUAUUUAUUAAUAUGAUGGAUCUAUGUAAAUAGGGAUGCAUAAAUGAUAGGCAUUAAUAAUUCGUGCAUAUUUGUCUGAUAUGUUCAGAUCAAUGGCUUCAGCCACAAAGAGCAUAGUUGCCGAGCUGAACGAAGGUGAAAAGCUCAAUGGUGACAACUAUGAAAUUUGGCAAAUGAAAAUCCAGUAUGUGCUGGAAGAGCAAGAAGCACUUGAGACUCUUAACCUGACCAUGGUAGAACCUGAAGAAGGAACCAUUGCACAGCACAAGAGAGAUAAGGAAGCUUUUGCUACGUGGAAAAGAAAGAACUCUCUUGCUCGCAUCACGUUGCUGAGCAACAUGAAAAAUGACGUCAUGCGAGAGUUUAGGCGUUUUGACAAUGCCAAGGAAAUGUGGGAGGCAUUGGCAGCUAGAUUUGGUCAUACUUCGGUGACCAAACUGAGGCAGCUCACUAUUAGGUUUGACUCUUAUAAGAAGCCUCAUGGUCAAACCAUGAAGCAACAUCUUAGAAAGAUGUCAAACAUGAUAAAUGAGCUGAAAGAUGCUGGCCAUGUCCUCACAGAUGAGCAGCAAGUGCAAGCAGUGAUUCGUUCCUUGCCUCAGAGUUGGGAGCAUAUGAAGGUGCACCUGACUCAUAAUGAAAAUAUCAAAACCUUCGAGGAUGCAAUGCGUCAUCUUGAGCUGGAAGAGGACCGCCUCUUGGCGGCUAAGCUAGAUGCUGAACUCUAUCAUGCUAGUUCUAGCUCAAAUGGAGCUUCGAGCUCCAAGCGCAAGUGCCCUAACUAGUUUGAUAAAGGGAAAGGCAAGGAAGCAGGUCCUUCAGGGAAGAAACCCAAGUUUAACCAACAUGAAAGAGGAAAGCGUCCUCACAUGAAAAAGCUUGCAAGGGUGAAAUGCUACAACUGUGACAAGAAGGGUCACUAUGCUCGCGACUGUCGUGAGCCAAAGAAGGUAUGCACCCCUUGUACUUUUCAGAACUUUGCUUUUGUGUCAAGUUCUGUGUUCUUAACUGAGUCUAAUCAUUUGUGAACUGUGGAUUCAGGAGUGACGAACCAUGUAGCGAAGGAUAGAGGAUCCUUCGUGGAAUUCCGACGAGUACCUACUGGAACUAAGUGGAUCUAUGUGGGAAACAACUCUAGAGCUAAAGUGAAAGGAAUUGGCACCUGCCAACUGAACAUGCGUGGUGGACGCACUUUGUUCCUUCAUGAUGUGUUGUAUGCUCCGGAGAUUCGUCGGAAUUUAGUGUCUGUUUUAGUGUUGGCUAAAUUAGGUUUUAAUAUGAACUUCUAUAAUAGAGGUGUGGAUUUGUUUUUAGAUACAAAUUACUAUGGUUGUGGUUAUUUUCUGGAUGGUUUCAUUGUAUUAGAUAUUGAUUAUGUUAAUACAAAUGUUUGUUAUUCCCUUCUCACGUCUCCUAAUACAUAUGAUAAUGAUGUGAAUGUGUGGCAUGCUAGACUUGGUUACAUUGGCCAACAAUGUAUGAAUAGACUAGCCAAAGAGGGCUUGUUGGGCAACAUUGAAAAAGUCAAUUUGCCCAUAUGUAAGCAUUGCCUAGAAGGGAAAACGACAAGGAAACCAUUUGGAAAAGGUAAAAGAGCUGAAUUUCCUCUGCAUUUAAUCCAUUAUGAUAUCUGUGGUCCAAUGAAUGUGAGAGGAAGGCAUUGGGCUGUUUAUUUCAUCACCUUUAUUGAUGAUUAUACUCGAUUCGGAUAUGUCUUUUUGAUUUCUCAUAAAUCUGAAGCAAUAAGUUGUUUCAAAAGGUUUAUGAACCUGGUAGAAAAUCAAUUAAACAAGAAAAUAAAAGUAUUGAGAUCCGAUCGAGGUCGAGAAUAUUUAUCUGAUGAGUUCAGAAAAUUAUGUGAUGAAAAAGGAAUAGAAAGACAGUUGUCUAUUCCAUAUACUCCUCAACAAAAUGGUGUUGCGGAGAGAAGAAACAGAACCCUACUGGAAAUGGUUAGGUUCAUGAUGGCGCAUGCUAACUUACCUAUCACUUUUUGGAGUGAUGCGUUGUUAACUGCUGCCUAUAUACUUAACCAGGUGCCUUCCAAAUCAGUUACUUCCACUCCAUAUGAGUUAUGGACAAGUAGAAAACCGGACUUAAGUUUUCUUAAGCCAUUGUGCUGCCUAUACACAUGAGUCCUCUCACAAGUUUGGGAAAUUAGGUCCCAGAGGAAAGAAGAGUAUUUUCAUAAGAUACUCGAAACACUCGAAAGAGUAUGUGUUUAGAGGUGAGCAGGAAAGUGGGAGUAUAACUGAAUUUGAAUCACGGGAUGUCACAUUCUUGGAUGAUGAAUUUCCUAAGAAGGGCGAAAUAGGGGUAGAUCACUCCCUAUUUGAGACCUUGGAUCAGGAUAAUGAUGUUAGUGGAGUUCAUCCGAGUGGGAGUAAUAUGAGAAGUGAUGAAUUGAAUUCAACUCAUUCUCAAUUACAACCACAUGAUGAGACGACAUCAUUAUUACCUAAUCCAAGUGGGAGCAUGAUGGGGAAGAUGUGCAAAGUAUACAAUCUCCCAUACGGCGAACAAGUCGCCAAAGUAUUCCCCGUCGACGUUUUGACAUUGAAUGGGAAACUUUUAUGAUUGCUCCACAAGAUGAGGAUGAGCCAAGAAAUAUUAAUAAGGCUUUGAAUUGCCCUAAUAAGGAAAAAUGGAUUCAUGCAAUGGAAGAGGAAAUGGAGUCAAUGAGAUCAAACCAAGUCUGGGAAUUGGUUGAUCUUCAAAAGACGCAGAGCUAUAGGAACAGUGGUUAUCAAAUAAAGCGAAAGCUGAUGGUUCGAUAGGAAAGGCAUAAGGCCCGCCUUGUGGCGAAGGGGNNNNNNNNNNNNNNNNNNNNNNNNNNNNNNNNNNNNNNNNNNNNNNNNNNNNNNNNNNNNNNNNNNNNNNNNNNNNNNNNNNNNNNNNNNNNNNNNNNNNGGAUCUUGAGUUCAUCAUAUGGAUGUAAAGACUGCUUUCCUCAAUGGAGAAUUAUAGGAAGAAAUAUAUAUGAAACAACCUGCUGGUUUCGUAGUGAAAGGCCAGGAAGAAAAGGUAUGUCGACUUUUAAGAUCGAUAUAUGGCCUUAAGCAGUCAUCGAGACAAUGAUAUAUACGUUUUCAUAAUGUCAUAAUGGCAUAUGAUUUUACAAUGAUUGAUGAGGAUCAUUGUGUAUAUAUCAAAAGAUCCAAGGAUCAAUUUGUGAUCAUAUCAUUAUAUGUUGAUGAUAUAUUGAUUGCCGGAAGCAAUAUGGAGUUUGUUAAUACUGUCAAGAGUUGGUUGUCUUCCAACUUUGAGAUAAAAGAUAUGGGUGAGGCUGCAUGCAUUCUUGGAGUUAAGAUUUCAAGAGAUCGUUCGAAGAGAUCGUUGUCUCUUUCGCAAGAAACCUAUAUAAAUAAGGUUCUUGAACGAUUUCGUAUGCAAGAUUGUAAACCCAUAGACACUCCUAUUGCGAAAGGUGAAGGAUUGAGCUAUAGACUGUGUCCGAGGACUCUACAAGAGAAGGAACAAAUGAAACAUGUUCCUUAUGCUAGUGCAGUUGGGAGCUUGAUGUAUGCUAUGAUGUGUACAAGACCCGACAUAUGUUUUGCAAUUGGAAUGGUGAGUAGAUACCAAUCCAAUCCAGGUCCAGCACAUUGGAAAGCCGUUAAGAGAAUACUGAGGUAUAUGAAGGGAACUGCUGAUUUCAAGUUGAAUUACCAAUGAAAUGAUCUGCGACUUGAAGGCUAUUCAGAUGCUGAUUGGGGAGGAGAUUUAGAUGAAAGAAAAUCUACCUCAGGAUUUGCUUUCUUACUGAACAAUGGCGCCAUAUCAUGGAGCAGUGAGAAGCAAACGUGUAUAGCCUUGUCCACGAUGGAAGCUAAGUUCGUGGCAUUAUCAGCAGCGGUACAAGAAGGAGUUUGGCUUAAGAGAUUUUUGGAUCAUUUAGGUGUUAAUGAGAAAGCUGCAAAUCCAUUGUUGGUUAACUGUGAUAGCCAAGUAGCUAUAGCGUACACCAAAGAUCCAAAAUAUCAUGACAAGACCAAACAUAUAGAUACCAAGUAUAACUUUGUCAAGGAUAUGGUUGCACGAAAGGAUGUGAACUUACAGUACAUAUCUAUGCAUAGAAUGGUAGCAGAUCCUAUGACAAAGCCAAUACCUAGAGAUGUAUUUUGUGGUCAUGUAAAAUCUCUAAGAUUGCGUAGAGUCUGGUGUACUGGAUUGUAAUUUCCCUGAGUUGUUCACAAUUAUGAACUAGUGUUGUUUCAUUAUUAAUGCCUAUGAAUCUUUGUAUGAUCUUUAUGCAUCUUAAUGCUUAGUGCAUUACUUUAAGUUGAGAAAGUAUGUCGGACAGAUAAAAGAUUAGCCCACUCACACGAGUAAUCGCCUCUGUUUACUGUGUGAUAAAUAGAGAUGAGACUGUUUUAAGCUUAUUAUCUAGGUGAUAAUCGAGAGCUCAAGCUUAAAAUACGUAUGUCAUCUUAACUAAGUGUUAAGAUGAGAACAUAAUACUUACGAUGUCCGAAAGUAAAAUACCCCACAUAUUUUACUUAAUCUGUCUAAGAUGCCAAAUGUGAGUUCUGAUGAAUUUUGUGAUUGAGUAGAUACGUGAACUCAAGUUAAACAUUGGGUAUGUCUGAACUAUCAUCUGUACGGUAUUGAAAGGUGUAAACAUACACUCCAUGGGAAAGGAGUUAAGACCAUAAUACAUAUUUCAUACUACGUAUGCAUGAGACGAUCAAUAAGAGUGGCAAAAAGUUUGAUCUCAACUUUUAUGACGUGUGAGACUCUUGAGGAAAAGAGUUCCUCAAUUUUUAGUCCCCUCAUGACUCUUACUUAUUCUCAAGAUUUCUAUUUAGUGUUUGCUAUCUUAGGAUGUUGCCAAUGGUCAUGAGUUGAUUCGAUCUAAUUGGACAUUUCUAGAAAAGCAAGCUGAACUGAAAUUGAGAGUUUGAAGGAAAGAGGAAGAUCGAUUUUGGAGAAUCACAUUGUAAUUUUUGUAUUCACUGGUCGACUAAUUAUGACUGUUUUUGGGAUAAUCAUAGCUGUGAAUACAAUAUAUAUCAUGUUUGAAAGAGAUUAAGAGAGAUAUAAAUGUUAUCGAUCGAUCUAGGGUACUGCAUACUAAAUCUACUCGGAGUGUGACGCCAAUUAUGAGCUGCUAUAUAUUCCUAAUAGAUGUAUAGUAACGAGCUCUCAAAGUAUGCUGGUCGCACGGAUUAUUCACCAGUAUGAAUGUUGAAGAGAGGUAAAGAGAAUCUUGUUCGGCCCACCAUGUGCGAGUGGGAGAUGAUGGUUUUAUUAGCGAUGGGCUUAAGGCCCGUCUGCCCAAGUUGGGCCCAAAAAGCCCGGCCCACGGGAAUAGGGCCCGUGGAUGGGGGAAGGUAUAAAAGGGAGGAGAGAGAGAGAGAUGACACCUGUUGGAAACAGAAAACGAACGUACGUCUUUUUCUUCUCACGCUCUCUCUCUCUCACUUUCUCUCCCAAAAAGAAAACAGUGAAGCGCAAAAGGCGAAUUUGCUUCAUCGGAUCGAACAGGACCAAGUUUCUCUUCCUCUAUCGGCGUCGGUGUUUAAUCUAUGGCUUAAAAGGUACGCUCGAAUCCGUGGUGUGCUUUAGGAUCGGUGAUACGUGUUGUUUUUCCUGGGCUCGUCUUCUGCAUUGAUUUAGGGGUUCGAUUCAGUGUCGAAUCCGCUUUUCGGGGAUCCGUUAUUCCCAACAAUAUACACAACGAGUACCUAAAAAUCUAAUUAAUCUUCAUGAGUGCUAAGAAAUGAAGCCACUUAAAAUGCAGGACGCCAUAUCACCCAACAAUUGGAUCUUAUCAACAGCAGUAACACGGAUCCUCAUAGCUGCUGACGCUGAUCUGUCUCCAUUUUCCGCCUUGGGCUAUCCGUCGACUCGGCGGCAGCAACGGACACCACAAACUGGCUAGGCCACUGGAACAGCAUGAACUCGUCGUGUUGGAUCCAAGAGAGUGGCAUUUGCCUCGUGGACCGCUUGAACUCAGUCCUCGAUGCGGCGAUGUCCGGUUGUAGGACCCCAAAAGCCUCUGGUAGGCAGUCUUGAUCUCCCGACAAAGUCACCGCAGCAGUCUUGAUUGGAAAAUUUCCACGGUCCCAAUUUCUCGUGUUUUAGAGUUUUGUUCCUUGACUCAAUACACAUUGUCUUCAGGGCAUUGGGGUAGAAUGGGCAUAGACAGGCUGAUAUAAUAACUUGGAGGACGAUGAACAUCGGGCAAGGUGGAGGAGGAACUGGAGUCAUACAGCUUUCGCAUCCAGUAUCAUUCUAAAGAAAUACGGAGGAAGGGAUGAAGAUGCAGAAAGUGGUGCGGAGUCGAAGAAAGGGAUGUAUGAAUUAAUAAGCAAUGGUGAGCUCCCAACAAGAUUUUUUAUUCGAGACAAAUUUAUGUGUCUUUAUAUUAUAUGAACAAGACCAGAUUAUUCGGCAUAAUUAAUGUAUCACAUUAAUCCUAUCCUCUAUGAUAUUUGAAAAAGUAGAGUAAUUAUCCACUUCUAGCAUGAUUAUGAAUGCAUCAUUCAAAAGUGAUGAUAGUAUUUUACAGAAGACGAUAUAUUCCCUUUCUCCCACUGCAGAGUUUCCCUAUGUUGCAUAUUUAUUUUUCUUCAGACUCAAAUUAUUUAAACAUUAUGUCUUUCACUUUUCUUAAUGAAAUUGACGUAUUAAUUAUAUGUGGCAAUCUUCAUUUUUCUUACAAGAAUAUACAGAAAUUAGCAUGCAUGUACGUAUUAUGUUGUGAGGUUUAAUGUAUCCAAUUCGAUGCGUAAGGUUUCCAUGGCUUAGGACACCUGUAGAAAUCAGCAGCUCUCAUUAUCUACAAAGUCGGGAUUUUAGUCUAUGCUUAAUGAAUUUGUAACCAGCACAGUGUUUCCAGUGAUUUUCCAAUAACAACUAAAGGAACUAAAGUAUCGAAUCAAUUCAGUACAUUGAAACUUUCUUCUCUAGGUGAUUGAGAAGUGGACUCCCGUCAGACGUCCCAUACAUGUCAACCUCUGCUUUCAACUCUUAGCAAUUUCAAUUGAUUAUUUUCUUUUCCUUCCUCGCUCCUUUCACCAGAACGUGCAGGUCACAGAGAAAUCUUACAGAUGAAUCCUUGAUGAUGAACUUACGAGCUUUUCUGGGGACUUGUGUUUCACCGUUGAAGGGCGCCGUGUUGGAAACAAGCAGUGAUUGGCCGGUCUGGGUUCAAUGAUCAAUGCUUUAUAACUCGUCCAAACCCCCUUUCUUGACUUUCCAGAGUAACGAAUGUCCGGCGCAUGGGGUUAAUCUAAUUGGGCGUCGGUUAAGUAGAACAGCGAGCGAACUGCUAAGCCGACCUUUUUAAGCAUGAUGAAGAGGGCGUGCGAAACCGAAUCAGUGGCCUCCACCAUGAUCGAACCGGUUUUUUUCUCACUCAGUUCCUCUUCGGAGGUUGAUAAACAGAGAGUUUUGGACUUGGGUCCCAGAUCCUUUCCAAGCAAUCUUCUAGUUCUUAAACGAAUUUUGCUAACAUAACAGUUUUUUAGCUACUUUAACGAUAAUAGCUCGAUGUGAGUCAUAAAUUCUUGAAUAAAUGAACCCCACAUCAAUUUAUAAUUGUUUAUUAUUUGAUUUUUUAUAGUCCAAAAUAGAUUAUUAUCCUCAUAAUAAAUUAAAAACAGUCAAUCAAUCAUUUCUCUUAAUAACAUGACUCGGAUACCUUGGAGCACCAUUAUGACUUUAUGCACUGUUAUUUUUUGGGGCACCUUCAAGGGUUACCGCAAGGAUGAGUGUUGGUCUCCAAUGUGGCUGCAAAGAUAGGCAAGGUUAAUGAGAUAUUAUAUUGUUGGUAGAAGGUGGAAAACAGAGAAACGAACCAUUACAGCUUAGUCGCACUUGGUGACCUUUUAGAUGCAAAGAGCAAAGGCUGUGUCUUCACUUAGGCUAAUAAUAGAGAGGAGAACACUUUGGCUAAAAAGAGAUUAGAAAAGUGUUAUGCAAUGUAGAUUAAAGGGUGAACUAUCCUAAGGCGGAGGUUUACGCGCUACUAGCAUGCGCUCUCCCAUUCUAGAUUCGCUUCACUCGGUCUCUGCCCUUACACGCGAGCCUCUUCAUUUUAAACCUUUCCGGAACGCGAGAGAGAGAGAGAGAGAGAGAGAGAGAGAGAGGGAUAAGUAUGUGGCCGGGCCUUGAGUACUUUUUUAAUUGGGCCAAUGGGCUCUUGCUUUAUACUUCUAGGCUCCGGGCUUGAGCCGAUUGGAAACUUUCGAUAUUGGACUUGGAGGUUCAAGGACGAACUGCACUAGUGGGCAUGGAAUUGUGUCAUGCCCAAGAAAUCAGAUUGGGCCUUUCCAUAUUGACCGAAGUGGAGCCCUUUUAAGUUUUUCUCUUCUUCUUUUUUUCUAUUUUCUUAUCUAUGUAUUUACUUAUUUAUUCAUCUCUAUCUCUUUACAAAAACGCGUGCUCAAUUUGUUAUCCGUCACCUAUUUCCGCCUCUGGCCACGGAUUGAUGCAGCAAUGGCAACCAACACUGCAAAGUGGCAGGCCCUCGGAACAACACUUAGUCGUAGUCGGCCCACCGACUUGGAUCCAAGAGAAAGGCGCAUGCAUUGUGGACCGGCAUGAACUCGUGCCCGAACGCUACAUCAAGAGACGCGGCAACAUCCGAGCAUAGGACCCCAAUCAGGCUCUCUGUUGCGGUACUCAUAGGAAUCAAAUCAUGGACUUGAUACUUUCCAACCCCAUUGCCAAUCCCUUUACCAGUAGGGCCACUUACCUACGAGCAUCUAUGCCCUCGUUCCACAAGCUGUCAAAAGGGUCAUUCUUUCACUACUUAUCCUGGGAUUCAGAUAUGAAUGUGAGUCGAUUCGAAGAUUGAGUGAAAUGCUAAACUGCAAUCAUGCAUUACUCUGCACAUAAUAAUAUAUUUGUUUAGAUGAGGGAGGGAGGAUUGAUAACUCUAAAGCAAGAGAAAUGAGAAAAUAGAGUAUUUGGUAUGAUCCCAAACUUUGCUUCCAGAUACUGGCUCAGUGGUCAUCGGGGAGCUUGUCGCUUAUGUUAUAGAAUUCAUGGUACUCUAGUUACUGGAGUCAAAUUAGAUUCCUUGAUGAGAAAUUUUUGUUGUGCCACUAUCUCGUGCAAUGGAGUUUUGUUCCUUGACUCAAUACCCAAGAGACACUAGAGUUGUCUCUAGGGCAUCCAUGUAAAAUAAGCAUUAACAGGCUGAUCCAAUAACUUGGAUUUUACUGAUAAAUUUCUUCCAUUAUCAUUCAAUCCUUCCAUAUAACACACGGCAAGGGAGUCUUUGUUCGCUGUUCUUGAAGGUAAAGUCUGUGGUAGCAUCUUCAAUCCAUGAUACAAUCUGUGGCCCAGAUGUGACCAUUAAUAAAGACAUGCAUGGGUAUGUCAUGACAAUAUGGUGGGCAAUUUACUUCGAAUUUGGAUAGUUAAUUAUUAGGGAGGGCAUCCCUUUUAUUAUUUUUUUUAGUAGAAUUAUGUGGAAUUUGAAGAUACUUAGAAUAUUUCACCGAAUGUUUUCCUGUUCCACUUCGAUCUAUCUAGUCCACGAUCUAUUAUUGACCUACAAUUUUAAUGAUCUUAUUAAUUUUUUAGGACGUAUUUUCACGGCAGAUUAAUUUAUUAAUAUAUUUGGCUGAAUGGGUUACGGUCAGUUUUCACUUGUAAAUCUUCCUGGAUAAAUAAUAGUUGCGCACAUUGGAAGGUGGAAAACAUAUUUGUCGAGGUUAGGGCACUUGCUUCCUUUCUCUUUCUUUUUUUUUUUUCUCUUUUUUUAUUCUUUUAAAAGUUGUGUGCUUUACGGGUCUUAUUAUUAAUCUUCUCAAUUCAACUGAUAUACAAUUGAAUGGAAAAAUAAGAAAAGAAGACAUUAGAACAAGCCUUCAUAAGGUAAAUGAAAUUUCAAACUGAUCAGGUAACAUAUUUAUUCACUAAAUCUACUUUGACAUUUUAAAGAGGCAACUCCUCAAUAAUUUCAUUGUACAUGAAAUAUGAUGGGCUUCCGCUUUGGCUUCUCCAUCCACUAGGCUGCUCUUCUCUCCAGCAUUCUCACAUGUCACACGAGCCAUUUUUGGGCUUUCCCAUUUCAAAUACAAUGUAUGAUGUUAAAAUCCCAAUUAUAAUUCCAGAUGCGUAACCUAUCCACAUCACUUUUUGCUCGAACGAACUCUCAUGCGCUAUACGAUUGAAAGUUGAUGAUGAUGAUGGUGGAGGCGGUUGAGCAUCGCUGGGGCAUGCUUUUGGCAAUGGUUCCACAUAAGCCUAGAUUCCCACUAAACGAGUCACUUGAAAACGUGCUCAAUUGCUUGUCUUGAGGAAUUCGAUCGGUGAAUUGGUUCUUCGAGAGGUUUAAGUACCCCAAGGGAUGUCAAAUCCCCAAAUUCUUUGGGAAUUGUGCCACUAAGCUUGUUUGAAGAAAGAUCAAACCAUCCAACAUUAUUCAAGUUCCCUAGCAUCAGAGGAAUGGAACCUAUAAGUUGGUCAUGAGAAAGCUUGAGCCCUAUAAGAGAGUGAAGAUGUCCAAUAACUUCCGGAAUAUCCCCUUGGAAAGAGUUGUGUGACAAGUCAAUGGUUGUGAAGACGGUCAAGAUCUUCACUAGCUCAAUUACUUGCCCUUUCAUCAUCUAGUCACGGAAUGACUUGCCCUUGAAAAAGAGUUGUGUGACAAGUCAAGAUUGAGAAAGUGGCGUACACCUCAUGGACACGCAUGAACUCACGCCCCGCGGCUGUUGCCCCCACACCAGCUCGCGCAACGACGUCUGGUUGCAAGAUUCUGGCGAACCUUCGGUAGGCGGUCUUGAUCUCCUGGCCCACGGCGCCAGCCCCAAUCCCCAGCACCUCGUACAGCGACGAGGCCUGGGAGCGGGCCCCAGGGGCCAUUAGCCUCGGCCUCUUGGUGGUCGACGCGCAAGAGGCAGAGACGACGCAAAGCAGGCAGCACCAGACGCUGGACGGCAGGGGCACAGGGUAGCCGCGGCGGGAGGGGGGCGUGGGACUGGAGGAGACGGCAGAGAGAACGAGGGAAGCGGACGCCAUUGGCAAUGUCGAUGUGGAUGAGCGGGAAUGUAAGUUAAUACAGAGUCCGAGCCUGGCAGAAAGAUUGGCAUAACUAUUAUCUUUUUAGCCAUCGCCUAUGAUUAAACCCAAAACAUCCCAAAUCUAGAACCCCAUCAUGCACCCGGUUCUUGGUUCGUAUAGACCCAUAAAUCAUAAAUCGAUUUAAUAGGACCCCAAAAGUAGAAAAUGUGAUGUUACAAAAUAGAGUAGUACAAGAGGUGAGUAUCAACUGUGUAACAAUAGAUCACUACCGUGCGAUUGCCUCGCGAGGUUUCGGAGGAAACUGGUAAGGGACUUUUGAGCCCUUAGUAGCGCAAUGCUAGCUUCUCUCUCAUUUUUAUUAGUAGCGGCUGGUUGUUACUGAAUCGACUAUACAUUCCGUACAAGCUUUCGGAGCUCCUAAUAUAAGUACAACAAAGAAAAGUAUUACUCAUAAACAUGGAACCUAAAAAUGAUUUUGACAAUGUGACGGGGAUGUCAACCACACUAACUACUGGCAAGUGGCAAUUGGCAAAUGCAAAUUUCACCAACAGGCAAUGUUUUUAUAGGCACUAAAGAACGACCUAAACAUUGUGAAGUUUGUGCAUGCCAAGGGAGGCCCAUAUAUAAUGGUGUACAAGCUGGAGGAAUGAAUUAGCCCGACCGACUAUACCUUGUGCCCGACUGACUAUGGCUUGUGCAAAUGUUACCCAUAUCCCAUGUUUUAUGGUGUGUGCUUAUGAAAAACGACCAAUUGGUUUAUGAUGUUAAAAGCAGAAUGUUAAAUGAGUACAGAUUAGGCAACCCAUGGAGCUUUUUCCUCUUUCUUUUUAUUUCAGCCGGCAUGGAUUUGUUCAAGUAGUUAUAAAUGGACCUCGAGAGAUUCGAAUACUCCAACAAUAGAACUAAAAGCUCAGGCUGUAGGAGAUAUCUGUCGACUUACUUGCCGAUCAAAAUCAACGGUGUGAAUGGAGUAAACUUCGUUGGUUAUUUGAAAGUCUUUACUGAUUAAACCGCCAAACCACCUGCUUGCAUGCUCACUGGACUCCUGGGAAUUGAAGAUUGAAAAGCAAGUCACUAAUGAGAAACCUGAACAAAUCUAAAGAAGGAAGAUGAACAUUAUGUAAAACUAAAAUUAUUGCAUGACCAAUGGAUCCCGUCCAAAAUGUGUUGGUUUAAUUUCAGCACGGGUGUAUUUGCACCAAUUCCGAGUACAACCGUUCCAGCAAGAGCAUGAAUAUAAAUCAGGUGGAUUCAAAUGCGAAGGAUAAAUCGAGUUUUGCAUAUACCUACUAAUGAGCGUCAAAUUAAACACUCAUAAGAGAGCUUAGCCUCCCAUUUUUUUAUAAGAUGAUUUGUAGUAUUUCGCUCUUCUUAUAACUCCCCAGAUUUGAUGAAGUUAGCAGGAAUUGGAAAGGCAAAGGCAUUUUUAGUUUCGCUCAUCUUAUAACCAUUCUCCUUUUAGCUAUAAGGGGCUUCCUAAAUCUAGCACCCCAUCAUCCACCGGGUAUUCGGUUCAUAUACUACCCAGAAUUACUAAAUGAUUUAAUCGGAACCCAAGAAAGAGAACGUAAUGUUACAAUGUAGAUUACAACGAGAGGUGAGCAUCAAUUGGGUGAACAUAUAUUGCUACUAGGUAAUUGCCUCGCAAGGUUACCUAGGAAAAUGCUGUGCACGUCAUAGAGGAAUGAAUUAGCCCGAUUGGCUAUAGGCUUGUGCAAAUGUUACCCACAAGCCCAUUACAACCAUCAAUUUGGUUUACGUUGUUAAGAGCAGAAUGUCAAAUGAGAAAUUACCUUGUAUUUUCAGUACAUAAAACUGUCGACACUUGAUAUUGAGUACUUAAAUUCUUAGUGCUUACUUUUUAGUCUUAUCUAACGGGCUUUUAGGCUUCGACUAUGUGGGCCUAGUUAAAAGCCCAAGAUCACCCAUAAAAGAGAGCAUGUUAUGCACGUGUGGGGUGGGUGCGUGUUGUUUCGAGUGAAAUAAUGGAUGGAAUCAGAGUGUGUGGGAAUGAAUGUCAAUGGGCAAAUGCAACACGCCCAUAUCAUGCUGUGAGUUCUAAUGUAUCUAAUUUGAUGAAUAAGGAUUCCAUGGUUCAGAACACUUGUAGAAAUCAGCAGCUCAGAGUAAAAAUGAUGCCAGGAUUUUAGUGUAUGCUUAAAAGAUUUGUAACCAGCAAAGAGUGUUUCCAAUGAUUUUUUUUUACAACGACUAAGGAACUAAGUAUCGAAUCAAUGACGUACUGGUGAAACUUCACACAACCCAUACAUGUUUAACUCGUAGCAGCAGUAGGCAAUGCGGAUUUUUCUUUUUUCUUUUUUAGCAACAAAGUCAAAACCAGGUACCCCCUCCUCUUCCUCGCGUUCUUGUUCGAAAUCUUCUCCUCCUUCGUCAUUAUCUUCGCCAACCCAAGUCUCCAAUACAGAUAAAGCUCGCAGUCUGCUGUGAUCGCCAUCUCUUGUGGCCUCAAUUUAAGCAUGCAUUAAGUCAGGUUCAACUUCACGCAGCAACUUCCCUAACAAAUACGAUUAGUUAAGGAAGUUUACAUCGCAUAUUAUGGACUCGUGAGGCACCAAUGAAAUCAACACCUCUCGUUCCUAUUCUGUAGAAUACAACUAUAUAAAACUGCUUUAGUAGAAAGAAAAAGAAACAAAGACAUUUAUGUUUCAUCUAGAAAUGAAAAAAAAAGUGUUCAGCAAGCAAAAUUUUAGAUAUUCCGCCCGGUUUGAGCAUUCAUGUACGCCUUUCCCGAGCACAUCAUUAGCAGUUACUCAUCUUUAUUGAUAUAUGCUCGAGGAACUAUAGUGCAAGUACCAUCCAAGCACUUUAAAAGUACAAGCCGACACACUCAAACUCAAUCUAAGUAGGGAAAAAAGCGGCAGUUAGGAAAGAGAUGCUUACUCCAAGAACUACUUUGCCCGGAGAGAACUCAUCGUGCAAUGGCCAAGCAUAGUGAUGGAUUUAUGAGAUGGGCUUAAGGCCUGUCCACCCAUGUUGGGCCUAAAAGCCCGGCCCACGGGAAUAGGGCCCGUGGAUGGGGGAAUGUAUAAAAGGGAGGAGAGAGAGAGAGAUGACACCCGUUGGAAUAGAAUGUACGUACGUUCUCUCCCUCGCUCUCUCUCCAAAGAAAAACAGUAAGCAAACGGCGACACUGUCUUCCCUUCAAGGCGUCAUCGGAUCGAGCAGGGCCAGAUUCUCUUCCUCUUAUCGGCGUCGGUGUCUAAUCUGUAGCUAACAAGGUACGCUCGAAUCCGUGGUGUGUUUUACGAUCGGUGAUACGUGAUUUUCCCGGGCUUCGCUUCCGCAUUCGUUUUAGGGGUUCGAUUUAGUGUCGAAUCCGGUUUUCGGGGAUCCGUUAUUCCCAACAUUGGUAUCAGAGCCCUAGUUCAUGUUUUCCCGACCUGUUUGACGUUUUUUCAUUGAUUUUUCGCGAAAAUUUUCGACCGUACGGAUCGGGCCGUGAAAUCCCGACACCCGAGCGCUGUUCGGCCAUUUUUCCGAGUUUUCGUAAGUUGAAAUCGAAUUCUGAUAGCAUAGGAAGAAAUGCGUCGUCAAGACGAGUCCGGGGAUAGGUCGAACGCUGCUGGGCGACGCCACACGCGCGGUCGGAAGGCGCUACGCGUGGGCGCAAUGCGCCCGGAAGCGCUCGCUUCGCCAGCGCGUGCGCUACACGCGCCGGUGGCGAACCGGCACGUGCACGCCGGCGGCCGGCGAACCGGUACGCGCUGGUCGGCGGACCGACGCGUGCUGACGUCACCGUGACGUCACGGUAACCGUCGGGAUUACAUCAUCGGUGACGUCAUCGCCAACGACCGUUGGCCGGCCGGCGACCCGACCUGAUGGCGACCCGACCCAACCCAACCCGCGCGGACGCCUAGCACGCGCGCGGCACGUGCGGUCGGUCGGUCCGACCCGCGCGCCUGUUGACCCAAUCAGUUGACCGACAACCGUUGACCGUGACCGUUGACUUUGACCGUUGACCCGGAAAAAAAAAUUUGUUUCUUUUUUCAAUUAUUAUACCUAUGUGGGUUAUAUGUAAUCCAUUAUUUAUUCUGCAUUUGUUGCAUGAAUUUUUUCGAAAAUUAUGUAUUUUCCCUUAUGUAAAUUAUGGAUUAUAAGUGAUCCAUUUUUAGUUCUGCAUUUGUUGCAGGAACUAUCAUGCGUCAUGCACGAAUACCUGCAAUCCCGAGAACGGACGAGGGAAAUGCAAGACUUAAAAGGCUGAUGUCAGAUUUAGCUAAUUAUCGGUAGCAUGACGGUGAUUUAGUAUCACAUGUGGUCAGGGUCAAUCAGAUGAUACAGGAAAUCAUCUAGAAUGGUUAUCUUAUGUCGGAUUUUGAGAAGGUGCCGGCUUUGAUAAACACUCUUCCACCUGAAUGGCAAGCAGUGUUAGGUCGGCUAUGGGAGGUCAACAUGGUUCGGAUUAUAGAAGGCUAGUGGAAGCUUUUGUAAGAGAGUACUAUAUGAUUGAGUUAACCAAAACUUCAACCCUUAGAAUGAGCGCCACAUGGCGUAGAGUAAAUGCGCCUUGGUGGCGACAUGAAAGCUCUCCAAAAGUUUUUCCAAGGUUGGCAAAUGUGCCUUCAGUUUUCUCAGAUGUUUUGACUGAUAGAUUAGAAGGGACAUUCCCUAAUUAUUUCUUAGAUUAGUUUGAGAUGUUUUAUGGGUGUAAAUAUCUCUUUCCAUGUUGAUAUUUUUUCUCUGUAUAUAUUGCUUAGUGUAAUGUAUGGUUGUAUUAUGUGAAAGCAUUGUUAUUUUACUGAAUAUUAGAUAUUGUUUGCUUUCUGUUAUUGUUGACUGCUGUGGGUAGUUGAUAGAAGUUUUUGUAACUUCAUAGGAUUUAUUUUGCAUAAGACAAUUAUAUUAAUAAUAAUUUUGAGUUAGGAUUUUUGGAGGAUGAUUGGAAACAUAGUGACCUUUUUUAUUCUGAAACCUUACUUGAAAUUAUUCAUUGAUAUGAUGGGUCUAUGCAAAUACGGAUGCAUAAAUGAUAGGCAUUAAUUAUUCGUGCAUGUAUGUCUGAUAUGUUCAGAUCGAUGUUUUCAGCAACUAAGAACGUAAUUGCUUAUAUGAACAGCAACAAUUGUGAAAUAUUGAAUAUGAAUAUUCAAUAUGUGCUGGAAAAGCAAGAAGCACUAGAAGCUCUUGACCAUAUUAUGGAAGAUCUAGAGGAUGCUGUGCGCCACCUUGAGCUAGUAGAGGACUGCCUAUCGGCAUUUGAGCCGAAAAUAGACAUUGGCAAUGCUGGUUCUAGCUCAGAAAGGGUUUUGAGCUCUAAGCGCAAACAUAUUAAUUCGUACAAAUGUGACAAGAUAGGUCACUAUACUCGCAACUGUUGUGAACCGAAAAAGAUAAACACCUCUUGUACAUUUGAGAACUUUGAUUAUGUGUCAAGUUCUGCAUUAUUGGCUGAAUCCAAUCCUUAGUGGACUAUAGAUUCAGGAGCGACAGACCAUGUAGCGAAGGAUAGAGGAUCCUUCGUUGAAUUCCGACGAGUACCAACUGGAACUAAGUGGAUCUAUGUGGGAUAUAACUCCAGAGAUGAAGUUAAAGGGAUUGGCACCUGCCAAUUGAACAUGCGUGGUGGACGCACCUUGUUCCUACAUGAUGUUCCAUAUGCUCCAGAGAUUCGUCGAAAUUUAAUGUCUGUUUUGGUGUUGGUUAAGCUUGGUUUUAGUGUGAACUUCCGUAAUAGAGAUGUAGAUUUGCAUUUGGAUACAAACUACUAUGGUUGUGGUCACUUUCUAGAUGGUUUCAUUGUACUAGAUGUUGACUGUGGUGAUGUCAAUAUUUGUUCCCUUGUUUCACGUCUUCUACUUAAUAUGAUAAUGAUGUGAAUGUGUGGCAUGCUAGACUUGGUCAUAUUGGCCAACAACGUAUGAAUAGACUAGCCAAAGAGGGCUUGUUGGGCAACAUUGAAAAAGUCGAUUUGCCAAUAUGUGAGCAUUGCCUAGUAGGGAAAAUGACAAGAAAACCAUUUGAAAAGGUAAAAGAGCUGAAUUUCAUCUGCAUUUAAUCUAUUCUGAUGUAUGUGGUUCAAUGAAUGUGAGAGGAAGGCAAGAGGCUGUUUAUUUCAUCACUUUUAUAGAUGAUUCUACUCGAUUCAGAUAUGUUUAUUUGAUUUCUCAUAAAUCUGAAGCAUAAGUUGUUUCAAAAUGUUUAUGAACUUGGUAGAAAAUCAAUUAGACAAGAAAAUAAAAGUAUUUAGAUCUGAUCGAGGUCGAGAAUAUUUAUCUGAUGAGUUCAGAAAAUUAUGUGAUGAAAGAGGAAUAAAAAGACAGUUGUCUAUUCCAUAUACUCCUCAACAAAAUGGUGUUGCGGAGAGAAUAAACAUAACCCUACUAGAAAUGGUUAGGUCUAUGAUGGCGCAUGCUAACUUACUUUUCACUUUUUUGGAGUGAUGCGUUGUUAACUGUUGCCUGUAUACUUAACCAGGUGCCUUCCAAAUUAGUUAUUUCCACUCCAUAUAAGUUAUGGAUAGGUAGAAAACCGGACUUAAGUUUUCUUAAGUCAUGGGGUUGUGCUGCCUAUACUCAUAAGUCCUCUCACAAGUUUGGGAAAUUAGGUCCCAAAGGAAAUAAGAGUAUUUUAAUGAGAUACUCCGAACACUCGAAAGGGUAUGUGUUCAUAGGUGAGCAGGAAAGUGGGAGUAUAACUGAAUUUGAAUCAUAGGAUGUCACGUUCUUAGUGGAUGAAUUUCCUAAGAAGGGCGAAAUAGGAGAAGAUUUCUCUAUAUUUGAAACCUUGGAUCAAGAUGAUGAUAUCGUCAUUAUCUAAUCUAUCGUCAUUAUCUAAUCCAAGUGGGAGCAUAAUGGGAAAUGAUGUGCUAAGUGUGCAAUUUCCCAUACGGCGAACAAGUUGCCAAAGUAUUCUCCGUCGACGUUUUGACAUUGAAGGGGAAACUUUUAUGGUUGCUCCACAAGAUGAAGAUGAGCCAAGAAAUAUUAAUGAGGCUCUAAAUUGCCCUAGUAAGGAAAAAUGGAUUUAUGCAAUAAAAGAAGAAAUUGAGUAAAUGAAGUCAAACCAUGUUUAAGAACUGGUUGAUCUUCUAAAAGGACGCAAAACUAUUGGGAACAAGUGGGUUCUCAAAAUAAAGCGAAAGGCUGAUGGCUCAAUAGAAAGGCAUAAGGCUCGCCUUGUGGCGAAGGGGUAUAAUCAACAGGAAUGAAUUGAUUAUGAAGAUACGUUUUCUCCUAUAGUAAGAUUUACCUCGAUUCGCAUUAUUCUGGCAAUAAUGGUUAGUAUGGAUCUUGAGUUACAUCAGAUGGAUGUAAAGACUGCUUUCCUCAAUAGAGAAUUAGAGGAAGAAAUAUAUAUGGAACAAUCUGCUGGUUUCAUAGUGUAAGGCCAAGAAGAAAAGGUAUGUCGACUUUGGGGGUCGAUAUAUGGCCUUAAGCAGUCGUCAAGACAAUGGUAUAUACGUUUUUCGUAAUGCCAUAAUGGCAUAUGAAUUUACAAUGAUAGAUGAGGAUCAUUGUGUAUAUAUCAAAAGAUCCAAAGAUCAAUUUGUGAUCAUAUCAUUAGAUGUUGAUGAUAUACUAAUUGCCAGAAGUAAUAUGGAGUUUGUUAAUACUGUGAAGAAUUCGUUGUCUUCCAACUUUGAGAUGAAAGACAUGGGUGAUGUUAUAUACAUUCUUGGAGUUAAGAUUUCAAGAUUGCAAACCCAUAAACACUCAUAUUACAAAAGGUGAAAUAUUGAGCCAUAGACUGUGUCCAAGAACUCUAUAAGAGAAGGAACAAAUGAAACAUGUUCCUUAUGCUAGUGCUGUUGGAAGCUUGAUGUACGCUAUGAUGUGUACAAGACCUGACAUAUGUUUUGCAGUUGGAAUGGUGAGUAAAUACCAAUCCAAUCCAAGUCAAACACAUUGGAAAGCCGUUAAGAGAAUACUAUGAUAUCUAAAGGGAACUGCUGAUUAUACGAUGAGUCAUUAAGAAAAGGAUCUGCGACUCUAAGGCUAUUAUGAUGCUGAUUGGAGAGGAGAUUUAAAUGAAAUGAAAUCUACCUCUGGCUUUGUUUUCUUACCGAAUAAUGGCACCAUAUGUUGGAGCAGUAAGAAACAAAAGUGUAUAGCCUUGUCCACGAUGGAAGUUGAGUUCGUGGCAUUAUCAGCAGUAGUAUAAGAAUGUGUUUGGCUUAAGAGAUUUUUUGGAUCAUUUAGGUGUUAUUGGAAGUGCUGCAGAUUCAUUGUUGGUUAACUGUGAUAACCAAGCAGCAAAAGUGUACACCAAAGAUCCAAAAUAUCAUGGCAAGACCAAACACGUAGAUACCAAGUAUAAUUUUGUCAAGGAUAUGAUUGCACGAAAAGAUGUGAACUUAGAGUACAUACUACGCAUAGAAUGGUAGUAGAUCCUAUGACAAAGCCAAUACCUAGAGAUGUGUUAUGUGGCCAUAUGAAAUCUCUAGAACUGCGUAGAGGCUGAUGUACUGAAUAUUGUAAUUUCCCUAAGUGUUCACAUUUGAUGAAUUUGUGUUUUCAUCAUUAAUGCCUAUGAAUCUUUGUUUGAUCUCUAUGCAUCUUAAUGCUCAGUGCAUUACUUUAAGUUAAGAGAAGUAUGUCGGACAGAUAUAAGAUUAGCCCACUCACACGGGUAAUCGCCUCUGUUUACUGUGUGAUAAAUAGAGAUGAGACUGUUUUUAAGCUUAUUAUAUAGGUGAUAAUCGAGAGCUCAAGCUUAAAACACGUAUGUCACCUUAACUAAGUGUUAAGAUGAGGACAUAAUUCUUACGAUGUCCGAAAGUAAAAUACCCCACAUAUUUUACUUUAUCUGUCUAAGAUGCCAGAUAUGAGUUCUGAUGAAUUUUGUGAAUGAGUAGAUACGUGAACUCAAGUUAGACAUUGGGUAUGUCUGAACUAUCAUCUGUACGGUAUUGAAAAUGUAGACAUACGCUCCAUGGGAAAGGAGUUGAGACCGUAAUACGUAUUUCAUACUACGUAUGCAUGAGACGACCAAUAAGAGUGGCAAAAAGUUUGAUAUCAACUUUUAUGACGUGUGAGACUCUUGAGGAAAAGAGUUCCUCAAUAUUUAGUCCCCUCAUGACUCUUACUUAUUCUCAAGAUUUCUAUUUAGUGGUUGCUAUCUUAGGAUGUUGCCAAUGGUCAUGAGUUUGAUUCGAUCUAAUGGGACAUUUCUAGAAAAGCAAGCUAAACUGAAAUUGAGAGUUUGAAGGAAAGAGGAAUAUCAUUUUUGGAGAAUCACAUUAUAGUUUUGUAUUCACCGGUUAACCAAUUAUGACUGUCUUUGGGAUAAUCAUAAUUGUGAAUACAAUAUAUAUAUCAUUGUUUAAAAGAGAUCAAGAGAGAUAUAAAUGUGAUCGAUCGAUCUAGGGAACUGCAUACUAAAUCUACUCAGGAUGUGAUGCCCAUUAUGAGCUGCUAUAUAUUCCUAACAGAUGUAUGGCAACGAGCUCUCAAAGUAUGCUGGUCGCACGGAUUAUUCACCGGUAUGAAUGUUGAAGAGAGGUAAAGAGAAUUCUGUUCGGCCCACCAUGUGCGAGUGGGAGAUGAUGGAUUUAUGAGAUGGGCUUAAGGCCCGUCCGCCCAUGUUGGGCCUAAAAGCUCGGCCCACGGGAAUAGGGCCCGUGGAUGGGGGAAGGUAUAAAAGGGAGGGGAGAGAGAGAGAUGACACCCGUUGGAAUAGAAUGUACGUACGUUCUCUCCCUCGCUCUCUCUCCAAAGAAAAACAGUAAGUAAACGGCGACACUGUCUUCCCUUCAAGGCAUCAUCGGAUCGAGCAGGGCCAGAUUCUCUUCCUCUUAUCGGCGUCGGUGUCUAAUCUGUGGCUAACAAGGUACGCUCGAAUCUGUGGUGUGCUUUACAAUCGGUGAUACGUGAUUUUCCCGGGCUUCGCUUCCGCAUUCGUUUUAGGGGUUCGAUUUAGUGUCGAAUCCGGUUUUCGAGGAUCCGUUAUUCCCAACACAUAGCAAAGCAAACACCAGGUGAAGCGGCAAGAAAGGCGAGAAGAUUGUCACAAACACACACGUACACACUUACAAAAACAUGAAUAAAAAUGAGAUAGUACCAAUUUAAUUGAACUGCCUUCGCUUUCCUUCUGGAACAUCCGGUCCCAGUCUCUGCGACAAAUCAACAAACAUCUCAACGGCAUCACCUUUGCAAGCAUCCGAGCGCCCAACGCUGCUUGCUCCAGAGAAGCCACUCUGCAAUCUCCCUUUUUAAAGAAAGUAUAACGAAUCUACAGUGCUCCGUUAUUGACACCAUUAUAUCCACGAAGCCCGUGAAAGCUCAAAUCCGUGCCGCCUCCAGGACACAUUGUUUUUCCCAGCACAAUCUGAGGAUUGAUUUGGGGAUGGGACAAGGAAGUGAGCUCCAUGCCCCAGGGGACAUCACACCGAGCCUCGCGCUCUUUCUAGUUGAGGCUCUUCUAGGCGUCAAAGUCGGAGUCGCUGCCGUACGACGGUGGGCAGUUGGGGAAUCUGAGCCCGCACGGCCGAUGACGGAUGUCGCGGUGUGCCGAAGGGACCACGCCGUCUGGAACAGACAACGGUGAGGAUGUGACGUCGUUCCAAAGGGCGAAAGAGAUAAGGGAGAGGGGGAGAGAUGGUGGCGGCGGCCAACGGCGGCGGUGGAACCUCGGCCAUGGCCGAAGGGGCAUGUAAAAUGGGCAUUGACAGACUCGUCUAAUCAGUAGGAUUUUAUUAACAACCGUCAACUAAAUGCAUUAAGGUCAGUAUCUACUCCUAAUUCUUCACGGACAAAUAUAACCAAGGCAAACAGGAAGAUGGAAAAGAUAUCUGCAGUGGAUAAUGGCUCUAUAUUCAUUUUCCUGUUUUUGUGGCUCUUUUUUUUUUUUUAAGCUGUGUGCUUGACAAAUUUGAUUAUUCAUCUUUUCAAUUCAACUCAUAUACAAUUACACCAAUAUACAAAAGGAGAAGACUAAUAACAUAAAUGAUAUUUGAAGCCAAUUAGGCGACAUCUUUAUUUAGUGAAUUUACAUUACAAGAUUGAAAGAGACAACUUAUCUACAAUUUCAUUGUCCAUGAAACUUGAUGGCUUUCCGCUUUGGCUUCUCCAUCCACUAGGCUACACUUCUUUCUAGCAUUCUUACGCCUCGCGAGAGCCAUUUAGGCCUUCCCGUUUCAAUUGCAAUGUAUACUACGGAGAUCCCAAUUACAAUUCCAGAUGCAUAACAUAUCCACACUACUUUCUGUUUGAACCAAAUCUCAUGUCCUUCGCGGUCCAAAGUUGAUGAGGAUGAUGGUGGAGGAGGUUGAGCAUAGCCAGGGCAUGCUUUUGGCAAUAGAGUUCCACAUAAGCCUGGAUUUCCAUUGAAUGAGUCGUUUGAAAAUGUGCUCAAUUGCUUGUCUUGAGGAAUUCGACCAAUGAGUUGGUUCUUCGAGAGAUUUAAGUACCCAAGGGAUGCCAAAUCUCCUAGUGUUCUAGGAAUUCCCCCACUAAGCAUGUUUGAAGAAAGAUCAAGCCAUCCGAGAUUAGUCAAGUUUCCUAAAGUCAAAGGGAUGGAACCAAUAUGUGAAAGGUUGAGUCCUAUGAGAGAGUGAAGAUGGCCAAAAGCUUCAGGAAUGUCUCCUUGGAAAGAGUUGUGUGACAAGUCAAUGGUUGUGAAAAUGGUCAAGAUCUUCGCUAGCUUUGUUUCUUUCCCUUUCAAUGUCACGAUCACAGCAUUUUCAUAUGACCCUUCAAAGGAAGACCAUGUCAUAUACAAUGGUUCAUCUUGCUUAUGUUCUCUAUUCUUCAUGCCUCUAAGGUUCAUUAUCAAGUUGGCUGGUAAAAGACCGCCAAAGUUGUUGUUGGAGAGAUCCAAAAUGUGUAACUUCGAAAAGAUGAGAUCUCCCUUCAAAAUAUUCAGAAGACCCUUCAAAUUGUUGGACCUCAAAAUGAGAACUUUUAGUUUCGAAAGUUUUCCCAACCAUAUUGGGAAUGUAUCUUCUAUUUGAUUGCUACUAAGAUCCAAAAUUUCCAAAUCUCUACAUUUGACAAGAGACCGGGGGCAACAUGCCUUCAAACCAAUUUUGGCUCAAGUCAAGAGUCAUCAAGUUAUUUUUAGAAUAAAGUGAUUGAGGAAUUGUUCCCUCGAGGUGAUUCAUUCACAAGUUCAAAACUGACAAGUUGAUGCUAAAAUUUGUUAUGCAUUAAGGCAAGCUACCCAUUAAGCCGUUGUUGGACAAGUCGAUGACCUCGAGCUGGGUUGCAUUGCAUAUCAAAGAGGGAAUCUUUCCUGUUAUAUUGUUACUUGCAAUGGAAUAAUACCUUGUUCUGGGAGACGGAAGUGGAAUUGGCCCUCUAAAUUUUUUUUAGACAAAUCUAUUGCAUAUAAUGAGGUGUUAGAGAAAACCUUCGUGGGCCACCGUCCAAUAAAAUUGUUGUUGGAAAUUGAUAAAUGUUGAAGAACUGGGAAGGAGAGUUCAAAGCCAGUGAGGUUAAUCCUACCAUGAAAUUUGUUGGAUUGCAAAUCAAGGAAAGUUAAUUGCGGUGCUUUUAGCCAAUGUGGGAAUAUAUCAUUGAAUUCGUUGUGACCAAGAAUCAGUGAAAAUAAUUGUGCACAUUUGGCUAGGGAGCGUGGUAAUGACCCUUAUAAUUUAUUGUUGCUCAAGUCUAAAAUUGUAAGAUCGGUCAUAUUACCAAAAGAUGGGAGCACAGUCCCCAUGAGAUUAUUGUUGCUUAAGUCUAAAAUGCUAAGAUUGGUCAGUCCCCGAUAAAUUAUUGUUGCUCAAGUCUAAAAUUUUAAAAUUGGUUAUAUUACCAAAACAUGGGGGCAUAGUCCUUGAGAGAUUAUUGCUAGACAAUCCUAGAUGGACAAGUGAACUCGAUUGACAAAUUGAAGAGGGGAUCUCGGAGAAACCAUUGUUCUUGGCCAAAAAGAAAACAGUAGAAGGUGAAAGGAUUGGGAGUGGUCCUUGGAAUGAGUUUUUCAAAAGGUUAAUGUACUGCAAUCGCUUCCAAUGCAAUUGGUGUAUACCUCCCUCCAUAAGGUUAUUGGAAAGAUCUAAAUAUUCCAAUGUAUGAUGGCUUAUUCCCCAAAAUCACAUGGGGAUCUCCCCACUAAUCUUAUUGGAAGAGAGGUCUAAGUAUGUUAAUCUUUCUAACGAAUUCAAGAAAUAGGGGAAUUUGGUCAAGUUGCAAUAUGACAUCGUCAACGAAUGAAGCUUCGGGAGAAGGAGGGAACCAUUGGAAUAGACAACGUCAUGAAACAAACUAUUACUAAGAUCGAGAUCGAUGACAUUACCGGUGACAUCGUCGCAAGUGACCCCACCCCACGAGCAGCAGUUUACACUCUUGUUCCAUGCUACAUCCGUUUUGCAUGGGCGGAAUGGGAUGGUCGAUUGAUAAGAGUAAUUAUGUAUCGAAGGACAAAAGACAAUCUCCUUCUCAUCAAGAAGGAAGGAAUUCUUAAAAUGGAGCAAGGUAUCACGCUGGUGAGGAGGGCAGAGGGGGGAGGCAAGGGGAAGAGGGGAAUGUAAGAAAAAGAGGAAACAAAGGAGGAUGAGGAUUUGAAGCCACCUCAUUUUGCAAUUUAGCAUGCAAGUGAAUUUAUUAGAGAUGGAAAGUGCUUCCCUUUAUAUAGCCUUUGUCAACUGUGAAGUCAUUGAAGCAAGUCUUCUCGAAGGUUCCAUUGGUGGGCUCAAAACGUGUGUCACCCAUUCUAAAAGCUCUAUUACUUGGCAUAUGAGUAAUUUCAUAUACGACUCAGACAGAAUGAUUUCUCAUUUUCUCAUGGUUAAGGAAGAUCAGAUUUUCUGUCAAAGUUAAUUUAGUCAUAGGUACACAAAGUGUGUGAAAUGAAUAUCCAGGUUAAAAGAAAUUUUCUUUCCUAGGCACAUACACUUUUAAUUUGUUCAUUUAUUUUAUAUCAAUCACGACGAGGAUGGACUGAAAGAAACAUUGACAGAGAGGGAUUGUUAACGUAAGCUUUGUGACCCUAGGCCUCGGGGUCUCCACUGCAUCCUGAAGAUAAACACAACAGCAACUUAACAUCAAACACAAGACGUGGAAAGAAGAGUAAUUAAAUAAUAACUUUUUAUGACGUCAAGUGAUUGUUUUGUAUAGCUAUAGUUUAGUAAUUUUACUAAAGUGACAUUAACUUUUCCAGUAAUUUUAAUAAGUAGCGAUCAUAGACCAUAGUCGGGGAAUUGAGUUAUAAAUUCUCCAUAUUUGAGCUUUACAUCGGAGAAAGUUCCCUCCUAUUUGUGACCUUCUCUAAUCAGUCCCACUUCAGGGCAUCAAAAACGAGUACUGCGCGUGUUUGGGGAUGUAACUUGGAAGGGUUUUCUUCCCAGCUUCAAUCGGCGCUGCAUUUUCUCGAUCUCAAUAUUCCAUGAAAUGAAUAAAAAUUGCUUUAUAUUCACUUUAGCAUGGGAGUGAAAGUUCUUGCAAUUAUACGGCCCUUAUAAAGUGUGAAGUCAUCCACGCAAGUCUUAUCUAGAAAGUCUGUUGGUGAGCUCCCAAAAUGGGUUAGCCGUUCUAAAAGGUCUAUCGGUGGGAUUGUUGAAUCCAUACGAUUGCCAUCAUGAUGUUUUAUAGCUGGAAUAGGAUGAAAUAUUAUUGCUGGUGACAUAGGGAUUCAACUCAUAUAACCCUUCUAACAAGCCAAGUGAUCAACACGAAAGUCUUCUCUCCAAAGGUCUGUUGGUGGGCUCAUGCCAAACAAUUUCGCAGCGCGUUCAUCGACCCUAUAUUUACGUUCAGGGAUGAGCAAAAAAAAAAAAAAGAAAAAAAAAAGAAAUGAAAUCAUCCUUCUGCUCUAGUUCAAUAAGUAGUGCCUUUUGUUGUAAUGUAAUGCUGGAUCUUGAAAUUUAAGUCGAUACGAAAUCAUUGAAGAAAUAAAUGAGGAACAAUAAAGAACGCCAAAGAUUUCCGUGGUUUAGUUCGAGUGUCUGUACUUACAUUUACGGAGAGAGUCAAUAGCAAAUAAUCCAUUAGAAUCAAAGAAUCAAAAUUACAACCACUUAAAUACUCAAAUAUUUCCUAUGUCUAGAUCACACCUAAGCUAAUGGUAUUUACAGUACAAAAUUCGCCAUGGUCAACGCUCUUGCGUUUUUCAACACAAAAAGAAAAAAACACUCCUGCGUGCGAUCGAGCAAAAAGAGUGUCACCCUGCGAACCCUUUCUUACUUCGCUGUUAGUCUGUUUUUGGAGUUCACUCCACGGCUCGAAGGAAUUCUUCUGUGUGGCCGAGAAAAGGCACUCCGCCCCCACAGGAUUUAUGUGUUUCCCAAUUUUAUUUUUUUUAUUCUAUAGAAGUCAACAAAUCCACUUUUGAUUGGGACCAACCGAUUAUUCUUAGUUCCUUUUCUUGUACACCAUACCCAUUUUCAUGCAAUACAAUUUCGAUAACUCAUACUCGACUCAUCUUAGACCCCACCCAUACUCGACCUAACCCAUAUUGCUAAAACAAAUUCAUACUUAACCCUAACUAUGAAAGUAAAUACCAACUCAUUUAAUCUACUUUGGGUGCGUUUAGUUAAGCUUUUUUAAGGAGCUUUGGGCCGUCAAGGCCUCUAGGAAAAAAAAAACUGAGAUAUUUGACAAGCAUUUUGAAGUGGCUUUUGGUCAAAUGAUAGCCUUAAGAUUGUUGAAAUUAAAAAAGUAAAAUACCAAAAUAUGAAAAUAUAAAUAAAUAAAAGGAAAAACAUAUUAAAAAAUUCAAAGAGCCCAAAGGGGACUAUGUUUGUUUAUUUUAUUUUAUUUUAAAAAUUGAAUUUUAAUUUUUAAUUUCUUUUUCUUUUUCCUUCUUCUUCACCUAACCAUCGAAAACGACAAUUAGCAAUAGGGGAGCUCAAGCCUCACCACAAGUCGGGAAGGCUCAAGCUCGCUUGUUUCCAACGAGCCAAGCCAAGCCAGAGGUCGGUGAGCUUGAGUAUCACAAGCACCAAAGGUCGGCCAAGGUCUAGCUUCACCAACCACCAACGAAGAAAGAAGGAAACCCCCCCCCCCCCCCAACAAAAAAAAAAGAUAAAAAAAAGAUAAAAUUUAAGAAAAUUUUAAAAAAAUAAAAAGAAGAGAUUAGAUUUAACAAGAAGAGAUUCUAAGGCCAUUAUUUAGAGGCUUAUUAUAAUUUGAUCCACCCUGAUGGUUUUUAUUAAUUAAUGUGAUGGGCCUAAGUUGGCCCGUCCGCCCAUGUUGGGCCUAAAAGCCUGGCCCACAAGAUUAGGGUCCAUGGAUGGAGGGAUAUGAUGAAUGGGUACGUUUCUUUUUUGGAGGGGACGUACAUAAGGGAGAAAAGAGAGGAAGGAAGGCACUUUUGGCAUUUACGUACGUUCCUCCUUCCUCUCUCCCUCCAAAAGAAAAAUAGUAAGUAACGUGCAACGCUCUCUUACCUUCAAGGCCAAUUGACGUCAUCGGAUCGAACGGGAUCAGUUUCUCUUCAUCAUAUUGGCGUCGGUGUUUAAUCUGUGGCUAACAAGAUACGCUCAAUUCCGUGGUGUGCUUUAGGAUUGGUGAUGCAUAUGUUUUUCCCGGGCUCGUCUUCCGCACAAGUUUAGGGGUUCGAUUUAGUGUCGAAUCCGGUUUUUGGAAAUCCGAUAAUCCCAACACACCCAUUAGAAAAAAGCUAUUAGAUCCAUCCCAUUAUUCACUUUAGCAUGUGACUAAAAGUUCUUCAAGUUAUACAGCCCUUAUAAAGUGCGAAGUCAUUGUCGCAAGCCUUCUCUGGAAGGUCUGUUGGUGACCUCCCAAAAUGGUUUAGCGCUUUAAAAGCUGUAUCGGUGGGAUUGUUGAGCUAAGAUGGAAUAUUAUUGGUGGUGACAUAUCCGACUUCUAAGGGUCCCAAAAAGCUGCCAAAUUGGGUUGAAUUUAUUUCAUGGGUUGAACCCAAAUUUCUAUCCGUUAGAUACUCUCAAUGGCGACUUAUCGUGGGACCAACACUACAUAUUCAUGAUGAAUUGAGGUUGUUGCAUAGUCAGCCGAUUUGAAGAAAUCUGAUUCCAAGGUUGACCAGGUUUCAUGUCCUUUUGUUUUGGGCAAGAAACUUGUUCCUUAUUGGUCAAACUGAAGAUGGACUUGUUCGACAUGCGUAAUGGGGUCGAACGAGCUUUUUCUACCGCCCAUCAAUUGCGGCCAUCGUUUGUUCAUCUCCCUUUCCACUACGAUAUAAUUACUAAUCUCUCAAUGUGUUCGGAUGGAUUAAAUCUUUGAUUAUUCUUACUUUAACCUUCUAUUUUCAAUUAUAGAUCUUUGACCUUUCGGGAGGGAAGAAUUAUAAGAAAGAUACGGAUUUCUAUAAGAAUCACGCUAUUUCACUUAUUUGCGUUCUAAUUGGACUUUCAAUGAAAAAAGAAAAAGGUCAAAGAUAAUUAGAUUAGAUGGGAUAUUAUUGGUGGUGACAAAGGGAUUCAACCUAUUUAACCCUUCUAACAAGCCAAGUGAUCAACAAAGUCUUCUCUCAAAAGGUCUUCUGGGAUGCUCAUGCCAAACAUAUUAUUAUAUUGCCCACCAAGGCUACAUCAAAUGGAAUUGGAUCCCGUGUAAAAAGCGUUCUAGCUUUGUCAAAAGUAAACAAAGUUUAGAGAAGGAAGUUAAGACAAAAUUUAUCAUCAUAUUUCCUUUGUCUUUGGAGUGAUUUUUCACUUCCUAAAAUUAGGAAAUAAAAAAACAUUCAAUAGAAAACCUUGCCAUGAAUUACCCUUAAUCAGACAGGAUCAUGUUUCUCGAUGGUUUUUUUCUUCCUCUUUUCAUCGACCCUAAAGUUACGUUCCGGGAUGAGCCAACAAGAAUAGAAAUUAAAUCAUCCAUUAGUUUCAGUCAAUUAGUAACGCUUUUGAUGUAAUAUUAUGCGGAGACUAAUAUUGAAUCUUGCAAUUUAAAUCAAUGCAAAAUUACUAAAAAAAUAAACGAGCAACAAUAAAGAACGCUAACGAUUUACGUGGUUCGAUCUAAGUGUUGGUACUUAUAUUUACGGGCAAAGCCAAUUGCAUAUAAUCCACUAUAAUUAGAUAAUCAUAAUUACAAUUGCUCACGCACUCAAGUAUUUUAUUACAUCUAAAUUAUACUCAAGAAUACGGUGUUUAUUAAUAAAAUAACUCAAUUGGACAAAAAUUCAUAGCACAAAAUCCAUCGUGGUCAACACUCCUCCAUGUGAUCGAAAAAAAGGGUGUUAGCAUGCGACCCGUUUCUUACUUCGCCCUACCGUCUUUUUUUUUUUUGGGGAGUUCACUACACUGCUGGAAGGAAUUAUGUGCGGCCAAAGAUAGGUACUCCUCCCUAGGGGUGAGCAUGGUCCGAAUUAGGCCGAUCCACCUCCUAACCUUAGGAUCAAUCCGUACAGUGUUGCUUCUCAAUUUUUGGGACUGAGGACUGGCCCUAUUAAGCCUAAGACCGAGGCCGGACCAACCUAAUGGGUUUGGUUCGGUUCCAAGAUCAACCCAGGACCAACCGAUAAUUUUUUUAUUUCAUUUUUUGCAUUUCCUAAAAAGGCGAUCGAGAAUCGGACCAACCUAAUGGGUUUAGUGACGAACAAGGUUAGCGAAGAGAGGCGAGCAGCGUGAGCAAGGAGUGUCAAGUGGGGUGAGCGUCGAGCAGUCAGCAACACAAGUGACCAAAAGCGAGGGAGGCGAGUGUUGAAUGGCGAGUGAAGAAGUUGUUUCUUUCAAUUUUAGCAAGUUGAAGACUAAGAUGACAAAGAAGACAUAAGAGAACGAGUACUGGAAAAUAAUAUCAUUAUGAGCUAUUUACGCUGUGAGAACUCCUCAUAGAGACAUUUUCCUCAUUUGUAAAUAUGGUUGUUGAUGCCAUAAAAGACAUUAAUAUAUUCACCACUACCACACAACAGUCUUAGAUCUUUGUUCAUGUGUAGAACGUCUAGCGUACUUCUUUUGUGCUUAGGUGAUGUAAUCAUAAUAGAUGCAACACUGAGAGUGUGAGAGAGGAUAUAGUAAGGGCAUAUUUCAAUGUAGUUGAUUACGGUGUAUGCAUAUUGGUAUUCAUUUUGUACGCCGUAUUAGCUCACGACCUUCCUAGGGGAAAAAAUGUGUUGGUUUAAUUUCAGCGCUGGUGUAUUUGCACUAGAUUCAAGCACGUAUGUUCUGGCAAGAGCAUGAAUAAUACUCAGGUGCAUUCAAAUGCAAAGGAUAAACUGAGUUUUGCAUAUAACUACAAAUAAGUGUCAAACUAAAAACUCAUAAGAAGAGAGCUUAAUCUCCCAAUUUUUUUCAUCGGAUGAUUCGCACUAUAUCGCUCUUCUUAUAGCCCCGUGGAUUUGAUAAAAUUAGCAGGCAUUGGAAAGGCAAAGGCAUUGUUAAUUUCACUCUUCUUAUAACCAUUCUCCUUUUAGCUAUUGCCUAGGAUUGAAAACGGGACUUCCUAAAUCUAGCACCCCCAUUAUCCACCAAGUAUUCCUUUCAUAUACUACCCAGAAUUAUGAAACAACUUAAUCUAAACCCAAGAAAGAAAACGAAAUGUUACAAGUAGAUUACCACAAGAGGUGAGUGUCAAUUGUGUGAUCAUAUAUUGCUAUUAGGUAAUUGCCUCACAAAGUUACUUAGGAAACGGGUAAGAGACAAACCAUGCUAGCUUCUCUCAUUUUCAUUAGCAGCGGCUGGGUGUUCUUGAAUAGACCGCAUACUCCCCAUAAGCUUUCGCAGCUCCUAUUGGAAGUGCAACGUAGGAAAAUAUUCACCAUUACCAUGCGAACUUGAAGAUAAUUUUGACAGUGCGAUGUAGGAGAUGACGAUCAUGCUAAGUACCGGCAAUUGGCAAAUGCAAAUCUCAGCUACAGGCAAUGUUUGCAUUGCUCACUGAAGAACGAUCUAAACAUGGUGAAGUUUGUGCAUGGCAAAGGCAGGCACAUACAAAAUGUUGUGCAAGUUAUAGAGAAAUGAAUUAGCCCGACCAACUAUAGGCUUGUGCAAAUGUUACCUACAUGCUGAUGAAAAACCAUCGAUUCGGUUUACUUUGUCAAGAGUAGGAUGUCGAAUGAGAAACUACUUCCUAUCUUCAGUACAUAAAACUGUCCACACUUGAUAUUACCUACUUAAAUUCUCAAUACUUAUUAUUUUAGUCUUAUCAAACAAGCUUUUGGGCUUCGAAUAUGCGGGCCCAGUUAAGCACCCAAGAUCACCCAUAAAAGAGAGCAUGUGAUGCGGGUUCGGGGUGGGAGAAUGUUGUUUUGAGUGAUAAUAAAUGGAACCAGAGUGUGUGGGAAUGGAUGUCAAUGGGUAAAUGCAACACGUACGUAUCAUGCUGUGAAGUCUAAUGUAUCUAAUUCGAUGAAUAAGAAUUCCAUGGUUCAGAACACUUGUAGAAAUCAGCAGCUCUCGGUAAAUACGAAGCCAGGAUUUUAUUGUCUGCUUAAAAGAUUUGUAACCAGCAAAGUCUGUUUCGAAUGAUUUUUUAGCAACAACUAAGGAACUAAGUAUCGAAUCAAUGAAGUACGGGUGAAAUUUUCUUCUCUAGGUGAUUGGGAAGUGGACUGAUCACACAGCCCAUAAAUGCUGAACUCAUUUUCCUCUAAGAGGAUGCAAAUGAAACUUUUGAGUGGCAGCGGGAGGCAAUGCAUAUUUUUUUUUUCAGCAAGAAAGUUGGAAACCAGGUACCCCCUCCUCUUCCCCGUGUUCAUGUUCGAAAUCUUCUUUCUCCUUCGUCAUUAUCUUCGCCAACCCAGGCCUCUGAUACAGAUAAAGCUCGCAGCCUGCUCUGGUCACCAUCUUCUGCGGCCUCAAUUGAAACAUCCAUCAACUCAGGUUCCACGUCUCGCAGCAACUUCCCCAACAAAUGUGAUUAAUUAAGGAAGUUUACAUUGGACAACAAAUCAUUGACACCUCUCGUGCGUAUUUUGUAGAAUACAACUAAAUAAAACUGCUUUAGCAAAAAGGAGAAAAAAAAAAAAGAAGACACUUAUGUUUCAUCUGGAAAUGACAGCAAGCAAAGUUUCAGAUUUUUCACACGGCUUGAGCAUUCGUGUACGCCUUUCUCAAGCAAAUCAUUAGCAGUUACUCAUCUUUAUUGAUAUAUGCUCGAGGAACUAUAUUGCAAGUACCAUCGAAGCAUUUUCAUAGGAAAAACUGCUCCCACUCCGCACUACUUACUAUGCAAAGUUAACCAUAAGUCUCUCCUUUCCACUACAAAGGAGCAAAGUUUGGUUACUAGUAACUACUUUAUCCAAUAUAUGCAAGACUUUGAUAUCGAAUUUUGGGUUUCAUCCAAGACCUUUUGGCCAGUGAAGGGCAGAGCAAAUGGAUUCUGUUGCAAAAAGAUUUGUAUGAAGUUUGCUGACCAAAGUUGCAAGGGGCAAUUAGGGAAGACAAACAUCGUGCAAGGUGAAGGAGGAAAUGGAUUGAUGUUGCUUUCACAUCCAGUAUCAUUUUAAAGAAACACGGAGAACAAGAUGAAAUGCAGAAAAAGACAAAGAAAGGGAUAUAUGAAUUUAAAGGCAAAGGUGAGCUCCCACAAAGAUUGGGUCUUCUAAUGAACACUUAUUUUUAGACAAUUUUAUGUAUAUCAACUAGACCAGAUUAUUAAGCGUAAUCCUAAGUAAAGAUAGUAUUUUACAUAAGAUAAUAUAUUUCUUUCUCCCUCCACGUACAUUCCCUGCAUAGGCGUAUCUGCUUUUUCUGCUGAUUCAAAUCAUUUAAAUGCUAUGUCAUUAACCUAUUAAUUAUAUGUGGCAAUCAUCACUUUUAUUGGGAGGAUAGAGAAAAAUUGUCAUGCACACACUUACUAUGUUGUAUGGACUAAUAUAUCUAAUCUGACAUAUAAGGUUUCCAUGGCUUAGGACACCUCUAGAAAUCAGCACAUCUCAGUAAAUACGAAGCCAGAGAUUAUAGUCUAUGCUUAGAUUUUUUAAUAAAAACUAGGGCACCAAGUAUCAGAUCAAGUAAGUGCAGGUAAAACUUUCUUCUCUAGGCGAUUGGGAAGUCGACUCCUCACACAUCCCAUACAUGAUGAACUUGUUUUCCUCUAAGAGGAUGCAAAUGAAACUUUAUGUGGCAGUGGUAGGCAAUGCAGAUUUUUCUUCAGUGACAAAGUUAAAACCAGGUACCUCCUCCUCUUGUUCUUGUCCGAAAUCUUCUUCUCCUUCAUCGUCAUCUUCGCCAAACCACACCUUGGAUACAGAUAAAGCUUGCAGCCUACUGUGAUCACCAUCUUUCGUAGCCUCAAUUAAAGCAUCCACUAACUCAGGUUCAACUUUUCGCAGCAACUUCCCUAACAAAUAUGAAUUAUUAAGGAAGUUUACAUUGCAUAUUAUGGACUCAUGAGGCAUCAAUGAAUCAUUGAAUCAACACCGCUCGUGCGUAUUUGGUAAAAUAAAACUAAAUUAAAAUGCCUUAGCCAAAAAAAAAAAGUAAAUAAAACUGAAGAGAAAAAAAGCCAAAGACAUUUGUGCUGUAUCUGGAAAUGAAAAAAAGCAUUCAGCAAGCAAAAUUUCAGAUUUUUUGCGCAGCUUGAGCAUUCAUGUACGCCUCUCCCGAGCACAUCAUUAGCAGUUACUUAUCAUUAAUCAAUGUAUGCUCAAGGAACUAUACUGCAAUUAUCAUCCGAGCAUUUCAAAAGUACAAGCUGACAUACUCGAACACAAUCUAAAAGGGGGGAAAAGGGGGCAAUUAAAAAAGAGUUUCUUAUCCUAAGAACUUUUGUUUUGGGCAAGAACUCAUCGUGCAAUAGCCAAGCAUAGCAAAGAAGAUACCAGGUGAAACGGCAAGAAAGGCGAAAAGAUUCUCACGAACACACACAUCCACACUCACAAACAUGAAUAAAAACUUGACAAUACCAAUGAAAUUGAACUGCCUUCGCUUUCCUUCUCGAACAUCCGGUCCCAGUCUGUGCGACAAAUCGACAAACAUCUCAACGGCAUUAACAAGUAACAACUCAGACCAAAAGCCUCAAGAGAAACAGCCACGCAUUGGAGAAGCAUCACCUUCGCAAGCAUCCGAGCGUCCAACGCCGCUUGCUCCAGAAAAGCCACUCUGCAAUCUCCCUUUUUAAAAAGAAAGGAUAAUGAAUCUACAGCGCUACGUUAUUGAACAUCAUUAUAUGUACACGAAGCCCGUAAGAGCUCAAAAUCGCGCCGCCUCCAAACACAAUAAUUUUUUUUUCCCAGCAGUAUCUGAGGAAGCGCUUGAUUUGGGGAAGGGAAAAAGAAGCGAGCUCCACGCCUUCUUCUGGUUGAGGCUCUUCUGCGCGUCCGAGUCGAAGUCGGAGUCGGAGUCGCUGCCAUCAUCUUCUCGGGGAAUCGUACGGCGGCGGGCGGUUGGAGAAUCUGAGCCCGCGCGGCCGGUGAUGGACGUCGCGGUUACACCGUUUGGAACAGACAACGUUGAGGAUGCGACGUUGUUCCAAAGGGCGAAAGAGCUAUCCGUAGUGGAUGAUGGCUCUCGCUUCAUUUCCCGGUUUUUUGGCUCUUUUUUUUUUUUUUUAAUUGAGCUUGACAAAUUUCAUUAUUCAAAUUUUCAAUUCAACUCGUAUUCAAUUACACCAAAAUACAAAACGAUAAGACAUUAGAAACAAGCCAUUCAUAAGGUAAAUGACAUUUGAAGCCAAUUGGGUGACAUAUUUAUUUAUUGAAUCUACAUUACACAGUUUAAAGAGACUAUUCCUUAACAAUUUCACUGUCCGUGAAACUUGAUGGCCUUCCGCUCUGGCUUCUUCAUCCACUGGGCUGCACUUCUCUCUAGCAUUCGCACGCCCCGCGCGAGCCAUUCCGGCCUUCCUAUUUCAAAUGCAAUGUAUGCUAUGGAGAUCCCAAUGACGAUUCCAGAGGCAUAACCUAUCCACACUACUUUCUUUUUUAACCAACUCUCAUGCCUUUCACAAUCAAAAGGUGUCGAGGAUGAUGGUGGAGGAGGUUGAGCAUCACCAGGGCAUGCUUUCAACAAUGGAGUUCCACAUAAGCUUGGAUUCUCACUAAACGAGUCGUUUGAAAAUGUGCUUAGUUGCUUGUCUUGAGGAAUUCGACCAAUGAGUUGGUUCUUCGAGAGAUUUAAGUACCCAAGGGAUGCCAAAUCCCCCAAUACUCUAGGAAUUUCCCCACUAAGCAUGUUCGAAGAUAGAUCGAGCCAUCCAAGAUUAGUCAAGUUUCCUAAAGUCAAAGGGAUGGAACCAAUAAGGUGGUUGUGCGAAAGGUUGAGCCCUACAAGGGAGUGAAGAUGGCCAAAAGCUUCAGGAAUUUCUCCUUGGAAAGAGUUUUGUGACAAGUCAAUAGUUGUGAAGAUGGUCAAGAUCUUCACUAACUUUAUCUCUUGCCCUUUCAUCAUCACGGUCACGGUAUUUUCAUAUGGUGCUAUCCCGUAGGGAUGGGUCAACCAUGUCAUAUACAAUGGUUCAUCUUCCCCAACUUCUCUAUUCUUCAUGCCUCUAAGGUUCAUUAUCAAGUUGGCCGAUAAAUGACCACUGAAGUUGUUGUUGGAGAGAUCCAAAAUGUGUAUCUUCGAAAAGAUGAGAUCUCCCUUUGGAAUAUUCAAAAGACCCUUGAAAUUGUUGGACCUCAAAAUGAGAACUUUUAGUUCUGGGAGUUCUCCUAACCAUCUCGGGAAUGUAUCCUCUAUCUUAUUGCUACUAAGAUCCAAAACUUGCAGAUAUGUACACUUGACAAGUGACCGGGGCAAUGUGCCUUCAAAUCGAUUUUGACUCAAAUCAAGAGUCAACAAUCCACCUAUCAAAGAAAUUGAUUGUGGAAUUGUGCCCUCGAGUUGAUUCAUUCGCAAGUUCAAAACCGAGAGAAAAAUGUUCUCAUUUGUUAAGCAGCGAGGAAAGCUACCUGUUAAGCUGUUGUUAGACAAGUUGAUCGUCUGGAGACAAGUGGCAUUGCAUAUCAAAGAAUGAAUCUUUCCUGUUAUAUUAUUAUUUGCAAUGGAAUAAUACGUUGUGAAGGGAGAUGGAAGUGGGAUUGGCCCUUCAAAUUUGUUGUUGGACAAAUCUAUUACACCUAAUGAGGUGUUGGAGAAAACCUUUGUAGGCCACCGUCCAAUAAAGUUGUUGUUGGAAAUAUAUAAAAUUCCAAGAGCAGGGAAGGAGAGCUCAAAGGCAGUGAGGUUGAUCAUACCAUGAAAUCUAUUGGAUUGCAAAUCAAGGUAAUUUAGUUGCGGUGCUUUCAGCCAAUGUGGGAAUAUAUCAUUAAACUCAUUGUGAUUGAGAACUAGCCCCGAUAAGUUUUUCCAUUUGACUAGGGAGCGUGGUAAUGGCCCUUGCAAUUUAUUGUUGCUCAAGUCUAGAACCUCAAGAUUGGUUAUAUUACCAAAACUAGGGGGAAUAUUCCCUAAGAGACUAUUGUUAGACAAAUCUAAAUUCAAGAGUUUGGUUAUAUUACCAAAACAUGGGGGCACAGUCCCCAAGAGAUUGUUGCUUGAUAAAUCUAAUUUCAAGAGGGAACUCAACUGACAAAUCAAAGAGGGGAUCUCACCAGUGAAAUUAUUGUUCAUGGCAAAAAAGUAACGAGUAGAAGGUGAAGGGAUUGGGAGUGGUCCUUGGAAUGAGUUGUUCUGGAGGUCAAUAUACAACAAUUGCUUCCAAUGCAAUUGGUGUAUACCUCCCUCCAGAUGAUUAUUAGAAAGAUCUAAACGUUUCAAUGUAUGAUGGCUUAUUCCCCAAAACCACCUUGGGAUCUCCCCACUAAUCUCGUUGAAAGAGAGGUCUAAGUCUGUUAAGCUUUCUAACAAAUUCAAGAAAUAAGGAAACUUGGUCAAGUUGCAAGAUGAUAUCGUCAACACUUGAAGCUUUGGGAGAAGGAGGUAACUAUUGGAAUAGAGAGCGACAUGAAACUGAACGGAGGAAAACUCAAGACCGAUGACAUUACCUGUGACAUUAUUGCAAGUGACCCCAUUCCAAGAGCAGCAAUCUAUGCUCUUGUUCCAUUCCAAUGCACAUAUAGACUGUAGAUAAGGAUAACAGUCGGUUUUAUUAAGGUAGAAGGAAUUCUUAAAAUUGAGUAAGGCAUCACGUUGGUCAGGAGGGCAAAGGAAGGAAGCAGAGAGAAGAUGGAAAUUUAAGAAAAAUAGGAAAUAGAAGAGGUCGAGGAUUUGAUGCCACCCCAUUGUGCAAUUUAGCAUGCGAGUGAGUUUAUUGGUGGUGGGGAGUGCUUCAACUUAUACAACUUAUACAGCCCUUCUCAAGUGUGAAGUCAUUGAAACAAGUCUUCUCUAAGGUCCAUUGGUGGGCUCACAUGUGUCAUCUAUUUUAAAAGCUUUUUUGGUUGGCAUACGAGAAAUUUCAUGUAAGAUUCAGUCAGAAUGAUGUCUCAUUUUCUCAUGGUCAAGGAAGAUCAGAUUUUCUGCCAAAGUUAGUUUAGUCAUAGGUACACAAGCGUGUAAAACAAAUAUUCAAGUUUAAAAAAAAAUUCCUUUCCUAGACACAUAUACUUUACACUAUUCGUUCCUUCUAUAUCAAUCAUGAUAAGGAUGGACAGAAAGAAACAUUAACAGGGAUUGAUAUUUGACACAAGCUUUGUGACCCCGACCCUCAGGUUGUACACUACAUCCUAAAGAUAAACACAAAAAGAAAUAGAUCUAACGAGUCACAAAAAGAAAUAGAAUUUAAACUGAGUUGUUCUCCUUACGGUGAUAGGCUACCUAAUUAAUUGACAACCCGCAACAACGGGAAAGCCUCCAAUAUUUUCGUCAGACAUAGGAGCAAAUAAAACCUAAAAAAGUUAUUUGACACUUCAUGCCAGAGACAAUCCAUAUGCAUAUUUGGAUCGCGUCUAAACAUGUAUAAUACACGAGUACUUAGAGACCACAUCAUAUUUCUAAAAGUUAAAUUAUUGUGGAAUUUAAUAUAAAAUGAUAAAAUAUCUUUAACUUCACUAAAGUGCUUACAAAUAGUUUAUAGCUACAAUUGUGCAGAAAGAAAAAGAAACACAGUCUGGUCGAGCACAAUAACUGUCGGCAGCGAUUCACUUAAUUAUAAAUGCUAAGAAGUCAAAGUCUUCUUGAAAUGACAUUAUUGUGAUCACAAAAUUGUAUUUCUUGAUUGUCUUGGUGGGGUUCCUUGGGUGUGGAAAAUUCUUAGUUACUUGGGCUCUACGUAGACAUGGAGUGGAAAUCUUAUCCAUUUUUCUUGAAAGACAUAUUACUCAAGUCUAUGGCGGCAUUUUCAUUAUAUAUAUAUAUAUAUAUAUAUAUAUAUAUGUGUGUGUGUGUGUGUGUGACGGUGCGAAUUUUGGAUAACCUGAUCGCGAGAUCAAGGACUCUUCUGGCGUCACAUCAAUACAUUCGAAGAGCUUGAGCACUCUGAUCUCGCGACGCUCCGGGAAGUUUGUCAGUUCCUUUGUAUCCGAUCGGUCCAUCUCACAGAUCCUGCGAGACAUCACCUUCUUACAGCUCACAAGCAGAGGACACGGACUGCAUCUCCUGUCUAGACAAACAGACCGCUCAAAUCUGUCAUCUACGUGCGCUUUGGUAGCCUCGCGGCCAUGAGCGAGGCGUAUAUGUCGGAGAUUGCUUUAGGCCUAGCUGACUCGGANNNNNNNNNNNNNNNNNNNNNNNNNNNNNNNNNNNNNNNNNNNNNNNNNNNNNNNNNNNNNNNNNNNNNNNNNNNNNNNNNNNNNNNNNNNNNNNNNNNNUGCUUUUUUCAUUCAGAUACAGCACAAAUGUCUUUGGCUUUUUUCUCUUCAGUUUAUUACUAUAUUUUUUGGCUAAGGCAUUUAAUUUAGUUUUAUUUACCAAAUACGCACGAGCGGUGUUGAUUCAAUGAUUCAUUGAUGCCUCAUGAGUCCAUAAUAUGCAAUGUAAACUUCCUUAAUAAUUCAUAUUGUUAGGGAAGUUGCUGCGAAAAGUUGAACCUGAGUUAGUGGAUGCUUUAAUUGAGGCUACGAAAGAUGGUGAUCACAGUAGGCUGCAAGCUUUAUCUGUAUCCAAGGUGUGGUUUGGCGAAGAUGACGAUGAAGGAGAAGAAGUGUGUGUGUGUGUGUGUGUGUGUGUGUGUGUGUGUGUGUGUGGGCGCGCGCGCGCGCGCGCGCGUUGCUCUGUCAUCAUAGUCCAGUAGAUAAAUGUGGAGAAUCUAUUAGGAGGAACGCAUUCAUUUAUGAAUUUUUUUUCCAGUAAUGCAGCUUUGAAUUUACAGAUACUUUGAAUCUCUAAUAUCUUUAAGUUUGAUAAAGUGCUUAUCAAAUAUUUUACAGCUAUUAUAGCUUAUGACAACUCUUAAAAAAAACUGCCUCGCACAACUUUUAGAUGUUAUAACUUUAAAAUAUGUAUUACUCCAGUACCUAACUCUAAGGGUAAGACAUAAAAAUUUUAUACGAUGAUUUCGUAAAUCGUGACAUAUAUUUGAUAAUAGUAAGCACAAAAACCAAGCGGCCCUGAGGGGCGACGGUCCCCAUGCCGGUCAACCCAAGCAUACAAGAGGAUUAUCAGUUAUGGAAUCGUCUCACCUUACCCCCUGGAAAUCUGUAUUGUCAUUUCCGGGAGCCUUUUUUUCCCCACCACAAAGUCUGAUUCGGCUUCAAUUAUAAGGAAAACCCAAAAUGUCUCGAAUUGGCCACGCAACUUAUGAAAACCUGCGCAAAGACCCUGUGGAAAGGCCUGCAUAACUGCUUCGGAGGCUGAGGAACUGAUGCCACCCCACAUUGCGCUUUAGCAGAUAAGUUAAUGGCGGUUGGGAUGGGGAUUCAACUUAAAGGAGAUUUUGCAAGAAUCGCAUGUUUGGAUUAUCUGCAUAAUGCUUGAGUUGCCAUGAUCCCCAGACUAAAGACGACAAACAUCUCGUCGUGUAAACUCAAUUGUGCUAGAGUUGGUGGAAUAUGGAAACGAAGAAUCAGAUCAUCUCAACAUGAACCGGCUCUCGAUGACGCCCGCUCUCAUAUUCCAAGUCAGGAAGUUUGUUUUCCCAUGGAAAAAGUAUUCUCUGAUGUACUUUAUUCUAUUGUAGGAAAACCAAAUAAGGGCAAAAGGAAGUGGCUUUAGCAAAAGUGAGGGUUGCAUUAUUCUAGGUACUCAAGUGGUCCUUGUUCUGCUUUUUAUCAAGUCAAGUCUCCUCCAUUAUUGCUUGCCAAUAAUGAAUCGCUUUUCUUAUGCUCAUACUAUUUAUCCACUUAAUUAAUUUAGUUAAGUUUCUUAACAAAUUACCGACAUAUUUUACUUUCAUCUUCAAUCAUUGAUGAGUAGAAGAGUGCAUAACUUUUAAGAUUAAGCAUCCCAUCUCUCUCUCUCUCUCUCUCACUCUCUCUCUCUCAUAUUUCUUUUCAUUUAUCAGGGUAAACAUAAACAGCAUGCGAAAGUUAAUCUUAUGUGCACGAUCGAUUAUAUAAUAAGAUCAUGAAGAUCAAUUGAGAAUUAGCAUGUCUAGAAUCCACAUGUGAUUUAUUUUUGUUUUUGGCUUUGACUUGACGUUUUCAAAAUCUUCCCGUGCAUGACAUUUUGAAUAAAACUGUUCGGCGAGUUAUUUUAGAAACCGUUAUAUAGUCCGGGGAUGUAUUGCAUUUGUGUUUUAGAAAGUGUUAUAUAGUCAUUUCGUUCUCUCUUGUGAUGGGAGAGUAUGGCCUUUUUCCGGUAGUUAUAUCUUAGUCCACUGAUCAUAUAGACACAUAUUUUGAGUUAUCCACCAAAUAAUGGAGAUUACAAUUUUUUGGAUGAACAAUUAUUCAUGCUUUUUUGCAAUUUUAAGGUUUGAAUAUAAUUUAGAUCACCAAAAUAUUAGCCUGGGAAGUAUCAAUCAUAUGUGAAUUGUUGUUUUGCUUUCAGUCCCCUCUAAUAUGUCGUUUUUGAGUUAAAAAUAUCGCAUGCAAUCAAAAGUGAGUAUUUUUCCGCCCUGGCUUCAACUAUGCAAUAAUAAAUGUCUUGUUUGCAAGAUUCAAAUGAUGAGGGUAUCUGACGUAAACAAAGUACCUUUCAAGUAUGUAAUACUUAAAUAUGGUACGGUGAAAAAAGUAUGACUGAAUGCAUAUUUAAAGAGGCAAGAAGAGGCUAGUCAAUUGAAUUUUAAAUGGCAUAAAAAAUACAAAUUUUCAAGAGUUUGAAGCUUUUUUCAUAUAACAAGCCACAUGAUGAAAUCAAAUUUUGGCAGGUUUGGAUUAAACCAGAUAAUGCGAUGCCAAACCAUCUUUUUGCUUAUCAUCUCGUACCAAUUCCACUAGCCCAAGUAUCAGUUGAGUAAACUUACCAGAAGAAUUUCUUGUGAAAACAACUCUAUCCUCAGAAGAACUGCGAGAAGAGUGUGUCCCACAAAGGCUGCAUGAAUCACGAGUUGAGAUUAUACUAAACAAAGACCCAUCUUUUGCUUCUUUUCAGGUGCCUCUUUUCUCCUUUGAUAAAGUCUAAUCUUGCUUUAUUUUUCAUAGUCAAGUCCGGUAAAAAGAUAAUACUAAAGAAAGACCUGAAUGAAUGUGAAACGAACCCGCAUAAUCUUUUAAAAUUACGAUAAAGUAAUCUUCACGUUCAUGCUGUUCAAAUGCUAUCUUCCCUUAGCAACGGCUGGUCUUUUGAUUACUAUCACGACUAGGGGUCCAAAAAGAAUAGUCUAAUAUCAAGGGAGCGUUUGAUAUACGAUGGUUUCAAUACAAAGAAAGGAAAACUUCCAGAGAGGUAGAUUUUAUUUGUGAUGCUUCCAGAAAGCAUAUGAAAACACUGCACUGCUUUAUAUUCCAAAACAAGUCAGAUCAACAGUUACGUACAAUUAGUUCGAGCAUAAAGUCCUUGAGGAAAGGCCCACGAAAUUGCUUGGGAGGACGAGAAUUUGACGCCACCCCAUUUUGCACUUCGGCAUGUGAGUGAAUUUAUUGGUGGUGGGGAUAAGGGAUUCAUCAUCGACUUUAGACAGACUUUCAACACAAGUCUUCUCUGAAAGAUCUGUUAGUGGGUUCGCAUGGACUUCCAACUUCUUCCCCCGUCUACUCCAAUAAGACCACUUCAACUUGCCUUCGGGGUUGGGAUUUGAAAUAUCGUUGAAGUUUGAUAAAGCCCUUGUCAAAUAUACGCGUUCAGAGACGAAGUUGGAAGUUUUGUGUACAAGGCAUAUAAAUGAGAUAUCCACUAUUACCAACUUUGCUCCUUCGCAUUGGCACGACUUAAGGAGAUUUUGCAAUAAUUGCAGGUGUGAAUUAUAUGGAGAUUGGUUGCAAGCCAAAACAUCUGAUCUUGGCAGAAUUGGAAGGAAUCUCUGGCAAUUGAACUGCCAUCAUAAUUUAGUUAUUUUAUUUAAUGAAUACCGCGUGAACUCAAUUGUGCUGGUCUUGGUGGAAUGUGAAAAGGAAGAAUCAGAUCAUCAUCACAUUUCCAAUGUGAACUGACUCUUGACGACCCUCGCUCUCACAUUCCAAGUCAGAAAGUUUGUUUUAACAUGGCAAAAGUAUUGUUCAACGCACUUUAUUCCGUCGCACGACAAUCUAAUCAAGUGGAAAAGAAAGUGGCUUUAGAAAAAGUGUGAGGGUGCUAAAUAUAUUCACUCAGGUAGUUGUUGUUCCGCUUUUUAUUCCAUCAAAGUGCAAGUCAAGUCUCCAUGCAAACAUUGUUCUUCAUGGUUGUUGGACGUUGCACGUGGUAUAACUUCCAUUUGCCAUCAACAGAGAGGCAUUCUCAUUUAUUUAGGUUUCAUUUAUUUUACAAAAAAAUGAAUCAUUUCAAAAAUAUUACCCUAAAAAUGAUACAUUAGAUCGCUUGAUAUAAUUAGUCAGAAAAAGACAUUUCAAUUAUCAACAACAAUUUAUGUCCCAAUAUUUUCGUAGACAAUAUUAAUAAUUGAUGUUCAUUCAUUUUUAUGAGUGAAGUAAUCGAUUAAUUUUAGGAAAAUAUUUUUCAUUUCUGUGAAACAAAUGGAAUCCUCCUUGCUUUUCCUUGUGAUGAUAAUCGAACUUACAAAAUCCUUCAAGCACUCAAUUAAUUAUAAUUUGCAUUAAGCACAAUACUCAUCUCAUUCUAUACAAAUCUUCCCAUGCAUGUUAUUCUGAAUAAAAAUGUUUGGCAAGGUUACUUUAGAAAGUCUUAUGUAGUCUUGGGAUGUAUUGCAUUUGUGUUUCUGCGAGUGAGAGCUUCAUUUUGUUCACUCAUUAUGAUGGGAGAGUGUGGCUUUUCAUUUUUAUUUUUUAUAUAGUAUAUCAUAGUCCCUUGAUGAUAUAAACACAUGUUUCGAAAUUAUCCACCAAAUAAUAAGGAUCGCAGUUUUUUGGAUGAAAAAUUGGUCAUGCUUUUCAUUUGUAACUUUGAAUGUAGUUUAAAAUCAGUAAAAUAUUAGCUUGUGAAGAAUCAAUCACAUGCGCAUUGCUGUUACGCUUUUUGUCACUUUAAAAAAUUUGUUUCGCGUGAAAAAUGUCGCGUGCAGGCAUAAGCAAGAUUUAUCUUAGUUUCAUCAUUAACUAUACAUAAUAGAUAAUUGUUUUGUGUGUAAGAUUAAAGUGUCGAGUGUUUCUAACGUAAACAUGGUAUUUUUUACCGAUAUAAUCCUCCAAUCUCUUAAUACAAAAAAUGUCCAAACAUUAAAUUAAUUCUAAAAGCAUAAUUGGAUACGUGAAAAUAGGCGAAGUGGAUGCUCAUGAGUCGAAGAAAAAAUGGCAUAUAACAUACAAAUUUUCAGGAACUCGAAGACUAUUACAUCUAACAAGCCACACAAUGAAAUCAAAUGUCGGCGCGUUUGGAUUAAACUAGAUAUUCUAAUGCCAAACCAUGUUUUUGCUUAUUUUCUCGUACCAAUUCCACUCACCCAAGUAUCAGCUAACUCACCAGAAGAAUUUUAUUGUGAAAACAAUUCUAUCAUCAGAAGAAUUGCCAAUGAGUCGAGUGGGUUCAUAGUGGCUCGAAGAAAAUCGACCACGAGUCAAUUGCAUUAAAAAUAUCUGAAAAAUUACUCAGUAGCCUAGGUCACGCUAAAAACGCGUCAAAUAAAAAAUUAACCGCCAAUCCAAGUCCGAUUUCAGAAAUUGAAGUUUCUAUCAUGUCACAAUGAAUUAUAAGAGUGUCGACUCAGUCUCAUAAGAUUUUUCAGAGAUCCCAAGAUUUUUACGGAAAAUGGGUUCGAACGUCACGGAAUUUGGAUGGAAAUUCAGAUUGGUUAAAUUGAUGAGAAAUUGGACUUUUCAGACUGAGCCUGUGAGAAUCAAAGAUUUAUAGAAAAUUUCUUGAGAUUUUUCUACAUCAAAAUUGGAUCUCAAUUUGGGAAUUUAUUGGAAAAAUUGAAGUUCAAAUGGUGAAAUUCGUAUGAUUGGAUGAGACAGCAAUUUUGGACUUUAAAUUUGUUUAUUUGUGAGUUGAUAAGCUUGAAAUUGAUUGGGGGGACAAAGAGGAGUGUAUUGUGGACUUGUGGGGCCAAAACAUUAAAUGUAUUGGCUAAGAUUUCUGAUUUUUGUUUCCUCUUAGCUGGCUUCUCGCGCUCGACAAGCCUCCCAUCCGCUCGUUGUUCCUGCUUUUGUUUUAAUCUUUCAACCGUGCGAAGCAAUCCCCAUCCAAUCUCUCUCCGUCUCCGUUAGUUCUCUUCCUCAACCGAAGCCCACACACUCCACUCACGCCAGCCACGAGAUCUUCAAUUUAAGCUGCUCCUCGCCACUUGUCCAUCAACGAGCAUCUCUUGGUCAGCAUCUGCAAGAGCGAGGCCGUUGGUUGACCGCUUGAAGCCCACGCCCACGCGUCCGAGCUGCUCCCAUUCGAUCAAGCGUCCCAGCUGCAACUUUCCUCCGCGCGUUCCUCAGCUCCACUCCACACGUCCGCCAACGAAGCUUGAAGACCAGCAACGCUUGAAGAUCAACGGCAUAGCUUCUUCGACGCUGUUUUUCCCUCCAUCGUCCACGCCAGCACGCCCCCAUCUCAGUCGAAUUUCCACCGGGUGAAGCCUUCGUUGACCAGCGUCCGCGUGUCUUCGUCAUCAACUCCACGAAGCUGCGAGACCCACCGAGCUACCAACUGUUGCCAGCGUCUUCGGUCUCCACAGCCAACGGAUCCAGCUGCGUGAAGCCCAGCAAAGCCUGCAGUAGUCCACGAAUACUGCAGCUUCAGUCUUCUUUUGCUCGUGGGCCAACCACAGCGAGCCCAUUCCGAUUUUCAGUGGCCCAACUUGAGCUCUUUGGAAGCCUGUGAAGAAGCAGCCCUCAAGCCCAGUUCAGUUCAACAACAGCCCAGGCCAGCAAUUCGUUUCAGCCCUCUUGAAGCCCAAUCCAAGGAAGCCCAGCAAGUCUUAGUUUCAGCUUGGGGCCCAACCUGUUUUCAGUCCAGUUUCAGCAGGCCCAAGCCCAAGAGCAAGCCCAUUCCAGUUCAAGAACAAAUCUCAUUUGGGCUGAGAUUUGUUGGGCCAAGGUCGAGCCCGGUCCAAGCCCGUCGGGGUCGUCGAAAGCCCAAUUUCGACCGCCGUCGCAUCGCUGUUGUGGUGAUUUGGUUCUCGCUUUUAAUCAAGUGAUUUUUACUCACUAAUGCUUUAUUAGUUUGCUAAUUAUGCUUAGGGAUUGGUUAGAUUUAAUUAAAUGCAAUUAGGUGGUUAGAUUAGUUAGAUUAAUUAAAUUAGAGACUUAAUGAUGCAUGUUAGAUGGUUAGAAAUAGACAUUAGCAAGUAGGCAUGCCAUGUUAUUUAUGGAACAAGUCUCGGUAAUUUUCCGGGUUCGUAUCGGCUUCCAAUUAGGCUAUAACGGGCAUAAGUUGGAUUUAUUGCAUUUAUUUAAUAUUUUUCGUAAUUAUUUAAUUACUUAUUUAUUUUUUGGAAAUUAUGCUAGGAUAGCCGACGACCGAAAUUUUGUGCUUAUUCCAAUAGUGCUUUCUGUUUAUUUAUUCGAGCAUCAGAUUAUGAAAUUUUAGUGAAAUUGGUGAAUAUGAGAAUUUAUCCCAAAAUUAGGAAAAUGUCGGUACUUGAAGGGAAAGUAACUGUGUGUGGUUGUGAGUUGGAUUAAAGAUUGCCAGGUGGGGCUGUGAUGCCACCAAGUUGAGAAGAGUGCCAGGCGGGGCCGUGAUGCCACCAAGUUGAGAAAAUUGCCAAGUGGGGCCGUGAUGCCACCAAGUCUAGAACAUUUGCCAGGUGAGGCCGCGAUGCCACCAAGUCUAGAAAAUUUGCCGAGUGGGGCCGUGAUUCCACUAAAAAUAAAUUAUGCCUAUAGGGUCGUGAUUCAGAGUCAAGAAUGAAGAGUCGGGAUGACCAUGUAAUGGUGUUGAUGACAUGUAAUUGACUGAGUCGAUUGAUCGUUAAGUCGAUAUGAUUAGUUGGAUGCUAUAAUUGUCAGUAUUUAUUAUUUGAAUUGACUUGCAGGAAGGAAACUGAGGCCAAGGUAAGCCCUCUGACCCAUGAUGUGCUUAGGCAGCCCUCAUGACGUAUUUUCUUACUAAUCGGGUCUUAGGGGGUAGAAUUCACUGAGACAUGGUCUCAUUGGUUAUUGAAUAACCAUUUCAGGACCCUGAGGAGGAGCCAAGGAGGAGAAAGAUUUUUGAGGAAGAAGAAGAUGAUCCAGAGAGGGAUCUUGAGUACAACCCGGAUGUGGAUUGAGAUCACAUCCUUUUUGUGAACCAUGUCUUAGUGUAGAUAGGUGUGAGACUUGGUUGCUGUAAAUAGUAUUGUAAAUAUACUAUGAGUUGCACUGUUAAUAAAGGUGUGGUUGUGAAUUUCAAUACGAAAAAUAUGACCUGUUUUUCUAUCCCAUUAUUUUAUUAUCUAGGGAUUCAUAACUGCUUUCGCAUGCGGAAUAAAUAAAAAAGGUCAACGAUACUUAGUUUUGGGAUAUCGCAUUUUAAAAUUGACAAAGUAGAAGGAUGGGCACGUCCCCAAGGAUCGGGGCAUGACGCCACACCUCCCUACCCAGUGGUAGUCUAUUUAGAAGAAUAGACAGAGAGUCUACCUUCCCUCCCUCCCUCGCUCCCCCAAAGUCUCCCUAAUUCCAAGAUACAUGUUUUUUUUCUUUUGUGCCUAUAAGGGAAUUACCCCGAAAUUUAACAUCUCCAAGUUAAGACGAAACAAUUUUGAGACAUACUUAAGUCCAUUCUUCCUCUUUUCAUUGAUGUUAAAGUUACAUUCAGGGAUCAGCCGAAAAAUUAAAAAUGAAAUCAUCUUUCAAUUUAAAUUUCAACUCAAUAAGUAACGCUUUCGUUGUAAUAUAAUGCGGAAACUAAUAUCGGAAAAUCAAAAUUAUAAUCCCUAUAUUUGAAUAUUUUUCACACUUCGAUUACACCUAAGCCUAAGGUAUUUAUAAAUAAAAUAACUCAAUGUGACGUGAAUUCAUAGCUCAAAAUCGACCGUGGUCAACACUUCUCCGUGCGAUCGAGAAAAAGAGUGUCACCCCGUGUGACCCCUUUCUUACUUGGCUGUUCGUCUUUUCGUGGAGUUCACUCCACGGCUUGAAGGAAUUCUUCUGCGCGGCCAACUAAGGGUACUCCCACACCCCCAGGACUUAUGUGUUUGCCCUUUUUCUCGUUCCUUUAUAGAAGUCAACGAAUCCACUUUUGACCAGGACCCACCGAAUAUUCAAGCUCCUUUUUCUUGCGUGGCUUUUAGACGUCCGCCGCAUGCCUUCUCGAAGAUAUUAGAUAAGAGUUUUGCUAAUAUAGCUGUUUUUAAAUAACUGUUAAAGUACCGGAUGAGGAGCGGAUCUCUUAAUAAUUUCGAAUUAUUUAUUAUCUAUUUUUUUUUUUUAUGAUUCAGAGCAUACUGUUUUUAUUACAGUAAAUUAAAGAUAAUCACUUAAUCAUUUUUCAUAAGAUAAAACCAAUUAAUUGAGAGACAAACCGACAUUUAGAGCAAAUAUAGUCUGCUCCCACCUCAUAAAAUUCAAACUUGAAUCGGAUUAAUGGGCUCACCGAAUCUGAACAAAUCGAGAUCCUCCAAAUGGUUUGGAUUUCGUACAUGUGCUAAAACAUGAGACAUGAUAUUACACUUUUUGUUUGCUGUCAAAAAAGAUGUUAGUUGCAAGUGUAGCAAUCUACGUUGACAUGCGCCCAAAAGAGAUGUCAUCACUCCCUCUAUAUUAUGCCACCGAAGAGGGUAGUCAAACAAUAUUCAAGCAAAUCUUCAAUCCAUCAUCGAGUUUUACUUAGAAUAGCAUUAUGAGCUACCGCUGAGACAACUCAAGGUUAGAUAAUGAAAGAAAAAGAACAGAUGAAAAAUGUCACAUAUUUUUUAAAACUUGAUUAUCGUAUCUUUUUGUCAUGAUAAAAUCAAUGUCAAUUGCAAAAUUAAACUCCACAUUUUGGAGUUGGCCAUCUCGAUCUCGUCCUAAUAUAUUCCACCAACAGACAACGGUCAUAGAUCUCUGUCUGUGUGUAGAACGUUUAGUGUAGUUGUUCUAUGCUAAGGUGAUGUAAUUAGAAUGGAUGCAAUGCUGAUGGUACGAGAGAGGAUACAGUAAGGACAUAUUUCAUGUAGUUGAUUACGGUGUAUGUAGAUUGGCAUUCAUUUUAAACGCCCUAUUACUUCACGACCUUCCCAAGGGAAAAAAAAGUGUUGGUUUAAUUUCAGCACUGGUGUAUUUGCACCAAAUUCAAGUACGACUGUUCCAGCAAGAGCAUGAAUAUAAAUCAGGCGGAUUCAAACGCGAAAGAUAAACCGAGUUUUGUAUAUACCUGCAAAUGAGUGUAAAAAAAAACACUCAUGAUAAGAGAGGUUAACCUCCCAUUUUUUAAUCAGGUGAUUUGCAAUAUUUCGCUCUUCGUAUACCUCCCCAGAUUUGAUAAAAUUAGCAAGCAUUGGAAAGGCAAAGGCAUGUUUAAUUUUUCUCAUAGUAUAACCGUUCUCCUUUCAGCUAUGAGGGACUUCCUAAAUCUAGCACCCCAUCAUCUACAGGGUAUUCGGUUCAUGUACUGCCCAGAAUUAUGAAAUGAUUUAACCGGAACCCAAAAAAAGAAAACAUAAUGUCACAAUGUAAAUUACCAAGACAUGCAAGUAUCAAUUGGGUGAUCAUAUAUUGCUGCUAGGUAAUUGCCUUGCAAGGUUACCCAGGAAAAUGCUGUGCACAUUAUAGAGGAAUGAAUUAGCCCGACCAGCUAUAGGCUUGUGCAAAUGUUACCUUCAUGCCCAUGAGAAACCAUCAAUUUGGUUCACGUUGUCGGUAGCAGGAUGUUAAAUGAGAAAUUACUUUGUAUAUUCAGUACAUAAAACUGUAGACACUUGAUAUUGAGUACCUAAAUUCUUAGUGCUUAUUUUUUUAGUCUUACCAAACGGGCUUUUAGGCUUUGAAUAUGUGGGCCUAGUUAAGCGCCCAAGAUCACCCAUAAAAGAGAGCAUGUGAUGCAGGUGCGGGGUGGGUGAGUGUUGUUUUGAGUGAAAUAACGGAUGGAAUCGUAGUGUGUGGGAAUGAAUGUCGAUGGGCAAAUGCAACAAACUCAUAGCGUGCUGUGAGGUCUAAUGUAUCUAAUUCGAUGAAUCAGGAAUCCAUGGCUCAGAUCACUUGUAGAAAUCAGCAGCUCUCAGUAAAUAUGAAGCCAGGAUUUUAGUGUAUGCUAAAAAGAUUUGUAACCAGCAAAGAGUAUUUCCAAUGAUUUUUUUACAACAACUAAGUAUUGAAUCAAUGACGUACUGGUGAAACUUUCUUCUCUAGGUGAUUGGGAAGUGGACUCCUCACACAGCCCGCACAUGCUGAACUCGUUUUCCUCUACGAGGAUGCAAAUGAAACUUUGAGAGCAGCGGGAGGCAAUGCAGAUUGUUUUUUCAGCAACAAAGUUAAAAACCAGGUAUCCUCUCCUCUGAUUGUUUUUUCAGCAACAAAGUUAAAAACCAGGUAUCCACUCCUCUUCCCUGUGUUCAUGUUCGAAAUCUUCUUUCUCCUUCGUCAUUAUCUUUGCCAACCCAGGCCUCCGGUACCAAUAAAGCUCGCAGCCUGCUCUGGUCACCAUCUUCUGUGUCCUCAAUUGAAGCAUCCAUUAACUCAGGUUCCACUUCUCGCAGUAACUUCCCUAGCAAAUGUGAUUCAUUAAGGAAGUUACAUUGCACAACAAAUCAAUGAUACCUCUCGUGCAUAUUUUGUAGAAUACAACUAAAUAAAACUGCUUUAGCAAAUAGAAAAAAGGACAAAGAAACUUCUGUUUCAACUGGAAAUGAAAAAAAAUAUCUACAGCAAGCAAAACUUCAGAUUUUUCACACAGCUUGAACAUUCAUCUACGACUUUCCCAAGCAAAUCAUUAGCAUUUACUUAUCAUUCAUCAAUAUAUGCUUGAGGAACUAUACUGCAAGUACCAUCCAAGCAUUUUAAAAAGUACAAGCCGACACACUCAAACUCAAUCUAAGUGGGGAAAAAGCGGCAGUUGGGAAAGAGCUGCUUACUCCAAGGACUAUUUUGCCCAAAAAGAACUCAUCGUGCAAUAGCCAAGCGUAGCAAAGCAGAUACCAGGUGAAGCGGCAAGAAAGGCGAAAAGAUUCUUGCAAACACACACGUACACACUCGCAAAAAUAUGAAUAAAAAUGUGAUAGUACCAAUGUAAUUGAACUGCCUUCGCUUUCCUUCUCGAACAUCCGGUUUCAGUCUCUGCAACAAAUCCACAAACAUGUCCACGGCAUUAACAAAUAAGAACUCAGACCAAAAGCCUCACGAGAAACAGCCCCACGUUGCAGAGGCAUCACCUUCGCAAGAAUCCAAGCGUCCAAGGCCGCUUGCUCCAGAGAAGCCACUCUGCAAUUCCCCUUUUAAAAAGAAAGCGAUAAUGAAUCUACAGUGCUGCAUUAUUGGACAUCAUUAUAUCCACGAAGCCCGUGAAAGCUCAAAAUGGCUCCGCCUCCAAGACACAUCUUUUUUUCCCAGUAGUAUCUGAGGAAGCGCUUGGAUCUUGAGAUGGGAAAAGGAAGCGAGUUCCAUGCCCCAGGGGACGUCGCGGCCAAGCCUCGCGCUUCUUCUGGUUGAGGCUUUUCUGGGCGUCACAGUCGGAGUCGCUGCCAUCUUCUCGGGCUAUCGUACGGCGGCGGACAGUUGGGGAAUCUGAGCCCGUGCGGCCGGUGAUGCGGCCGGCGAUGGACGUUGUUCCAAAGGGCGAAAGAGAUAUCUGGAUAAUGGCUCUCGCUUCAUUUUCCUGUUUUUUGGCUCUCUUUUUUUAAGUUGAGUGCUUGACAAAUUUCAUUGUUCAUCUUUUCAAUUCAACUCAUAUACAAUUACAACAAGAUACAAAAGGAGAAGACAUUAAAACAAUGUCAUUUGAAGCAGGUUAGGUGACAUCUUUAUUCACCGAACAUACAUUACAUGGUUUAAAGAGACAACUCCUCAAUAAUUUCACUGUCCAUGAAACUUGAUAGCCUUCCACUCUAGCUUCUCCAUCCACUGGGCCAUAGUUCGCUCCAACAUUCUCACGCCUUGUGAGAGCCAUUUGAGUCUUCUCAUUUCAAAUGCAAUGUACGCUAUGGAAAUCCCAAUGACAAUUCCAGAAGUAUAAUCUAUCCGAAUUACUUUCUAUUUGAACCAACUCUCUUGUCCUUCGUGGUCCUAAGUAGAUGAGGACGAUGGUGGAGGAAAUUGAGCAUUGCCGGGGCAUGCUUUCGGCAAUGGAGUUCCACAUAAGCUUAGAUUCCCAUUGAACGAACCGCUUGAAAAUGUGAUCAAUUGCUUGUCUUGAGGAAUUCGGCCAAUGAGUUGGUUCUUCGAGAGGUUUAAGUACCCAAGGAAUGCCAAAUCUCUCAAUACUCUAGGAAUUCCCCCUCUAAGCUUGUUCGAAGAUAGAUCAAGCCAUUCAAGUUUAGUCAGGUUUCCUAAAGUUAGAGGGAUGGAACCUGUAAGGUGAUUGUGUGAAAGGUUUAGCCCUAUGAGAGAGCAAAGAUGGCCAAAAGCUUCAGGAAUGUCUCAUUGGAAAAAGUUGCGUGACAAGACAAUGGUUGUGAGUAUAGUCAAUAUUUUUAGUAGCUUAAUCUCUAGCUCUUUCAUGGUCAUGAUCACGGAGCUAUCAUAUGACCCCCCUUGCAAAGAUUGUGUCAUAUACAAUGAUUUGUCUUGCCUAGUUUCGCCAUUCACUAUGGCUUUAAGGUUCAUUAUCAAAUUGAUUGGCAAAGAACCACUAAAAUUGUUAUUGGAGAGAUCCAAAAUGUGUAACUUUAGAAAGAUGUGAACUCCCUUAGGAAUAUCCAAAAGAUCCUUAAAAUUGUUGGACCUCAAAAUGAGAACUUUUAGUUUUAGGAGCGUUCCCAACGAUCUCGAGAACGUAUCCUCUAUAUGAUUGUUGCUCAAAUCUAGAACUUCUAAACUUUUACAUUUGAUGAGGGACUGAGGUAAUGUGCCUCUAAACCAAUUUCAACUCAUGUCAAGAGUCAUCAAGUUAUUUCUAGAAGAAAAUGAUUGAGGAAUUAUGCCCUCAAGGUGAUUCAUUCGCAAGUCCAAAACUGAUAGGUCGAUGCUAAAAUUUGUUAUGCAUCGAGACAAGCUAUCUGUUAAGCCAUCGUUGGACAAAUCAAUGAACUCGAGGUUGGUGGCAUUGCAAAUCAAAGAGGGAAUAUUUCCCGUUAUAUUGUUACUUGCAAUGGAAUAAUAAAAUGUGACGGGUGAUGGAAGCGGGAUUUGGCCUCCAAACUUGUUUUUGGCCAAAUCUAUUAUAGCCAAUGUGGUGUUUGAGAAAAGCUCUACCAGCCACUAUCCUAUAAAAUUGUUAUCGGAAAUAAAUAAAGAUUCAAGAGCAAGAAAGGAUAGUCUAAAAACAGUAAGGUUAAUCUUACCAUGAAAUUUGUUGGAUCGCAAAUCAAGGUACACCAGAUGCGAUGCUUCCAGCCAUCAUGAGUAGGGGUGAUCGGGUCUAAGGUGGGUAGGGUUUAGACCUAGACCUUGUACCCGACUCUGUUAUAACCGGUUCAUCUUUUGGACCCUAUACCCGACCAUGUUUGUAUUGGACCUUGUACCCAACCCACCCUAUUUUUCCGAUCCGGUUCCAAGGUCAACCUUGUUUCCACUUGAACUUGUUUUGCAAUCUCCCGAUAUCCUAUACGACUUCAAAUUUUAUAUUAAUACGUGAGAAAAUAACGUAAUCAUUCUAAUUUGUAUCGAAACAUUAAGCACUUGUAAUAAAUAAAUACAUGAGUUUUUUGACUAAACGAAAAAUUAAGGAUCCACAAGGCUAAUUAUAAUAAAUAAAAUCAUAAAACAAAGAAUUAGCAACAAACAUGGGUCUAAUAUUAGCCUUAUUCCAACAACUACUACAUGAAGCUACUCAUUUAUGCAAGCAUAACUCCUCCUACAAAAGAGAAAUUAGGUGAGCCAAUCCAUAUGAUACACAAGAAUUUGGCGGUGAUGAACACCGUCCGUCCGUCGAACAGUGCGAGAGGGAACCCAUGAGGGAGGGAAGCAAGUGAGGAAGAGGAAUGACAAAGGAGGAGUGCCGUGCAUGUUUGAGAGAGCCAAGAAGAAAAAUGUCGUGUGAUUGCGGGAGUAAGAAUAGAAAUUGGGAGAAAAAGAAGGGUUUUAGACCUCUACUUGCAAAACUGGUUCGGGAAUUGGUUCCAAAACCGAUCUAGGAACCGGUUUCCGGGUAGGUAAUUACUUGGAACUUGUUCCCGAACCGGUUUAAACGGGUUCCGAAUUUUGGAAACCAAUUCCUGACCCUAUUUUCCGGGUGGCCCGGUCUGAGAACCGGGUAUACCUAGUCCUAAUCAUGAGGGGAAAUCACUAAAUUCAUUGUGACCAAGAAGUAGUGUUUCUAAGUUAAUGUGUUUGACUAGGGAGCAUAGUAAUGGCCCUUGUGAUUUAUUGCCUCCCAAAUCUAGCCUUUUUAGAUCAGUUAUAUUACCAAAACAUACCGGUAUAUUCCCAGAGAGAUUAUUGUUAGACAAAUUUAAAGACCAGAGUGAGCUCAAUUGGCAAAUUAAACAAGGGAUCUCACCAGUGAGACCAUUGUUUGAGGCAUUAAAGUCAAGUAUAGUAGGUGAAGGGAUCAAGAGUGGUCAUUGGAAUGAGUUGUUGUGAAGGUCAAUUAAUGACAAACUCUUCGAAUGCAUUUGUUGUAUACCUCCAUCCAGAAAGUUAUGAGAAAGAUCUAAUGAAUCCAAUGUAUCAUGACUUAUUUCCCUAAACCACUUUGGGAUCUCCCCACUAAUCCUAUUCCUAGAGAGAUCUAAGACCAUUAAUCUUUUUAACAGAUAUAAGAAAUAGGGGAACUCGGUCAAGUUGCAAGAAGUCAACCAUACCCAUUGAAGAGGAAAGGUUGAAUGAGAGAGAUUUUGAUAAGUCGUUUUUGGAAUUGCACUCAGAUUGUGCGGAAUGUGGAAGUGAGCAAGGUCAUUUUGAGAAAGGUCGAGCAUCCAAAGAUGGUGAAGGAGAAGAAGAAGGGGGGAGCUAUUAGAGUGGAGAGCGCCGUGAAGCCAACUACAAGCAAGAAUGAGUUUAAUGACAUUACUAGUAACAUAGUCGCAACCGACAUUGUCCCACGAGCAGCAAUCUACGUCAUUGUUCCAUGAGUUUGUCUUUGGAUAAGAUGUGUAACAGGAGUCCGAUGCCAUGCUAUCAAGCAUGGAGGAGUUCUUAAAAUGGAGCAAGGCAUUGCGCACAUCAGGAGGGCACAGGGACAUGCGAAAGGAAAGGGAGGAAUUCACAGGGGGGAAGGGAGAGGAAAGGGAGGAAUAUAGAAAGGGUGAAUGAGAGAAAAAGAAAAAAAAAACAGAAAAAAAAAAAAAAAAGAAAGAAAGGAGGUCGAGGAUCUGAUGCCACCCUAUUUUGCGGUUUAGAAAGCACGCAAGUGCUUCGACUUAUAAAGUGUGAAGUGAUGAACACCAAGUCUUCCGAUAUGACGAGUUCAACUUGUCUUGCGGUUUGUGAAUUAAUUUAAUACGCCUAGUUCAACCAACUAUAAAAGGCUUUACGCCCAACCCAUUUUUCUGUAAUCCUUUAUUAAUCUUAACCAACAUCAGAAAAAGCUAUUAGAUCCACCCCAUUAUUCAGUCUAGGAUCCGAGUGAGUUUAUUGGUGGCUGGGAUAGGGAUUCAACUUAUGUAGCCCUUCUAAUAAGCCAAGUUCUCUCCACGCGUCUGCUCUCAAAGGUCUGUUGGAAGGCUGGUACCAAAUAUAUAUUUUAUUCCUAGUGCUUUCACCGAAAGCUAUCCCAAAUGGGAUUGGAUUCCCAGGUAAAAGCGUUCCAGCUCUGUCCAAAGUAAACAAAGUUUAGGGAAGCAAAAAAUAAAGCAGCAGGAAGUGGCCUUCCAAAGACUACAUUGAAUAUCACGUUUUCUUUGUCAUAUGAGUAUUUUCACCCUCGCUAAAAUUAGACAAAGAAACUCCAAUAGAUAAACUUGCCAUGAAAUGGUCUUAAUUAGACUGAACCAUAUUUCAGGACACUUUUCUUUUUUCUUUUCAUUGACGCUAGAGUCAUGUUCACGGAUGAGCCGAAAAGAAAUGAAAUGAUAUCAUCAUUCAAUAUCGGUUCGAUGGGUAAUGUCUUUUGUCCGUAAUUAGAAAGAAAAUGCUUAUCGAUUUGAAUCACCCAAAAAAAAAUCUCUUUUGGCUAAAAUAAAUCUUAAUCAAACCUCUCAUUUUGGUUAAAAAUACGGUACAAAAAUGUAGAAAAUCAACACAAUCUCUUAUUAGUAUAUGAGUUCUGAUUACUUAUGAUUCUGACAAUUUUCAUACAAAUUCCCCAGUUUCUUUUUCUUUUUGGCUUUUGACAAGGUUCAUAUUCACAUUGAUACAUGUCACUAACCACGAUAAGUGACUUUCUUCGAUCUCAUUGCUAAAAAGAAGGACAAGCGGAUGAGGCCAAAAUUUUGAGGGUCAUGAUAAAAGGAAUUCCUGUACGUCUCUUCGUAAUGAUUUUGACUAUACAUUUCAAUGAAAAAUGUAUAGCCAUUAAGAAUUAUUUCACAUUAAUGCAUACGAAAGUAGUUCUUCAAUCUGCAAAGAGAUGCACCCAAAAGAGAUGACAUCACUCCCAGAGAAAUUACCAAAUAAGUUUAAAACAUAUUGCAUUCGUGCCAACUCAAUUCUAAACCUAUUAACAAUUUGCCAAUUAUGUCCUUUCAGCCAAAUUUGCUUGAAAAUCACUAACGUGACACCAGGCAUCCUAUUUGGUAGGCUAGUGCUAGCAUGAACAUUUUUUUUUUGAAUUUUUUUUUUAUUUUCAUCUUUUCGUUUACUUCUUUCUUUGCUUUUUUUCUUUUCUCAUUAUGAUCAGUGAGGGUCACAGUGAACCUCGCUAGCCAUGAAAGCCCCUCCUAGACUAGGUGAGAGCUGCCUCUCCCACAACUAGUGGGGCCCUUGCCCGCAACUUUGCCAAUGUCUUUGCAGCCUCGCUAGGCAUAGGAGGCUUUUGUUGCAAGCAAGGGCCUCACCCAAAUCUAGCAAAGGCAUUUGUAGCCGGCAAAAGUCGCCGGUGACCCUCGUUGGCCACAAUGGGAAAAAGAAAAAAGAAAAAAAGAAACAUGAGAAUAAAAUUUUAAAAAAAUUGCAAAGAUUGUUCACGUUAGCAACAUCAAUCGAUCAUGUCAUGUAAAACGACUAAUACCCACAUCAAUAAUUUCUAGCUAAAUAGACUCCAUUAGCAAAUUGUCAAAAGAUUUAAGACUAAAUUGAUCUAAUUCAAAUGCUUAAAAUCAAAUUUGCUUGAGCACAAUAGAUUUAAGAUUAUUAUUUUUUAUAAUUUUCCUCGUCACUCCCUUUGUACAAAUAUUCUGGUGUCGACCCUACCCUAAUAUAUUCACCCCUAACACAACCGUCCUAGAUCUUUGUGUGUUUGUGCACGGGCACGCCUCUAUUUACAUAUAACAUCUAGUGCACUUGUUCCGUAAAUUACGGGAUAAAAUCAGGAUAGACCAAGGGCAUUGUUGAUUACCUCGUGUGCCGAUUGGUAUUUAUGUGGUAGGCUCCAUUCGCUCGCGACCUUCCCAGGCGAAAAAGGGUUUACUUAAGUGCAUAUGUACUUGUAUAGGAUUCAACUACAUCAGUACUGGCUGGCACCAGCAUGAAUAUUAUCCAGGUAGAUUCGCAUGCAAAAGCACAAACCGAGCGUCAAAAUAAAUAUUUACAAGAACAGAGCUUAACCUCCCUUUCUUUCUUUUUUUCUAUCAGACAAUUUGCAUUAUUUUGCUCCUCUUAUAACUCUCCGGAAUUGAUGAAAUUAGCAGGCAAUGGAAAGGUAAAGGCAAGUAAAUAACGUUUAGCGGCAUAACUAUUCUCUUUUGAGCCAUUGCGCAGGACUGAACCCGGCACCGAAUUAAAAUUAGCACCCCAUCAUCCACCUGCUACUCGGUUCAUACAUAAUCCUGAACCGUAGAAUGAUUCAACCGGACCCUGGAAAAAGAAAAUGUAAAUGUUGCAAAAUAGAUUAGUACAAGAGGUGAGUAUCAACUGUGUAAUCAUGUAUUGCUACAACAUAAUUGCCUCGCAAGGUUUCGAAGGAAACAAGUAGAGGACUUCUGCGCCCUUAGGAGCGCUAUGCUAGCUUCUCUCUCGUUUUCAGCAUAAACAUGGAACCCAAAAUUUAUUUUGACAAUGUGAAAAUAGGAGAUGUCAACCAUGCAAACUCUUGGCAAUUGGCAAAUGCAAGUUUCAGCAACGGGCAAUGUUUGCAUGUGCGCUGAAGAACGACCUAAACAUGGUGAAGUUUGUCGUACCAGUUGGAGCGAUGAAUUAGCCCGACCAACUAUAGAGUUGUGCAAAUGUUAACUACAUGCCAUGCAUUACCGCGUGUGGGAAACCAUCAAAUGGUCUAUGGCGUCAAGAGCUGAAUGUUAAACGAGUAGUUGAUUCAGCAGCAACCCAUGGAUGUUUUUUUUUAUGGCCGACAUGGAAUUGUUCAAGAUGCUAUAAAUGGACUGCAAGAGAUUUGAAUGCUCCAAUAUAUAAAACUAAACGCUCAAACAGUAAGAGAUAUCUGUCAACUUACUUGCCGGUCAAAAUAAAUGGUGUGAAUGGAGAAAACUUCAUUGGCCAUUUGAAUGUCUUUACUGAUUAAACCAUCAAACCACCUGCUUGCUAUGCUUGAGUGCUCACGACACUCCUGGGAAUUGAAAAUUGAAAAGCAAGUCAACAUUGAGAAACUUGAACACAUGUUAGAGAAGGAAGAUGGACAUUGUGAAGAACUACAGUUUCAUGCUUGACCAAUGGAUCACAUCACUAAUGAACCACUUUCUCGAUAUAUGUAUGAUUUGGCAUAUUUUACGGGUGAUAAAGAUCUCAUACCAUCUCUUCCUAACAAAAAGCGUUUAUCACGUGUUAUAUCUUUGGAUAAUUAAAAAAAGUUGUUCAUCGUCUAAAUCUGCGGUAUCGACAGUAACCUAUACAGCCAAGAUUCAACCUUGCCGUGCACUUCUAAAAAGGUAGGAGUAGCCCUUGACAAAAUUGGAAAUGAGUUAUUAAUGGCUCUAUUAUAGAAAACAGGUUAAAUGUUCUUGCUGAAGUUUUUUGUAGGAAAAACUGCUCCUGCUCCGCACUACUUUCUAUGCAAACUUAAACAUAAGUCUCCCUUUUCCACUAAAAAGUAGCAAGUUUGGUUACUAAGUAACUAAUUUACCCAAUACAUGUAAGACUUAAGUUUCGAAUUUUGGGUUUCAUCCAAGACCCUUUUGGCCAGUAAAGGGCAGAGCAAAUGGAUUCUGUUGCAGAAAGAUUCAUGUGAAGUCUGCUGACCAAAGUUGCACAGGGCAAUUAGGGAAGACAAUCGUGCAAGGUGGAGGAGGAAAUGGAUUGAUACUGCUUUCACAUCCAGUGUCAUUUUAAAGAAAAACGGAGAACAAGAUGAAAUGCAGAAAAAGACAAAGAAAGUGUGGUUUCAAAGAAAGGGACACGUGAAUUUAAAGGCAAAGGUGAGCUCCCACAAAGAUUGUGUCUUCUGAUAAACACUUUUUUUUAGACAAUUUUAUGUAAGUUUUUGUGUUAUAUGAACUAGACCAGAUUAUUUGGCACAUUAAAUGUUUCAAAUUUAUCGUAUCCUCUAUGAUAUUGAAAAGGUAAAGUAAUUAUUCAUUUCAAGCAUGUCUAUGAAUGCGUAAUCCUAAGUGCUGAUAGUAUUUUACAGAAGAAAAAAUAUUACCUUUCUCCCUCCAUGUACGUUCCCCGCGUAGCAUAUCUGCUUUUCUGCAGACUCAAAUCAUUUAAAUAUUAUGUCAUUAACCCAUUAAUUAUAUGUGGCAAUCGUCACUUUUAUUCCUAGGAUAUAGGAAAAUUGUCGUGCACACACGUAUUAUGUUGUAUGGGCUAAUGUAUCUAAUUCCAUGUAUAAGGUUUCCAUGGCUUAGGACACCCGUAGAAAUCAGCACCUCUCGGUAAAUACGAAGCCAGGGAUUCCAGUCUAUGCUUAGAUUUUUUAAUAAAAACUAGGGCACUAAGGAUCAAAUCAAGUCAGUACAGGUAAAACUUUCUUCUCUAGGUGAUUGGGAAAUUGACUCCUCACACAUCCCAGACAUGUUGAACUUGUUUUCCUCUAAGAGGAUGCAAAUGAAACUUUAUGUGGCAGCGGUAGGCAAUGCAGAUUUUUUUCAGUGACAAAGUUAAAACCAGGUACCUCCUCCUCUUGUUCUUGCUCGAAAUCUUCUUCUCCUUCAGCAUCAUCUUCGCCAAACCACACCUCGGAUACAGAUAAAGCUCACAGCCUACUGUGGUCACCAUCUUUUGUAGCCUCAAUUAAAGCAUCCAUUAACUCAGGUUCAAAUUCUCGCAGCAACUUCCCUAACAAAUAUGAUUCAUUAAGGAAGUUUACAUUGCAUAUUAUGGAUUCAUGAGGCAUCAAUGAAUCAUUGAAUCAACACCUCUUGUGCAUAUUUUGUAGAAUAAAACUAAAUAAAAAUGCCUUAGCAAAAAUAAACAAAUAAAAUUGAAGAGAAAAAAGGCCAAAUACACUUGUGUUCCAUCUGGAAAUGAAAAAAAAGCGUUCAGCAAGCAAAAUUUCAGAUUUUUCGCACAGCUUGAGCAUUCAUGUAUGGCUCUCCCAACCACAUCAUUAGCAGUUACUUCAUCAACGUAUGCUCAAGGAACUAUACUGCAAUUAGUACAAGCUGACAUACUCAAACACAAUCGAAAGGGGGGAAAAGGGGCAGUUAAAAAAGAGCUUCUUAUCUUAAGAACUAUUUUUUUGGGCAAGAACUCAUCGUGCAAUGGCCAAGCAUAGCAAAGAAGAUGCCAGGUGAAGCGGCAAGAGAGGGGAAAAGAUUCUCACAUAGACACUCACAAAAACAUGAAUGAAACGUGAUAGUACCAAUGAAAUUGAAAUGCCUUCGCUUUCGUUCUCGGACAUCCGGUCCUGGUCUCUGCGGUAAAUCAACAAAAAUCUCAACGGCAUGAACAAGUGACAGCUCAGACCAAAAGCCUCAAGAAAAACAGUCACGCAUUGAAGAAGCAUCACCUUCGCAGGCAUCUGAGCGUCCAACACCGCUGACUCCAGAGAAGCCACUCUGCAAUUCCCCUUCUAAAAGAAAGGAUAAUGAAUCUACAGUGCUACGUUAUUGAACAUCAUUAUAUCCACAAAGGCCGUGAAAGCUCAAAAUCGCGCCGCCUCCAAGACACAUCUUUUUUUCCCAGCGGUAUCUGAGAUGCCCUUGAUUUGGGAAUGGGAAAGGAAGCGAACUCCAUGCCCCAGGGGAAAUUGCGGCCGAGCCUCGUGCUUCCUCUGGUUGAGGCUCUUCUGGGCGUCGGAGUCGGAGUCGUAGUCGCUGCCGUCAUCUUCUCGGGGGAUCGUACGGUGGCAGGCGGUUGGGGAAUCAGAGCCCUCGCGGCCGGUGAUGGACGUCGCGGUGUGCCGAAGGGACCACAUCGUCUGGAACAGACAACGGUGAGGCGACGUUGUUCCAAAGGGCGAAAGAGAUAUCUGCAGUGGAUAAUGGCUCUUGCUUCAUUUUCCUUUUUUUUUUUUUUUUUUCUAAGCCAUGUGCUUGACAAAUUUCAUUAUUCAUCUUUUCAAUUCACCAAGAUACCAAAGGAGAAGACAUUAAAAACAGGCCUUCAUAAGGGAAAUGACAUUUGAUGCCAAUUAGAUGGCAUCUUUAUUUACUAAGGCUACAUUACAUGGUUUAAAGAGACAACUUCUCAAUAAUUUCACUGUCCAUGAAACUUGAUGGCUCUCCACUUUGGCUUCUCCAUCCAUUGGACUGUACUUCUCUCCAGCAUUCUCACGCCUCGCGCGAGCCAUUUGGGCCAUCCUGUUUGAAUUGCAAUGUAUGUUAUAGAAAUCCCAAUGACAAUUCCAGAUGCAUAACAUAUCCACACUACUUUCUGUUUGAACCAACUCUCAUGCCCUUCGCGGUCUAGAGUCGAUGAGGACGAUGGUGGAGGAGGUUGAGCAUUGCCAAGGCAUGCUUUUAACAAUGGAGUUCCACAUAAGCUUGGAUUUCCACUAAACGAGUCAUUUGAAAAUGUGCUCAAUUGUUUGUCUUGAGGAAUUCGACCAGUGAGUUGGUUCUUCGAGAGGUUUAAAUACCCAAGAGAUGUCAAAUCUCCCAAUGCUCUAGGAAUUCCCCCACUAAGCAUGUUCAAAGAUAGAUCAAGCCAUCCAAGAUUAGUCAAAUUUCCUAAAGUCAAAGGGAUGGAACUCGUAAGGUGGUUGUGAGAAAGGUUGAGCCCUAUGAGAUAGUGAAGAUGGCCAAAAACUUCAGGAAUGUCUCCUUGGAAAAAGUUGUAUGAUAAGUCAAUAGUUGUGAAGAUGGUCAAGAUCUUCACUAGCUUUGUCUCUUUCCCUUUCAUCAUCACGGUCACGGUAUUUUCAUAUGACGGCACAAAGGAAUAGGAAUACUAGGAAUACUGUGUCAUGUACAAUGGUCCAUAUCGCCCAUCUUCUGUAUUCUUCGUGCCUUCAAGGUUCAUUAUCAAGUUGGCUGGUAAAUGACCGCAAAAGUUGUUGUUCGCGAGAUCCAAAAUGUGCAAUUUUGUAAAGAUGAGAUCUCCCUUCCGAAUGUUCAAGGGACCCUUCAAAUUGUUGGACCUCAAAAUAAGAACUUUCAAUUCCGGAAGUUUUCCCAACCAUGCCGGGAAUGUAUCCUCUAUCCGAUUGAUACUGAGAUCUAAAAUUUCCAGAUUUGUACAAUUGACAAGGGACCGGGGCAACGCCCCUUCAAACCAAUUUCGGCUCAAGUCAAAAGUAGUCAAUCCAUGUAUCAAAGAAAUUGUUUGUGGAAUUGUGCCCUCCAAGUGAUUCAUUCCCAAGUUCAAAACAGAGAGAAUAGUGCUAAAAUUUGUUAAGCACCAAGGCAAGCUACCAAUUAAGUUGUUGUUAGACAAGUCGAUCAUCUCAAGAUUGGUAGCGUUGCAUAUCAGAGAAGGGAUCCUUCCUAUUAUAACAUUAUUUGCAAUGGAGUAAUACAUUGUGACGGGAGACGGAAGUGGAAUUGGCCCUCCGAAUUUGUUGUUGGACAAAUCUAUUACUUGUAAUGAGGUGUUGGAGAAAACCUUCAUGGGGCACCAUCCAAUAAAACUGUUGUUGGAAAUAAAUAAAUCUUUAAGAGCAGGGAAUGAGAGUUCAAAAGCAGUGAGGUUGAUCUUACCAUGAAAUUUGUUGGAAUGCAAAUUAAGGCGAUACAGUCGCGGUGCUUUUAGCCAAUGUGGGAAUGUAUCAUUAAACCCGUUUUGAUUGAGAACUAGUGUUGAUAAGUUCGCCCAUUUGACUAGGGAGUGUGGUAAUGACCCUUGUAAUUUAUCAUUGCUCAAGUAUAGAUUCUCAAGAUUGGUUAUAUUGCCAAAACAAUGGGGUAUAUUUCCUAAAGAGACUAUUGUUAGACAAAUCUAAACUCAAGAGUGAACUCAACUGACAAAUCGAAGAGGGGAUCUCACCAGUGAAACCAUUGCUCUUGGCAUAAAAGUAAUGAGUAGAAGGUGAAGGGAUCGAGGGUGGUCCUUGUAAUUUAUUGUGACUCAAGCCUAGAUAGUCAAGAUUGGUUAUAUUACCAAAACAUGGGGGCACAGUCCCCGAGAGAUUAUUCCAAGAUAAUGCUAGUUUUAGGAGGGAAAUCAACUGACAAAUCGAAGAGGGGAUCUCACCGGUGAAACCAUUGUUCUUGGCAUAAAAGUAACGAGUAGAAGGUGAAGGGAUCGAGAGUGGUCCUUGUAAUUUAUUGCUACUCAAGGCUAGAUAGUCAAGAUUGGUUAUAUUACCAAAACAUGGGGGCACAGUUCCCGAGAGAUUAUUGUGAUGUAAUGUUAGUCGUAGGAGUGAACUCAAUUGACAAAUCGAAGAGGGGAUCUCACCAGUGAAACCAUUUCUCUCGGCAAAAAAGUAACGAGUAGAAGGUGAAGGGAUCGGGAUUGGUCCUUGUAAUUUAUUAUGACUCAAGGCUAGAUAGUCAAGAUUGGUUAUAUUACCAAAACAUGGGGGAAUAGUCCCCAAGAGAUUAUUCGAAGAUAAUUCUAGUUCUAGGAGUGAAAUCAACUGACAAAUUGAAGAGGGGAUCUCACCGGUGAAACCAUUGCUCCCAGCAAAAAAGUAAUGAGUAGAAGGUGAAGGGAUCGGAAGGGGUCCUUGGAGUGAGUUUUCUUGAAAGUUAAUAUACAACAACUGCUUCCAACGUAGUUGGUGUAUAUCUCCCUCCAUAAGGUUAUUAGAAAGAUCUAAAUGUUUCAAUGUAUGUUGGCUUAUUCCCCAAAACCAUCUAGGAAUCUCUCCACUAAUCUUAUUGUGAGAGAGGUUUAAGUAUGUCAAACUUUCUAAUGAAUUCAAGAAAUAGGGCAACUUGGUCAAAUUGCACGUUGACAUGUCCAACACUUGAAGCUUUGGGAGAUGGAGGGAAUUAUUGGAAUAGAGAGUGCCAUGAAUCGGAUGGUAAGCAAGAUAGAGACCGAUGACGUUACCGGUGACAUUGUCGCAAGUGACCUCAUCCCAUGAGCAGCAAUCUACACUCUUGUUCCAUGAUAUGCCCCUUUUAAAUGAGCAGGGGUCUCGUGAAUAAAUGGUACAGGGCGAAUCAAAAUUGUCCGACGCAAUUUUAUCAAGGAGGAAGGAAUUCUUAAAAUUGAGCAAUGCAUCACGCUGGUCAGGAGGGCAAAGAGGGGAGGUGAAGGGAAGAUGGAAAUGAAAGAAAAAGAGGAAACAGAGGAGGCCCAAGAACCGAUGCCACCCCAUUUUGCAAUUUAGCAUGCGAGCAGUGAGUUUAUUGGAAGUGGAGAGCGCUUCCACUUAUAUAGCCUUUGUCAAGUGUGAAGUCACUAAAGUAGGUCUUCUCCAAGGUUCCAUUGGUGGGCUCACAACAUGUGUCACCUGUUUUGAAAGCUCCAUUACUCAGCAUACCAGUAAUUUUCAUGUAAGGUUCAAUUAGAAUGAUAUCUCAUUUUCUCAUGGUUAAGGAAGAUCAAAUUUUCUGUCUAAGUUAGUUUAGUCAUAGGUACACAAGUGUGUAAAAUAAAUAUCUAGGUUAAAAGAAUUUUUCUUUCUAGAUACAUACACUUUAGAUUGUCCGUUAUUUUGUAUCAAUCGUGGCAACGAUAAAUAGAAAGAAACAUUUAUUUGAAUUAGGCCUUGGGACCCUGACCCUUGGGGUCUACACUGUAGGAAAAAGGCUGAUAAAAAAACAAAUAAAUUUGUCUGAGGCAUGCAAACGUAAGCACUGUCCUUAAGGAUAAUUCCGCCCCUCGGAGUGCGAAACUCGGUGCGAUAGGCUUCUGACGGCUAUCCUCCAAAGAUACAAUAGACCUUCUUCUAUAUUCUGCACUGAAUAUUAGAAGAAACAGAAACAACGUCUGUGUAUAACCCAGCAAGAAAAAGGAAAGGAAAGAUUUCACAAAGAAAGAAUAUUCUCUGUUUCAUUCGGUGUGUCUUUUUUAAGAUUGUCUUGUGAGAUUUUAUAUUCAGACAAAAUAGAGCCGUUAAAAGAGCCGUUAUAAAAUAAUGAAGGAUUUAUUUGAGAAAUAAAUUAAACGUUACAAAACGAUUGGAAAGCCGUUGUAUGACCGUUAAGAAACCAUUAUGUGACCGUUUAAAAUAAUAAUGGUCUUCAAUGCAGUCAUAACUAUUAUCGAAGUUAUUAUUGUUAAUAUUUCAAAAUAUUAUUGAAAUAUCCAACAAUCCCCCACAUAUUUCAAAAGAUUUUGAAAAUAAAAUUAAUAUGAUGCUGGGUUAUUAGAGUGUAAUGCAUCGGAACUGGUGCUUAUUAGGCUAUGAACUAGCCCUAGAAAAAAUAAAAUAUAAUUCAUGAAAUUAUUGGUGAAGUUUGAAACUUCUAUGAACCAAAAAUUUCUUUUGUGAAUUAUAAUUUUCAUCAAUCACAUUGCACUCCCACAAACUCUGUUGUUCAACGCGGUUUUGUGCUAAUAGGCCAUGCGAGUGCUUGGUUUAUUCAUAAGUGCUUUAGAGAUUUUCACCAAAAAUUCUCAUAGGAGCGGCCCCACUCCACACUUAUAUAGGUGAUUCCAUCAAGUGUAUUCUGCAGCUUAAUACACCACCAACAAUGGCUAUGAAAUUUCAUUAAGAGCUUAGCUCAACCUUUUUUUUCCUUGCAGUUUUGCACCACUCUCAUCUUAGGAUGGACAAUAAUUUUUAAUAGUGCAUCACUAGAACAACAAGUAACUUGUUAUUAGCCAUAUGAACCUAAUUCAUGGGAUCACCAAUCACAUAGGUUGGGUUACCAUCACUGUUGCUUUUCCUCAAUUGGCUUAAGUCCCAUUCCCCUCGAUGUGUCAUAAAUUAAUUUUCUUCCCACAGGUUUAGUCAGAGGAUCGACCAAAUUCACUUCUGACUUUACAAAAUCAAUGGAUAUAAUUCCAUCUUUAAGCAGCUACUUUACUACAUCAUGUCUCAAUCGGAUGUGUCUAUUUUUACCAUUGAAAGUUUUAUUCUUUGCAAUGGUUAUUGCCGCUUGGCAAUCACAGUGCAUAGACACAGAAGGUGUCGGUUUCAUUCCCAAAGGAAUGUCCGCUAAGAGGUUCCUUAACCACUCAGUCUCAUUGCCAGCCAAUUCUAGAGCCACAAACUCUGACUCCAUGGUGGAUUUAGCAAUUAUUGUUUGUUUGGCUGACUUCCAAGUUACAGCACCUCCACCAAGGGUAAACACAUAUCCAUUAGUGGAUUUUGUCUCAUCUGAGUCUGAAAUCCAAUUAGCAUCACUGUAUCCUUCUAAUACAGCGGGAAAUCCACUAUAUAAAAUACCAUAGUUCAUGGUUCCUCUCAAAUAUUUCAUUAAUCUACUCAAAGCAAUCCAGUAAUCAUCAUUGGGAUUUUGUGUAUAUCUGCUCAGUCUACAUACAGCAUAAGCUAUAUCAGGUCGAGUAUAAUUCAUUAAAUGCAUCAAACUCCUAAUAAUUUGAGCAUACUUAGACUGAGCCACACCAUCUCCUUUAUUUUUCACUAAUUGGAUAUUAGAAUCAUAAGGAGUAUUCACAGGUUUAACAUUAAAGUGAUCAAAUUUUUUAAGUAGCCUCUCCACAUAAUGCGCUUGAGUAAGCAUUAGGCCACUAUCACUCUUUACGAUUCUAACACCCAAAAUAAUAUUAGCUUCCCCCAUGUCCUUCAUAUCAAAUUUAGAAGUCAAAAAACAUUUUGUUUCAUUCACUACAUCAAUACACGUACCAAAAAUAAGCAUGUCAUCAACAUAUAAGUUAAUAAUUAUAAAUUCACCAUCAACAGUUUUUGUAUAUACAUAUUUAUCUACUCCAAUAGAGAAAAAUCCAUUAUUAACUAGAACAUCAUUAAAUUUCUCAUACCAUUGCUUUGGCACUUGCUUUAAGCCGUAUAAAGAUUUAACAAGUUUACAAACUUUAUUUUCUUGACCAGGAAAGAUACAGCCCUCAAGUUGCACCAUGUAAAUUUCCUCUUCCAUAUCACCAUUUAAAAAAGCUGUUUUAACAUCCAUUUGGUGAAUAAUAAGUUUGUAAAUAGAAGCCAAAGCAAUUAAAACACGAAUUGAUGAAAUUCUUGUAACUGGAGCAAAAGUGUCAAAAUAAUCAACAUUUUGUUUUUGAGUAAAACCUUUUGCAACUAAUCUUGCUUUAUAUUUAUCAAUAGAACCAUCAUGAUUAUAUUUUCUUUUAAAAAUCCAUUUACAACCGAUCGGUUUUGCACCGGGUGGUAAAUCAACUAAUUUCCAAGUUUGAUUUUGUAAGAUAGAAUCAAUCUCGAUUUUUAUAGCUUUUUUCCAAAAAUUGCUUUCUGAGGAAGACAUCGCUUCAGAAUAAGUCAAAGGAUCAUUAUCAAUAAGAUAAGUAUAAAAAUCAUUCCCAAAAGAAGUUUCUUUCCUUAUUCUUUUGCUCCUUCUCAAUUCAUCAUUUGAAUUUUCGAGAACAUUUUUAUGAAUAGGCAAAGGAGAAAUAUUAUCAACACUUAAUGGAAAAAUAUGCUCAAAAAAUUCUGCAUUUUUUGUCUCAACUAUAGUAUUAUUAUCAAGCACGUCACUUUUUAAUACAAGAAAUCUAUAUGCAGCACUAUGUUCAGCAUAACCAAUAAACAUGCAGUCAGAUGAUUUAGAGCCUAUUUUCCUUUUCUUAGAAUUAGGAAGCAUAACCUUAGCAAGACACCCCCACACUUUCAAAUAUUUUAAAUUUGGACGAUAACCUUUCCAAAAUUCAUAGGGUGUUUUACCAGUUUUCUUAUGAGGUAUUCUAUUUUGGAUAUGGCAUGCAGAUAAAAUAGCUUCACCCCAUAAAUUAUUUGGAGCAUUAGAACUAACAAGCAUAGAAUUCAUCAUCUCUUUCAAAGUCCUAUUUUUUCUUUCAGCUAUGCCAUUAGAUUCAGGGGAAUAAGGAGGCAUAGUUUCAUGAAUUAUUCCUUCCUUUUCACAAAAUUUAUUAAGCAAUACAUAUUCUCCACCUCUAUCCGAUCUAAUUCUUUUUAUCUUUUUAUUCAAUUGGUUUUCUACUUCAGCUUUAUACAAAAGGAACAUAUCAAAAGCUUCAUCUUUAUGCCUAAGCAAAUAAACUUUAGUAAAUCUAGAAUAAUCAUCAAUGAAGGUCACGUAAUAUUUUUUACCUCCUCUAGUCAUAGUUUGUUUUAAAUCUCCUAGAUCAGUAUGAAUUAAACUCAACAAAUCAGAUUCUCUAUUUACAGAAAUACAAGGCUUUUUUGUUAAUUUUGUUUCGGCACAUAUUAUACAUUUAUUAAAACGUGGGUUUUUAAUUCUAGAAAUUAAACCUUAUUUUUGCAUUUUCUUAAUAUAAGAAAUACUAACAUGACCUAAUCUACCAUGCCAUAAAUCAACAGAUUCAGUCAAGUAAGCGAAAGCAGUAGCAUUUUCAUUGAUAACAUUAGAAACGUUAAGAACAAAAAGUCCUUGAUUACAAUAACCAUUUCCCACAAAGACGUUAUUUUUUGUCAUUACAAUCUUAUCAAAUUCAAAUGACACCUUCACCCCAACCUUUCCCAAAAGCGCUACUGAGACCAGGUUUGCCCUUAUAUUAGGGACAUGUAAUACAUCAUUCAGGGCCAAAGUCUUGCCAGAUGUGAGCUUGAGAAGAACGUUUCCUUUCCCAAGAAAUUGAGUUGUUCUUGAAUCACCAAGAUAAAUAACUUCUUCUCAUUCCCCUACUGGCGUGUAGGAGGAAAAGGCAUUUUUGUUUGCACAAAUAUACCUGGUAGCACCUGAGUCUACCACCCACUCUUUCACAUUGGCCACAAUGUUGGCCUGGGAAAUAACCGCAACAAUUAUAUCAUUAGAGUCAUCUGCUUUAACCAAAUUAACUUUUGGUUUAGCAGGAUUGUCAUUUCCCAUCAUUCUCUUUUUGCAGCGUGCUGCAUGAUGACCUGGUUUUCCACAAACAAAGCAAGAGCCUUUCUUUAUGAAGGUGGGGUGAGCAACUUUGGGUUUGUAAUCAGGUUUUUUGUUAUAAUACCUGUUUUGACGAUGUUGAAAUUUGCCUUGCACCAAAUUUGCCCUGGUCACAAUUUCCUUAGCUUUGGCAGCUUUGAUCUCCUUGCGAGUUGUAUCCUCAAUGAUGAUAUGCACGAUCAGAUCGGCUAGUGACAAUUGCUUGUCCUUGUGCUUGAGUUGUUGCUUGUAGUUAUUCCAAGACUCAGGCAACUUUUCAAUUAGCAGGCCCGCAAGAAAUUCUUCUUGUAAGUUGAUGUUUUCUGCCUUCAAGUCCUCCACUAGCUUGUGAUAUUCAUUGAUUUGUGUCUUGAUCUCCUUAUCAUCGGACAGUUCCCAUCGAUAAUAAUUUCCGAUUACAAAUUUUUGUCUGCCCACAUCUUCGGCAGUGUACUUUGCAGUCAUGAAGUCCCAUAUUUGUUUUGCUUCCUUGUACGGACAGUAGACAUCAAACAAUUCAUUAGAAAGAGUACUAAUAAUUGUGUGCCUACAUACCUUGUUAGCAUGUAUCCAUUGAUCUCGAAGCUUGUUAUCAGUUGGUUUGGCCUCCGUAAGUGCGAAAGCCACGUCGUGCACAUCUAGGAUAGAGAAAACCCUUUCUUGCCACCUUCUGAAAUUGUUGCCGUUGAAAACUUCGAUCUUUUAUAUGUCGGGGAAUGGUUUGGCAUAAGACAUAUGUGGUAGUGAUGGUAGUGCAACUGGACUGGUGGAGAUUGAGGCAUCAACAGCAGUAUCGACUUGAUGCUCCAUGGGUAUUAUCCUUAAGAUUGUAGGAAAAAGGCUGAUAAAAACAAAUAAAUUUGUCUGAGGCGUGCAAACGUAAGCACUGUCCUUAAGGAUAAUUCCGCCCCUCGGAGUGCGAAACUCGGUGCGAUAGGCUUCUGACGGCUAUCCUCCCAAGAUACAACAGACCUUCUUCUAUAUUCCACACUGAAUAUUAGAAGGAACAAAAACAACGUCUAUGUAUAACCCAGCAAGAAAGAGGAAAGGAAAGAUUUCACAAAGAAAGAAUAUUCUCUGUUUCAUUCGGUGUGUCUUUUUUAAGAUUGUCUUGUGAGAUUUUAUAUUCAGACAAAAUAGAGCCGUUAAAAGAGUCAUUGUAAAAUAAUGAAGGAUUUAUUUGAGAAAUAAAUUAAACGUUACAAAACAAAGGAAAGGAAAGAUUUCACAAAGAAAGAAUAUUCUCUGUUUCAUUCGGUGUGUCUUUUUUAAGAUUGUCUUGUGAGAUUUUAUAUUCAGACAAAAUAGAGCCGUUAAAAGAGUCAUUGUAAAAUAAUGAAGGAUUUAUUUGAGAAAUAAAUUAAACGUUACAAAACGAUUGGAAAGCCGUUGUAUGACCGUUAAGAAACCGUUAUGUGACCGUUUAAAAUAAUAAUGGUCUUCAAUGCGGUCAUAACUAUUAUCGAAGUUAUUAUUGUUAAUAUUUCAAAAUAUUAUUGAAAUAUCCAACAUACACUACAUCCUAAAGCACAACAAUGACUUAACAACAAACAUAAUAAGGCAUAGAAAGAAAGAAGAGUACUUAUUUAUUAAUUUUUUAUGAGGCGAAGUGAUUGUUUUAUUAGUUAUAGUUUAGUAAUUUUACCAAAGUGACAUUAACUUUUCCGGUAAUCUAAUAAGUAGCGGUCAUAGACCAUAGUCGGGUAACUGGGUUAUAAAUUCUCCAUAUUUGAGCUUUACAUUGUAGAAACGUCCCUCCUAUUUACGACGUUCCUUAAUCAGUCCCACUUCGGGGCCUCAAAAACGGGUACCGCACUUGUUUGUGGAUUUUAACUUGGAAGGGUUUUCUUCCCAGCAUCAAUCGGCGCUGCAUUUUCUCGAUCUCAAUAUUCCAUGAAAUGAAUAAAAAUUGCUUUAAAUUAUUGAAGCGUCUAUAGGCGACCUAACAAUCCUCUAUAACUAAAUUGCUGUAAUUAUCACUACUAGAAAAACUGCCUAAGGCGACAAAAAAUUUUACGACAAAAAUAAUUUGGUCGCCUUGGGGGCACCAAAGGAGAUGGAAUUCGAUUUUUUGCCGUACGUAUGCCAAAGGCGACAAAAACUGGUUUGUAUCGACUUAGGUUGAGUUAGGCGAUGGUUGACUGCAACGAAAAAGAACCUUUGUCGCCUUAUUUUCGAGUUGCUAACUCAACCUUUCAGAUUUUUAAAUAUAAUUUUCAAAUCAGAAUUACAAGAUUUAACAAGUCACAAAAAGAAACACAAUUUAAACUGAGUUGUUCUACUUAAGAAGAAAAGCUUAUUAAUUGACAACCCAUAACAACGGGAAAGCCUCAGUAAUACCGUCAGACAAAAGACGAAAUAAAUCUAAAAAAUUAUUCGAUGCUUCUUUCCAAAACAAUUCCUAUGUAUAUUCGGAUGGCGUUAAAUAAGUCCUAAUUGAUUGAUGUUACCGAGAGACUUUGAAAUAUAGUGGCGUAGUCCACUUCACAUCGGUGGGCUGAUAUUGGUAGAAUUCAAUGUUUUUCGGUCGAGGACAGUGGCUCUAGGACAGCGGUGCACUUAAAUUCUAAUGUAAAUAAGUCAAAGUCUCCUUGAGAUGACAUAACUGGAGUCACAAAUUUGAUUCUCUUGGUGAAUUUACUUGGGUGUGGAAAAUUCUUACUUGCUUGGCUCUGUAUAUACAUGAUAUGAAAGUCUUCUCCGCCUUUCUUGAAAAGUUUAUUAGUCAGAUGGCAUUUUUCAUUUCAAAAGAUAUGUAUGACUCUUGUCAUCAUUAUCUGGUAAAUAAAUUUAGAAAAUUCAUUAUAAAAAGGGUAGUCAUUUAUGAAUAUUUUCCUUUAAGAUAACUUUGAAUUUUUAGAUAUUUUGAAUCUCCAACAUCCUUUCUUGUUUCAUAUUGUGCUUGUUAAACAAUUAAGGGCUACAAUAAUAACUUUCAACUUUUAGAGAAUUGCCUCACAACUUUAAGAUGCCGUGACCUUAAAGUAUACAUUACCAUAUACACAAAUCACAACACUUUACAUCAUUACUACAACUAUAUCAAAUAUAUUUUGCUUUUUAUUAGUUUGAUUCAAAGUUAAAGUGAUCAUUGUGUACUAUUGAAUAUAGACAACAUAAAUUCACUUGAUUAAAAAAAAGAAAAUUCACAGAGAUUAGGAUUGACAGUCAUGGAAUCGCCCCAAGCUAUAAUGUCGGAAUCUUUACCGUCAUUUCUGGGAACUUUCUUCCUCCUACCAUAGAGUCUAGACUUAGCUUCAAUUUCGGGACGGAAUCAAAAGACCUGCAUAAAGUCCUUGUGGAAAGGUCUGCAUAAUUGCUCGGUUGGAUGAGGAUUUGACGCCACCCCACCUUCCACGGCAGAAGGAUGCAUGAUUGAAGGGGAUUUUGCAAGAAUUGCAGGCUUGGGAUAUCUCUGCAUCUGGCAAGCCGCCCAUCAGCCGCAGAGACUAGAAGACGACAAACGUCUAGUUAAAUAAAAAUAGGGAAGCCCCAAAUAUCUGAUUUUGGCAUAAUUGAAGGCAUGUUUGGCAAUUUAAUCGGCAUCCUACUUUUCUUUUUUAAUUAAUGUUUGCCGUGCGAAAUCAAUUUUGUUGGACUCGGUGGAACGUGAAAACCAAGAAUCAAAUCAUCAUCAAUUUUCUCAUGCGAAUUGACUCUUGAUGACCCACGCUUCCAUAUUCUAAGUCAGAAACUCUGUCUUUACAUGGCAAAAGUAUCGUAAAACACACUUCAUUCUAUGGGACAACGUCCUAAUUACGGGGAAUAGAAAGUGGCUUCACAAAAAAUUAGAAUGCGCUCAGGUCGUCCACGUACUGCUUUUUAUUUCAUCCAUCCAACUUGCAAAGUCAAGUCUCCUCCGUUUUUCUUAAGCCAAAAGUCGGGGCAAGCCUCCAUGCAUUGUUCUUCACGGUUGUCGUAGGGCUUCGCCAGUAGCACAAAGAUCGACGAGGGUUGCCCCUGACCCUCGUCAACCACAAUGAGAAAAAGAGAAGAGAAAAAUCACAAUAAAAAUUUAUAAAAAAGAAAAUUACAAAAAUUGUUCAUGUUAGCAGCGACAGCCGAUUGUGCCACGUAGAACGGCUAGCAUACACAUUAACAAUUUCCAGCCAAAAGGACUUGAUUGGCAAAUUGUUAAAAGGUUUAUUUGCCAAAUUGAAAGGUCUCAAACUAAAUUUACACAAAUGCAAUAGGAUUAUUAUUGUUUUGAUAAUUUUCCCCAUCACUCCUUUUGUACAAAUAUAUUAUGGGGUAAUCGACAACCGGCGAGCAAACCCUGGGGGAGUGACUGCAGGACCUACCACCAGAGUACUCCAAAAUAAGAAUCCCUAACGAUGCCUCUGGGAUUCGAACUUCUCCCCUUCAUGAGGGGGAAAGAGUCCAAGCCAGCUGCGUCGCUGCGGGCAAUAAUUAGAUCUUUGUGUGUUUGUGUUUGUAUACACGACUAUUUACAUAUAAUGUCUAGUGUACUUGUUCCGUCUUUACAGGAUGCAAUCGGGAUAGACCUAGGGCAUAUCUAAGAUAGUCGAGUACCUCGUGUGCCAAUUGGUAUAAUUUUGUAGGCCGCAUUCGCUCGCGACCUUCCCAGGUGAAUAAGGGUUAACUUCAGUGCAUAUGUACUUGUAUAGGAUUCAACUGCAUCUGUACUGGCUGGCACCAGCAUGCAAACUACCCAGGUAGAUCCGAAUGCAAAAGCAUCAACCGAAUUUUACAUAUUCAGAUGAUCGUUAAAAUAACCGUUUAUAAGAACAGUGCUUAACCUCCCUUUUUAUUUCUUUUUUCUGUCAGACUAUUUGCAUUAUUUCGCUCCUUCUAUAACUCUCCGGAACUGAUAAAAUUAGAAGGCAAUGGAAAGGUAAAGGAAAAUAAAUAAAGUUUAGCGGCAUAACUACUCUCUUUUGAGCCAUUGCGCAGGACUGAACCCGGCACCUAAUUAAAAUAAGCACCCCAUCAUCCCCAGCAUCUCGUACAGUUGUCAAAGUCAUCAUGUAACCCAUUAAAUUGGGAGUUUCUCCUAAGAAGCCUGUGUACAUUGUAAGAGAGAUCGAGGGACAAAAAGCUUGGAGAGGCGAGAGAUUUCACUAGGAACAAUACCCGAGAGAUUUCACUAGGAACAAUACCCAAAAGGUGUGAAUGAGAGAGAUUCGUAUGAGUCAUUUUUGCAAAAAAAAACUCAAGUUAGUCCAAAUGUGUGGCCAGAAAAGUUAAUAAGGGAAAAAUUUGAGGCUUUGAAGAUGGCAAAAGAGAAGAAGGGAGCUAUUAGAGUGGAGAGAGCCACGAAGCCAAUUCCAAGUAAGAUCAAGACCGAUAAAGUUACUGGUUACACCAUCGCAUACGACAUGGUCCCUCGAGCAGUGAUCUACGUGCUUGUUCCAUGAGUUUUGUCUUUGGAUAAGAUGUGACCCAACAGUCUCCGCCCUUGUUCCACGAGCAGCAAGCCGUGUCGUGCUUCAACCUACUUCUCCUGUGAUUGCGGCAUGGAUUAGUCAAUUUGAAGAGUGAGUGAAUUGGAAAAACUGCAGUAACCCAUUACUCUGCACAGGAUGUAAUUGUUUUUACUGAGAUUGGGAGGACAGCAAAAUGUAAACAUAGAACAACGAGAAAACAAAGAAUUUGCUAUAAUCCCUUGCCUAUUUUCAGGACACCAAAGCUCGUUGGCUCUAGGAGAACGUUUCGCUUAUGUUAUAGAAUCCAUAGUCUUCUUAUUAUUGGAGUAAUAGAUUAGACUAGAUUGGGAAUUUUUGAGGUACCAAUUUCAUGGCCAUGUAAGACGGUUAGCAUAUAUGUUGGCAAUUUGCGAUGAAUUGAAUUUGCAUAAAUGUAAAAUGUUUAAGACUCAAUUUGUACAAUUACAAUAAAUUUAAGAUUUUUUUUUUUUUUUUUUUGCUAAAGUGAGACAAGGUUUGGUAGGAUUCCAUGUUUUCGGGUUGACCACAAUGGCUUUAGGACAACUUAGCACUUCAUUAUGAAGACUAAGAAGUCAAAGUCUUCUGGAUAUGACAAUCACAAACUUAAUUUUCUCGAUUGUCUUGGUGGUUUUACUUGGGUGUGAAAAAUGCAUCUAGGGUCAUAGAAGUUUCUUCUUGGCUAAAUGCAUAAAAGACUAUGAAGGAGUCUUUAGGGCAUCCGUUAUAAAUGGGCAUUGACAAAUUGGCGUAUAAGUUGGAUUUUUUUGGUUUUUUUCUUGCAUAUCAUGUCAAGUGUGGAAUAGAAUUGUUCUACAUCCACACGAUGUGCAAAUUUUGUCCACUUUUCUUAAAAGGCAUACUAGUCAAGUCUAUAGUAAAAUUUUCAUUUCAAAGAUAUGGACGACUUUUUGGGUCAAUCAUUAUGAAAAAGGCAGUCAUUUAUGAAAUUUUUCUAAUAAGAUAACUUUUAAUUUGCAAAUACAUUUAAUUUCUAAUAUCUUUAAAUUUGAGAAAGUGCUUUUACAGUUACAAUAGCUUAUAAUAACUUUUAGAAAGUUUCCUCACGCUGAUUUUAAAAGUUGUAAUUCUAAAAUACAUAUUACCAAAUACGCUAAUUGCAAUACUUUACACAACAUAUACAGCAUAGCACAAUUGCAACGAUACUAAACAUGCUUCAGUUUUUAAUAGUUCAAUCCAAAGCUGUGACCAUCAGAUACCGCUAAAUAUACCCAACAUCGAUUCAAUUGAUCGCUAAGUUACUAGUAUGCUUAAUUGUCAAGUAAAUUCCACUUAUGCAUCCACUAGUAUUUGGCAAAUGAAUGUUAAACGUUAAAUUUGCAACGUGAAAGAAUUCAGUGGAGGAUGUACAGACAUAACUUAGGGAGGCGAAAUACAGCAAACUCCAAAUCUAACUCCGAGGGUGAAAUAUCGAUUUGAUCAAAGUCGGGCUAGAGCCAAACGGUCCAAAGGGGCGGCGGUCUCCGUCCCCGUCAACCCAAGCACACAAUCAAGAUCAACAAUCACCAGUCUUCUUUGAAAGGUCUGUCAGUGGGGCUUGCAUACACUUCCGUUUUAACUUCUUCUCCGAUAAAGAUGGCUUCAACUUGCCUUGCGGAUUGGGAGUUGAGUCAAGAUCCGUCUUUUUCUUAAGAGUCCUUCGAUAUUGGUUUACCACCAGUACCAGACAAAGGAAGCAACUUUCUUCGCCUUGAAUUGAGCAUCCCCUUAGUUUUAAGCCAGUCAUGUAUUGGUAAUCAUAAUUUAACAUGUACCUAUUUUUUUCAUACUAUUAGUAGCUGUAAUUUUUACAAGUAUUUAACUUGGGUCGUUGGCCAUUAAAUGUAGAAAAUACCAAUAAGAACACUUGUCGAGCUGGACAUCCAAAACACAGCCGGACAAUUUCUUUAAAAAAAAUUGUUAAAAAAUGUAAAAAAACAAAAACAACAAAAUUAAAUUGCUUACUUUACCAAAAGAAAAACAAAAAAAAAUUAAAGAGACAACAAGGUGACUAUGGUCUUUCAUUUUAUUUUAUUUAAAAACAAUUUCUUAAUUAUUUUUUCUGUUUCUUUUCUUUUCUUUCUUUUCUUUUUUCUUUUUCUUCGCAUGGUCACUAGCUACGACGAUUGACCAUUGGUGAGCUCGAGCCAUGCUGUAGUACUAUAUAUGCUUUUGUUGUGCUUUGUACUUUUUCCACAUUUACCAUAAAUAAUGUAGCUUGUGCUCAUCAAAUUGGUUUGGAGGAGUUCAUGAAAUUUUCACAAGCAAGAUAUGAUGAAGCUAUUUUUAUUCACCAGUGAUCAACAUUGUGAUGUGAAUCUGUCCAAUUCGAUGUAAUUGGUCAUCCACGUGAUUUCCAGCGCAAGCAAAGGACAGAGUUUCUUUCAAACAUUUAUACAAAGUCUCCAACGCAAUUUCUUUUCCACGUUCCCAUUGAUCUCACAUGGCUUUUUCCACAAUCGAUGCAUUGAAUGAUUGUGUCGUGAAAGUUCGUGGAAAUAAAAUAGCUCAAUUAGAUAUAAACUCGCAGCGCAAGAUUCACCGUGGUCAACAUUGCUCCGUGCAAUCGAGAAAAAGUGUCUCCCAGGGCGAGCCCCUUUCUUACUUCGCUGUUCGUCAUCUUUUUUCUUUUUUGGAGUUCACGACACGGCUUGAAGGAAUUCUUCUGCGCGGCCAACAAAAGGUACUCCCACCCUGACAGAAUGCGUAAAGGAAGCAAGAUGCAAGAGACGAAGGAUUGAGAGAAGUUUUUUCUAUUCCUUCAAUUGUAUUGAUUCGAUAUACAAUGUUUUGUAAUUAUAAUACAGAGUGUACAUGAAGAAAGGAAAUAAAAAAUUCUAUAAAUCAAAUCUACAAUUCUGUCCAAUAAUAAUUGAUCUAAUUAGAUCAAUUAAGAUCAAAAUCUGGCGGAUGAUCAAUUUAGAUCAAAUCCGGCUGAUCUUCAGGCAUAUCUUCCAACACUCCCCCUCAAGUUGGUGGCUUGUAGAUAUCUAAGACGCCUAGCUUGCUUAGUAGAUAUGCAUGCUGUCAACAUUAUUUUGGUAAAAAUGUCCGCCGGUUGUUCAACAGUUCCAAUCCCUCUUGUCUCGAUUAUCCCUUCCUAGAUUUUCUCUCGAGUGAAGUGACAAUCUACUUCUAUAUGCUUGGUUCUUUCAUGCAUUAUGGGAUUGGCUGCAAGUUUCAGUGCCGACUCGUUGUCACAGUACAGUUUUGUCGACCCUUUAACUUGUAUUCCAAGAUCUCCAAGUAAACCUCGUAUCCACACAAUCUCACAUGUGGUUUUUGCCAUGGCUCAAUAUUCUACUUCAGCUGAAGAUAAAGAAACCAUUGCCUGCUUCUUGGUUUUCCAUGAAAGAAGUGAUUCUCCUAGUUUAAUGCAAAAACCAGAGACAGAUCUUCGACUCAUAGGGCAAGUCGCAUAAUCUGCAUCAUAAUAUGCUGUCAUUUCCAUGUUGCAUUUUCUAGACAAAAGUAUUCCCAGUCCUGGACACUUCUUCAAAUACUUUACAACCUUCAAGGCAGCAUUCAUGUGAGAUUCCUUCGGUUUGUGCAUAAAUUGGCUGAGAUUUUGUACUGCAUACGAUAUAUCAGGCCUAGUCAUAGUCAGGUAUAUGAGUUUUCCAAUGAGUUUCUGAUAACUUGUUGGAUCUUUAAGAAUAGGAUCAUCCCGAGAUGUUUCCUUGUCAUGAUCCGCUGCAAUUAAUCUAGUAUUUUGCUCGAUUGAAAUAACUGCUGGUUUGCAUCCUGAUAAACCUGUUUCUGAUAUAAUUUCUAAUACAAACUUCCUCUGACUGAGAGAAAUUCCUUGGUGAGAUCUGGCAAUCUCAAUUCCAAUAAAGUAUUUUGGUGCUCCCAGAUCUUUUAUAUGGAAUGUGGUAUGCAAAUAUUUCUUAAGAUUCUCUAUCGCAGCUUCAUCAUUUCCCAUAAUAAGAAUGUCAUCUACAUAUAUCAUUAAGUAAAUAGAUGACGUACCUUUAGUCCAUGUGAACAAGGCAUAAUCAUAUUUGGAUUGUUUGAAGUCCGCAGUGAUGAGAGCCUUAGCAAAUUUUGCAUACCAUUGCCUAGAAGCUUGCUUUAGUCCAUAAAGGGAUUUGCGGAGACAACAUACCUUAUUCUCCCCCUGUCUCCGUAAGCCCUGAGGAAUAUCCAUAUAAAUUUCUUCAUCCAAGUCGCCAUGGAGAAAAGCAUUGUGGACAUCCAUUUGGUGUAAGGACCACUCAUGAAUGGCUGCAACUGAUACGAAAGAUCUAACAGUGACAUCUUUAGCAAUUGGGGAGAAGGUUUCAUGAUAAUCAAAACCUUCUCGCUGAGUAUAACCCUUGGCCACUAACCGAGCUUUGUAACGCUCAAUGGAUCCAUCAGCUCUAUACUUGAUCUUAUAAACCCAUUUGCAGCCUAUAGACUUUCUAUUAGGAGGAAGGUGGACCAGUUCCCAAGUUUGAUUAUCAUUCAAUGCCUGUAAUUCUGCUGCCAUAGCCUGUUGCCAUCGGGGAUCUCUAGAAGCAUCAUUAUAACUAGAUGGUUCCCUUUCAUCAGAAAUUCGACUAAUGCUACAUCGGUGUUCAGACGAGAGUCUAUCAAACGAGACAUAUGAGGAGAUUGGGUAGUGAAUACCUGGCGAAUUGAGAGAGGCACAGAUAUAAUCCUUGGUCCAGGUCGGUGGUCGGGUGGCUCGUCCCGUACGACGUGGAGGAUGCUCUGGAGGUGAAGGAGAUGGUUCUCCUAUGGCCGUGUCUGUCGAAACCUCAGAAGGAUGGUCCGCAUUAGACAGAGUUCUAGGCAUACCUUCCAUCUCUUCCUCAUGAUCUGUUGGAUGAGGUGAAUGAGAUGAUGGGUUUAGAGGAAUUGCUUGAGUCGGGGGGAUAACUGGAGCUGGAGAUCCUGUGAGAAAAUAUUCAGGGAAAACAUCUUCCUGAUGGGAAGAUCUACGAGAAUUAUCUAAAACUAUUAAAUUUUCCUUAUUUUCCUGGAAUGGGAAAAUAUCUUCAUGGAAAAUAACAUCUCUGCUCACAAAAAAAUCCCCUGUGGAUGGGUCAAGAACACGAUAGCCUUUCUGUAGAUUGGGGUAACCCAUAAAUAUGCAUCGUCUGGCAUGAGGACUCAUUUUGUCUCGAGGUCCCACAGUUGCAGUAAAGCAUAAACAACCGAAAAACUCUUAAAUGAUCAAGUGCUGGUUUUUUUCCAUAUAAUAAGUCAAAAGGUGAUUUACCAACCAGUAUUCGAGUUGGCAUCCGGUUGAUAAGAUAUGCUGCAAUGAGGAUACAAUCGCCCCAAUAAAUAUCUGGAAUGGAUCCCUAAAACUUCAGUGCUCUGGCAACCUCUAAUAGAUGACGAUGCUUACGUUCUACAACUCCAUUUUGUUGUGGAGUGUAAACGCAGGAACUUUCAUGGAGAAUCCGGUGAGAUAUAAAAAGUGAGCUGCAUUCAUGGUUAAAAAAUUCCUUCCCAUUAUCAGUGUGAAUCCGUCUGAUUGUCUUUCCAAACUGAUUUUUGGCCAGAAUGAUAAAGGAUUUCAGAUUAGCAUACACUUGAGCUUUGGACUGCAUUAGAAAUAUCCAGGUAGCACGAGAAUGAUCAUCCACAAUAGUAAGAAAAAAACGCGAACCAUCACGAUGUGCUGUGUGAUAAGGUCCCCAAACAUCGACAUGAAGUAGUGAAAAGAUAGUAGUGGAGUGACUCUUACUAGUGGGAAAUGGAGUGCGAGAUUGUUUUGCCAUUGGACAUAUAUGACAUUUAGAAUAGGGAAAAAAAACACUAUGACCCAUUCUUGAAUGUAAAAGGAAGCUCUUAUCAUCGGUAGUAGCAUUACACAAUGAUAUUUUAUUCAAGACAAUUGAUGAAAAAUCAAAUUAAUUUGGAAGGUCAUUCCAAAAAAAUAACCCUUCUGAGAGAUUACCCAAGCCCAUCAGUUUGCCAGUCGAAAGGGCCUGGAAAAAACAAGCAUCAGAAUCAAAGAAGACUCGACAGGAAUUUUCCUUGCAGACUUUGGACACUGAGAUAAGAUUGAAUUGAAAUUCAGGAACAUAGAGGACAUUUUGAAGAGUAAUUUGAGGACUUGAUCGAACAGUGCCUGUCAAGGUGACAUUAGUGAUGUUGCCAUUUGGCAAUUGCAUAGAAAUAGGAAUAUUCAGCUCCUUAUGUAUAUUAGAAAAAUAACUUUUAUCACAAAUAAUGUGAUCACUUGCUCCUGAGUCCACUAUCCAGGCUUUCCUUGAAAUAGAAUUUAUCAGGCAAUGAGAUAUACCUGAAAAGUUGCCUCCUUUACUUGUGAUGUCUGCCUUUUGUAGAGCCUGCAUUAAUUGCUCAUAUUGUCCAUAGGAAAUUGGCCGAUCAUUACUGAGUCUAGUAACUUGGUAAGCUGCAUAAUAUUCUUUCUUUCUUUCUUUUUCUUUUGGCUUUCCAUGCAAUUUCCAGCAAUUAUCUAUAGUAUGAUGCGGGCGUUUGCAAUAUUCGCGAUAUAGUUUACCUCUCCCUUUCGAAUUUUGGCCAAAAUUCCUUGAAGAUGCGGAAAAAAUCUGACCGUCUGACGCUGAAAAGAUCCGGCCGUUCGAUGCUGAAAAAAACUGGCCGUUCGAUUCUCUUUUCGCAGGAUUAUAUGCGCCGUUGGAUUCUGUGAAGAGAUCAGCCUCCUGGACACCGUCGGAUCUGCGAGAUAAAUCUGGACCGUUGGUGCCUCCCUUUUUAAUCAUCUUCUCACCCCUCCCGUGAAACCCUAGGGUUUCUUGAUUCUCUCUUUCUCGCGUUAGGGUUUUGAAACCCGAUCGCUCGCCGCGAAGUGCAAGUGCGACACUGUCGCUUCCUCCCUUGUGCUCCGGCGCCGCGAGUCGCUGGUUUUCUUCCUGGACAGCGAGUUGAAAGAUCCUUCCGAGAGGAGGGACAGGAUCCAUCGCCAGGAUCUGCGAUCGGAACGUCAGGUAAUUUUCGUUUAAGAUCAAAAGGAAACGAGUGAUUUUCUCCCUCUCCUUUAUAGAUCUAUAUUGUUCGAGGGUCUCUGCCGGUCCCUUGAGUUUUUCUUCUGUGGCUUCGAGCUCGUUCCAAAGCGACGAUAGCUUGUUGUAACAAGCUGUGACCGUCAGAUUUCCCUGCUUGAAUUCACUGAGUUCCUGCAUGAGUAAACAAAUUUUUGCUUGAUCUAAUUUUCUGUACAUUUCUUUGAUAUUCUCCCACAUUUUCUUCGAAUCUUCUGUUGGUGGGAGGCCAGCAGCGACAUCUGGAGAGAUGCAAUUGCCAAUCCAUGAUCGGAUUAGGUGGUUGCAUUUCCUCCCGUGUCGGGCCAGUCGCUCAUCCGAAGGAAUAGGUAUGGUUCCGUCGAGGAAUCUGUCCUUGUCCUUUGUCACGAGGGCUCGCCGGAAAUCCUGUGAUCAUCUGGAAUAAGUUUCUGGUCCAGUCAGUUGCAAGGUGAUUAAUCGCAGUUCUGGACCGUCAGCUGUUGAUACGUAGAGAGGAUCUCCAGAUUCUGGUUGGCCGGUGACUACCGCGAUCGGAAAAGGAAGAAAAUUGGGCGAGAAACUCGGGUAGGGAUUCGUCCUUGAGCCCGACCCGCCAGAUCCGAUUCCAUGACCCGCAUGCGAGAAAUUUGGGUAGGGAUUCGUCCCUAGUCCCGACCCGCCUAGGGUUGAUCGGUUCCCGGUUCAGUCUGGUUCCACCUUGGAACCGAGAACCGAACCGGGAGCACCGGUUCCCAAAAUAUUGAACUGUGGACCGGACCGGACCAUCGGUUCCGGUCCAGUCCGGUCCGGUCCAAAAAAAUCAACUAUACUUUUUUGCACUAAAGAACUAAAGAGUGACCGCGCUCUUGACCGAUCAAUUCAAUUCGAUUCUCGGGCAAUUCAACAAAACUAAUCACACGUGUUCCACGUGCAAAGUGUUCAAACUUCACUUGUGUGAUUCACAGGAUCUCUUGAAGUCUUAGUCCCAUAUCGAAACUAUCAAGGAGAUUUUUUCUAUAAAUAAAAGAGUAAUAAAAAGGAUUUUAAUGGUCUCUUGGCCACAUAAGAGGUUGCUACCUCAAAUUGCAAUUUUGGUUGCAAUAAGUUAUCAUGUUUAUAUGUUUUAUUAAUUCUAUGUAUAUAAAUUAUAUAUAAAAAAGUUUGGUUCGGUCCAAUCGGUCCGGUUCGGUCCGGUUCCCACCUUGAAACGGGGAACCGGACCGACCGGCCACUAGUUCCAAGAUAAGGAACCGGGGACCGGACCGCCGACCAUGGGAACCGCCCAAAACUGACCGGUUCGGUCCGAUCCAACUGGUUCCCGGUUCGGGCGGUUCCCGUUGCACACCGGGUCACCCGCCAGAUCCGAUUCCAUGACCCGUAUGUGAGAAAUUCGGGUAGGGAUUCGAUCCCAGACCUGCUUCGUCCGACCCACCAACUUGUUCUGUUCCGGCGGUUUGGUUUGCCCCAUUCGUGGCUGGUGGACCUCCGUCGGACUGAACGCUACUUUGGUAGCCUGUAAUCCCCGGCGAUGAUGCAUUUGGUCCAACGUACCAUGGAUACGGUACCCAUUGGUAAGGAUGGCCCGCAGUGGGCAACCCCAUAUUUGACUGAGUCGGGAAGAAUGGCCAUUGCACGCCUUGAGUCUGAGGUUGCUGUUGAGUUGUGGGAAUCGGCACGAGAUGGCUUUGUGCCUCUGAGAUUUGUGGCGUAGUUUCUUCUGUGGAUGAAACAUCAAGGGCUGAGGAUGAAUUUGCUAGGUGAGCCAUGUUAAUUGUUUGUGCUUGCUUCUUUUUCCUUUUAGCGAAAAAUGAUUCCUUCAUAAAUCUCUUUUGCAGAUCAGAGAGUUCGAAGAACAACUGGUGCGGAAGCGGGUUCAGAAGCUUGAAGGCUCUAAUACCAUGACAGAAUGCGUAAAGGAAGCAAGAUACAAGAGACGAAGGAUUGAGAGAAGUUUUUUCUAUUCCUUCAAUUGUAUUGAUUCGAUAUACAAUGUUCUGUAAUUAUAAUACAGAGUGUACAUGAAGAAAGGAAAUAAAAAAUUCUAUAAAUCAAAUCUACAAUUCUGUCCAAUAAUAAUUGAUCUGAUUAGAUCAAUUAAGAUCAAAACCUGGCAGAUGAUCAAUUUAGAUCAAAUCCGGCUGAUCUUCAGGCAUAUCUUCCAACACACCCCAACAGGAUUCAUGCGUUCUCCUGAAAAAAACUCCCAACAGGAACCCCUUUCUUACUUCGCUGUUCGUCAUUUUUUCUUUUUUUGGAGUUCACGACAUGGCUUUUUCUCGUUCUUUUGCAGAAGUCAACAAAUCCACUUUUGACCGGAACCCACCGAAUAUUCAAGCUCUUUUUUCUUGCGUCGCUUUCAGACGUCCACCGCACGCCUUCUCGAAGAUAUUAGAUAAGAGUUUUGCUAAUAUAACUGUUUUUGCAUAACUGCUAGAGUAACGGAUGAGGAAUGGACCUGUUAAUAAUUUCAAAUUAUUUCUUAUCUUUUUUUUUUUAUGAUCUAGAGCAGAAUGUUUUUAUCACGGUGAAUUAAGGACAGUCAUUUAGGGCGCGUUUGGUUGUGUUUCUAUUUAAAAAUUAUUCCAGGGAACAGAAAUAGAAAAAAGCGUUUCUAUUCCGAGGAACAAUUUUUGAACAAAACAACGCGUUUGGUAAAUUUGUUCUGGGAAUAAAAAAAUAAACAGAAACAUGUUUGGUAAAUUUGGAUAAUUUUUUUUAUUUCUUUUAUUUUUUCUAUUUUUUCUUAUUUUUCCUUUUUUUCUUUUUUUCUUUUUCAUUUUUUUUCUUCUUUUGGCCGGUCGCCGGCCAAGGCCUUGGCCGGCGACCGGCCGGCGAGGCCGAGCUCGCCCAGCGGUGGCCCAGGCGCGGCCUCGCCGGGCCACCGCCAGGCGACGCCGACUCGCCCAGAUCCGGCGAGGCCGAGGCUCGCCGGCCGCUCGGCGAGCCUUGGCCUCGCCGAACCUAGGCGAGAUCGAGCUCGCCCAGGCCCGCGCGAGGUCGGCCUCGCCUUGAUCCGGCGAGGCCGAGCUCGCCCAGCGGCGGGCGAGGCGCGGCCUCGCCGAGCCACCGCCAGGCGAGGCCGAGGCUCGCCGGCCGCUGGGCGAGGUUGGCCUCGCCGGAUCUGGGCGAGAUCGAGGUCGCCCAGGUCGGCGCGAGGUCGGCCUCGCCCAGCUACGGCGAGCCUCGCCGUGGCUGGGCGAGGCCGCCGGCCAAAAGAAAAAAGAACAAGAAAAUAAGAGAAAAAAGAAAAAAAAUAAGUGUUUCUCAAAAGUGUUUCAGAAACAAGAAACACAAAAUUUGUGUUUCUUGUUUCAGUUUCUUUUUUGUUCCUGGGAACAAAAGAACAAAAAGGGAAUGUUCCUUUUUUGUUCCCAGGAACAAAAAAACAGAAAAAGUGUUUAAAAACAAAAAAAAGAAACACAAAUAAACGGGGCCUUAAUCAUUUCUCAUAUGAUAAAAUCAAUCAACUGAGAAACAAACCCGUAGUCAUAGCAAAUAUACUAUGUUCCCUCCUAACAGAAUCCAAACUUGAGUCGGAUUAAUGGGCGCAUCGGAUUUGAACAAAUCGAGAGGUUUGGAUUUCAUACACUUGCUAAAACUCGAGACAUAAUAUUACAAUUUUUGUUUGCAAUCAAAAAAGUGUUUUGUUUUUGCCCUCUGUAUUAUCCCACCAAAGUGGGUGAUCGACCAAUAUUCAAGCAAAUCUUCAAUCCAUCAUCAAAUUUAACUUAGAAUAACAUUAAGAGCUGCCACGGAGACAACCAAGUUGGAUAAUGAAAAAAAAAAAUAAAACAGAUGACAAAGGUCUCAUAUUUUUUUAAAACCUGAUUAUAGUAUCUUUUUAUCAUGAUAAGAUCAGUGCCAACUCCAAAAUCCAACUCCACAUUUUGGAGUUGGCCAUCUCGAUCUCAUCCCAAUAUAUUCACCACCAACAAACAAUGGUCAUAUAUCUUUGUCCGUGUGUAGAAUGUCUAGUGUAGUUGUUCCGUGCUAAGGCGAUGUAAUCAGAAUGGAUGCAAUGCUGACGGCAUGAGAGAGGAUACAGUAAGGACAUAUUUUAUGUAGUUGAUUACAAUGUAUAUAGAUUGGUAUUCAUUUUAUACGCCCUAUUACUUCACGACCUUUUCAAGGGAAAAAAAAUGUGUUGGUUUAAUUUCAGCACUGGUGUAUUUACACCAUAUUCAAGUACAAAUGUUCCGCCAAGAGCAUGAAUUUCAACACAGGUGUAUUUAAACCGAGUUUUGCACAUACCUACAAAUGAGUGUCAAAAUAAGCACUCACGAUAAGAGAGCUUAACCUCCCCUUUUUUUUUAUCAGAUGAUUUGCAAUAUUUUGUUCUUCUUACAACUCCCCAGAUUUGAUAAAAUUAGCUGGCAUUGAAAAGGCAAAGACAUUUUUAGUUUCACUCAUUUUAUAACCGUUCUACUUUUAGCUAUAAGGGACUUCCUAAAUCUAGCACCCCAUCAUCCACCGGGUAUUCGGUUCAUAUACUACUCAGAAUUACGAAAUGAUUUAACCAGAACCAAAGGAAGAAAACACAAUGUUACAAUGUAGAUUACCAUGGGAGGUGAGUAUCAAUUGGGUGAUCAUAUAUUGCUACUAGGUAAUUGCCUCGCAAGAUUACCCAGGAAAUGGAUAAUGGACUUAUGAGCCCUUUGCAACACCACACUAGCUUCUCUCUCGUUUUCGUUAGCAGCAGCUGGCUGUUCUUGAGUUGAAUGUACACUCCUCACAAGCUUUUGCAGCUCCUAUUGGAAGUACAACGUAGGAAAAUAUUCACCAUAAACAUGUUAACCCAGUACUAAUUUUGACAGUGCAAAAUAGUAGAUGUCAACUGCGCUAAGUACUAGCAAUUGGCAAAUGCAAAUCUCAGCGAUGGGUAAUGUGUUGCAUUGUGCACUGAAGAACAAUCUAAACAUAAUGAAGUUUGUGCAUGGCAAGGGCAGGCACAUACAUAAUGUUGUGCACGUUACAGAGGAAUAAAUUAGCCCGACCGGGGAUAGGCUUGUGCAAAUGUUACCUACAUGCCCAUGAAAAACCAUCAAUCUAGUUUACGUUGUCAAGAGCAGAAUGUCAAAUGAGAAAUUACUUUCUAUUUUCAGUACAUAAAACUGUCGACACUUGAUAUUGAGUACUUAAAUUCUUAGUGCUUAUUUUUUUUGGCUUAUCAAACGGGCUUUUAGGCUUCGAAUAUGUGGGCCUAGUUGAGCGCCCAAGAUCACACCAUAACUGAGAGAAUGUGAUGCAGGUGCAGAAUGGGUGAUUUGAGUGAAAUAAUGGAUGGAAUCAGAGUGUGUGGGAAUGAAUGUCGAUGGGCGGAUGCAACACGCACAUAUCAUGCCGUGAGGUCUAAACGUAUCUAAUUCGAUGAAUAAGGAUUCCAUGGUUCAGGACACUUGGUAGAAAUCAGCAGCUCUCGGUGAAAAUGAAGCCAGGAUUUUAGUGUAUGCUUAAGAGAUUUGUAACCAGCAAAGAGUGUUUCCAUUGGUUUCUUUACAACUAAGUAUCAAAUCAAUGACGUUCUGGUGAAACUUUCUUCUCUAGGUGAUUGGGAAGCGGACUUCUCGCACAGCCCGGACAUGCUGAACUCGUUUUCCUCUAAGAGGAUGCAAAUGAAACUUUGAAGAGCAGCGGAAGGCAAUGCAGAUUUUUUUUUUCAAGUGACCAAGUUAAAAACCAGGUACCCCCGCCUCUUCACCGUGUCCAUGUUCGAAAUCUUCUUUCUCUUUCGUCAUUAUCUUUGCCAACCCAGGCCUCCGAUACCAAUAAAGCUCGCAGCCUACUCUGGUCACCAUCUUCCGUGGCCUCAAUUGAAGCAUCCAUUAACUCAGGCUCCACUUCUCGCAGCAACUUCCCUAACAAAUGUGAUUCAUUAAGGAAGUUUACAUUGCACAACGAAUCAAUGACACCUCUCGUGCAUAUUUUGUAGAAUACAACUAAAUAAAACUGCUUUAGCAAAAAGGAAAAAAAAAAAAAAAGACAGAGACACUUAUGUUCCAUCUGGAAAUGAAAAAAAAAAAAAUUGUUCAGCAAGCAAAACUUCAGAUUUUUCAUACGGCUUGAGCAUUCAUCUAGGACUUUCCCGAGCACAUCAUUAGCAGUUACUGAUCAUUCAUCAAUAUAUGCUCGAGGAACUAUACUGCAAGUACCAUCCAAGCAUUUUAAAGCACAAGCCGACACACUCAAUUUCAAUCUAAGUGGGAAAAAACGGCAGUUGGGAAAGACCUGCUUACUCCAAGAACUAUUUUACCCACAAAGAACUCAUCGUGCAAUAGCCGAGCAUAGCAAAGAAGAUACCAGGUGAAGCCGCGAGAAAGGCGAAAGAUUCUCACAAACACACGUGUACACACUCGUAAAAACAUGAAUAAAAAUGUGAUAGUACCAAUGAACUUGAACUGCCUUCGCUUUCCUUCUCGAACAUACGGUUUCAGUCUCUGCAACAAAUCCACAAACAUGUCAACGGCAUUAACAAGUAAGAACUCAGACCAAACGCCUCACGAGAAACUGCCACAGAAGCAUCACCUGCGCAAGAAUCCAAGCGUCCAAGGCCGCUUGCUCCAGAGAAGCCACUCUGCAAUUCCCCUUUUAAAAAGAAAGCGAUAAUGAAUCUACAGUGCUGCAUUAUUGGACAUCAUUAUAUCCACGAAGCCCGUGAAAGCUCAAAAUGGCGCCGCCUCCAAGGCACGUCUUUUUUUCCCGUAGUAUCUGAGGAAGCGCUUGGAUCUGGAGAUGGGAAAAGGAAGCGACUUCCAUGCCCCAGGGGACGUCGCGGCCGAGCCUCGCGCUUCUUCUGGUUGAGGCUUUUCUGGGCGUCAGAGCCGUCAUCUUCUCGGGGGAUCGUACGGAGGCGGGCAGUUGGGGAAUCUGAGCCCGCGCGGCCGGUGAUGGACGUUGUUCCAAAGGGCGAAAGAGAUAUCUGGAUAAUGGCUCUCGCUUCAUUUUCCUGUUUUUUGGCUCUCUUUUUUUAAGCUGAGUGCUUGACAAAUUUCAUUGUUCAUCUUUUCAAUUCAACUCGUAUACAAUUACACCAAGAUACAAAAGAGAAGACGUUAAAACAAGCCUUCAUAAGGGAAAUGUCAUUUGAAGCUGGUUAGGUGACAUCUUUAUUCAGUGAACAUAUAUUAUCUCAACAAUUUCACCGUCCAUAAAACUUGAUGGCCUUUCACUUUGGCUUCUCCAUCCACUGGGCUACACUUUUCUCCAGCAUUCUCACGCCUUGUGAGAGCCAUUUGGGUCUUCUCAUAUCAAAUGCAGUGUACGCUACAUAAAUCCCAAUGACAAUUCCAUAAGCAUAACCUAUCCACAUUACUUUCUAUUUAAACCAACUCUCAUAUCUUUCACGGUCCUGAGUUGAUGAGGACGAUGGUGGAGGAAGUUAAGCAUUACCGAGGCAUGCUUUCAGCAAUAGAGUUCCACAUAAGCUUGGAUACCCAUUGAACGAUCCGCUUGAAAAGGCAUUCACAAUUUUUUUCUGAAUUUUUUAUAUUUUAUUUUCAUUUUUACCUUUACUUCUUUCUUUGCUUUUUCUUUUCUUUUCUCAUUAUGAUCAACGAGGGUCAUGGUGAACCUCGCUAGCCAUGAAAGACUCUCCUAGACUAGGCGAGAGCCGCCUCUCUCACAAUUAGUGGGGCCAAGGAGGCCCUCACCCGAGGCCUCCCCAAUGUCUUUGUGGCCUCGCUAGGCAUAGGAGGCUUUUGUUGCAAGCGAGGACCCUUCCCAAAUCUAGCAAAGGCAUUCACAGCCGGUGAGAGUCGCCGGUGGCCCUCGUUGGCCACAGUGGAAAAAAAAAAAGAAAGAAAAGAAACAUAAGAAUAAAAUUUUUAAAGAAUUACAAAAAUUGUUCACGUAAGCAACAGCAAUCAGUCAUGUCAUGUAGAACGACUAGCACCCACGUUAAUAAUUUCUAGCCAAAUAGACUCCUGGCAAAUUGUCAAAAGAUUUAAAACUAAAUUGAUCUAAUUCAAAUGAUUAAAAUCAAAUUUGCACGAGUACAAUAAAUUUAAGAUUUUUUUUUUAUAAUUUUUCUCGUCACUCCCUUUGUACAAAUAUUCUGGUGUCGACCCUACCCUAAUAUAUUCACCCCUAACACAACCGUCCUAGAUCUUUGUGCGUUUCUGUCUGUGUAUGCGUCUAUUUACAUAUAAUAUCUAGUGCACUUGUUCCGUGUUUACGGGAUGCAAUCGGAAUAGACCAAGGGCAUUGUUGAUUACCUCGUGUGCCGAUUGGUAUUAAUGUGGUAGGCUGCAUUCGCUCGCGACCUUCCCAGGCGAAAAAGGGUUUACUUAAGUGCAUAUGUACUUGUAUAGGAUUCAACUACAUCUGUACUGGCUGGCACCGGCAUGAAUAUUAUCCAGGUAGAUUCGAAUGCAAAAGCACAAACCGAGCGUCAAAAUAAAUAUUUACAAGAACAGAGCUUAACCUCCCUUUCUUUCUUUUUUUCUAUCAGACAAUUUGCAUUAUUUUGCUCCUCUUAUAACUCUCCGGAAUUGAUGAAAUUAGCAGGCAAUGGAAAGGUAAAGGCAAGUAAAUAACGUUUAGCGGCAUAACUAUUCUCUUUUGAGCCAUUGUGCAGGACUGAACCCGGCACUGAAUUAAAAUUAGCACCUCAUCAUCCACCUGGUACUCGGUUCAUACAUAAUCCUGAACCGUAGAACGAUUCAAACGGACCCUGGAAAAAGAAAAUGUAAAUGUUGCAAAAUAGAUUAGUACAAGAGGUGAGUAUCAGCUGUGUAAUCAUGUAUUGCUACAACAUAAUUGCCUCGCAAGGUUUCGGAGGAAAUAAGUAGAGGACUUCUGCGCCCUUAGGAGCGCUAUGCUAGCUUCUCUCUCGUUUUUCGCUGGCUGUUUUGAGUCGACUGUACUCUCCAUACAAGCUUUUGCAACUCCUAUAGGAAGUACGAGGUAGAAAAAUAUUUUGCAUAAACAUGGAAUCCAAAAUUUAUUUUGACAAUGUGAAAAUAGGAGAUGUCAACCAUGCAAACUCUUGGCAAUUGACAAAUGCGAGUUUCAGCAACGGACAAUGUUUGCAUGUGCACUGAAGAACGAUUUAAACAUGGUGAAGUUUGUCAUACCAGUUGGAGCGAUGAAACAGCCCGACCAACUAUAGAGUUGUGCAAAUGUAACCUACAUGCCAUGCGUUACCGUGUGUGGAAAACCAUCAAAUGGUCUAUGGCGUCAAGAGCUGAAUGUUAAACAAGUAGUUGAUUCAGCAGCAACCCAUGGAUAUUUUUUAUACAGCCGACAUGGAGUUGUUCAAGAUGCUAUAAAUGGACUGCAGAGAUUUGAAUGCUCCAAUAUAUAAAACUAAAUGCUCAAACGGUAAGAGAUAUGUCAACUUACUUGCCAGUCAAAAUCAAUGGUGUGAAUGGAGAAAACUUCAUUGGCCAUUUGAAUGUCUUUACUGAUUAAACCGUCAAACCACCUGCUUGCUAUGCUUGAAUACUCACAACACUCCUGGGAAUUGAAAAUUGAAAAGCAAGUCAACAUUGAGAAACCUGAACAGAUGCUAGAGAAGGAAGAUGGACAUUGUGUAGAACUAAAGUUUCAUGCAUGACCAAUGGAUCACAUCACUAAUGAACCACUUUUUCAAUAAACGUAUGAUUUGGCAUAUUUUAUGGGUGAUAAAGAUCUCAUACCAUCUCUGCCUAACAAAAAGUUGUUUAUCACGUAUUUUAUUUUUGGAUAAUUAAAAAAAGUUGUUCAUCAUCUAAAUCUGCGGUAUCGACAGUAACCUAUACAGCCAAGAUUCAACCUUGCUGUGCACUUCUAAAAAGGUAGGAGUAGCCCUUGACAAAAUUGGAAAUGAGAUAUUAAUGGCUCUAUUAUAGGAUACAGGUUAGAUGUUCUUGCUGAAGUUUUUUGCAGGAAAAACUGCUCCACACUAUUACUAAGUAACUAAUUUACACGAUACAUGUAAGACUUUGAUUUCGAAUUUUGGGUUUCAUCCAAGACCCUUUUGGCCAGUAUAGGGUAGAGAAAAUGGAUUCUGUUGCAGAAAGAUUCAUGUGAAGUCUGCUGACCAAAGUUGCACGGGGAAAUUAGGGAAGACAAACAUUGUGCAAGGUGGAGGAGGAAAUGGAUUGAUACUGCUUUCACAUCCAGUGUCAUUUUAAAGAAAAACGUAGAACAAGAUGAAAAUGCAGAAAAAGACAAAGAAAGUGAUGCCGUUUCAAAGAAAGGGACACAUGAAUUUAAAGGCAAAGGUGAGCUCCCACAAAGAUUGUGUCUUCUGAUAAACACUUUCUUUUAGACAAUUUUAUGUAAUUUUUUGUAUUAUAUGAACUAGACCAGAUUAUUUGGCACAUUAAAUGUUUCAAAUUUAUUGUAUCCUCUACGAUAUUGAAGAAAAAAUUUUUCCUUUCUCCCUCCAUGUACAUUCCCCGCGUAGCAUAUCUGCUUUUCCGCAGACUCAAAUCAUUUAAAUGUUAUGUCAUUAACCUAUUUAUUAUAUGUGGCAAUCAUCACUUUUAUUGCUGGGAUAUAGAAAAAUUGCCGUGCACGCACGUAUUAUGUUGUAUGGGCUAAUGUAUCUAAUCCCUGUAUAAGGUUUCCACGGCUUAGGACGCCCGUAGAAAUCAGCACCUCACAGUAAAUACGAAGACAGGGAUUCUAGUCUAUGCUUAGAUUUUUUAAUAAAAACUAGGGCACUAAGUAUCAAAUCAAGUCAGUACAGGUAAAACUUUCUUCUCUAGGUGAUUGGGAAGUCGACUCCUCACACAUCCCAUACAUGUUGAACUUGUUUUCCUCUAAAAGGAUGUAAAUGAGACUUUAUGUGGCAGCGGUAGGCAAUGCAGAUUUUUUUUCAACGACAAAGUUAAAACCAGGUACCUCCUCCUCUUGUUCUUGCUCGAAAUCUUCUUCUCCUUCAUCAUCAUCUUCGCCAAACCACACCUCGGAUACAGAUAAAGCUCGCAGCCUACAGUGGUCACCAUCUUUUGUAGCCUCAAUUAAAGCAUCCAUUAACUCGGGUUCAACUUCUCGCAGCAACUUCCCUAACAAAUAUGAUUCAUUAAGGAAGUUUACAUUGCAUAUUAUGGAUUCAUGAGGCAUCAAUGAAUCAUUGAAUCAACAACACCUCUUGUGCAUAUUUUGUAGAAUAAAACUAAAUAAAAAUGCCUUAGCGAAAAUAAAUAAAUAAAACUAUAAGAGAAAAAAAAAAAAAAAAAAAAACCAAAGACACUUGUGUUCCAUCUGGAAAUGAAAAAAAAGCAUUCAGCAAGCAAAAUUUCAAAAUUUUCGCACAGCUUGAGCAUUCAUGUACGCCUCUCCCGAGCAUAUCAUAAGCAGUUACUUAUCAUUCAUCAAGGUAUGCUCAAGGAACUGUACUGCAAUUACCAUCCAAGCAUUUCAAUAGUACAAGCUGACAUACUCAAACACAAUCUAAAGGGAGGGAAAAGGGGGCAGUUAAAAAAGAGCUUCUUAUCUUAAGAACUAUUCUUUUGGGCAACAACUUAUCGUGCAAUAGCCAAGCAUAGCAGAGAAGAUACCAGGUGGACCAGAUGUUCGCUUUCCUUCUCGAACAUCCGGUCCCAGUCAACAGCAUUAACAAGUAACAACUCAGACCAAAAGCCUUACGAGAACCAGCCACGCAUUGCAGAAGCAUCGCCGUCGCUAGCAUCUGAGCAUCCAAGGCCGCUUGACUCCAGAGAAGCCACUCUGCAAUUCCCCUUUUAAAAGAAAGGAUAAUGAAUCUACAGUGCUGCAUUAUUGACAUCAUUAUAUCCACAAAGCCCGUGAAAGCUCAAAAUCACGUCGCCUCCAAGACACAUCUUUUUUUCCCAGUAGUAUCUGAGGAUGCCCUUGAUUUGGGAAUGGGAAAAGGAAGCGAACUCCAUGGCCCAGGGGACGUCGUGGCCGAGCCUCGCGCUUCCUCUGGUUGAGGCUGUUCUCGGUGUCGGAGUCAGGUUCAACUUCUCGCAGCGACUUCCAUAGCAAAUGUGAUUCAUUAAGGAAGUUACACUGCACAACGAAUCAUUGACACCUCUCGCACAUAUUACGUAGAAUACAACUAAAUUAAACUGCUUUAGCAAAAAAAAGAAAGACACUUAUGUUCCAUCUGGAAAUGAAAAAAAGUGUUCAGCAAGGAAAAAUUUCAGAUAUUUCGCACAGCUUGAGCAUUCAUGUACUCCUCUCCCGAGCACAACAUCAGCAGUUACUCAUCUUUAUUGAUAUAUGCUCGACGAACUAUGGUGCCAGUACCAUCAAAGCAAUUUAAAAGUACAAGCUGACACACUCAAACUCAAUCUAAGUGGGGAAAAAGCUGCAGUUAGGAAAGAGCUGCUUAUUCGAAGAACCAUUUUGCCCGGAAAGAACUCAUCGUGCAAUAGCCAAGCAUAGCAAAGCAGAUAGCAGGUGAACCGGCAAGAAAGGCGAAAAGAUUCUCACAAACAAACACCUACACACACUCACAAAAACAUGAAUAAAACGUGAUAGUACCAAUGAAAUUGAACUGCCUUCGCUUUCCUUCUCGAACAUCCAGUCCCAGUCUCUGCGACAAAUCAACAAACACGUCAACGGCAUCAACAAGUAACAACUCAGACCAAAAGCCUCACGAGAAAAUGCCACGCAUUGCAGAAGCAUCACCUUCGCAAGCAUCCGAGCGUCCAACGCCGCUUGGUCCAGAGAAGCGAUAAUGAAUCUUAUUGGACAUCAUUAUAUCCACGAAGCCCAUGAAAGCUGAAAAUCGCGCCGCCUCCAAGACACAUCUCUUUUUCCCAGAAGUAUCUGAGGAAGCGAGGUCCAUGCCCCCAGGGGACGUCGCCGCCGAACCUCGCGCUUCCUCUAGUUGAGGCUCUUCUGGGCGUCGGAGUCGGAGUCGGAGUCGCUGCCGUCAUCUUCUGGGGGGAUCGUACGGUGGCAGGCGGUCGGGGAAUCUGAGCCAGCGCGGCCGGUGAUGGACGUCGCGGUGUGCCGAAGGGACCACACCGUUUGGAACAGACAACGGUGAGGAGCCGACGUUGUUCCAAAGGGCGAAAGAGAUAUCUGUAGUGGAUAAUGGCUCUUGCUUCAUUUUCCUUUUUUUUUUUGGCUCUUUUUUUUCUAAGCUAUGUGCUUGACAAAUUUCAUUAUUCAUCUUUUCAAUGCAACUCAUUCACCAUUACACCAAGAUACAAAAGGAGAAGACAUUAGAAACAAGCCUUGAUAAGGGAAAUGACAUUUGAUGCCGAUUAGAUGGCAUCUUUAUUUACUAAGACCACAUUACAUGGUUUAUAGAGACAACUCCUCAACAAUUUUACUAUCCAUGAAACUUGAUGGCGCUCUACUUUGGCUUCUCCAUCCACUGGACUGCACUUCUCUCUAGCAUUCUCACGCCUCGUGCGAGCCAUUUGGGCCAUCCUGUUUGAAUAGCAAUGUAUGCUAUGGAAAUCCCAAUGACAAUUCCGGAUGCAUAACCUAUCCACACUACUCUCUGUUUGAACCAACUCUCAUGCCCUCCGCGGUCCAAAGUCGAUGAGGACGAUGGCGGAGGAGAUUGAGCAUCGCUAGGGCAUGCUUUUGACAAUGGAGUUCCACAUAAGCCUGGAUUCCCACUAAACGAGUUGUUUAAAAAUGUGCUUAAUUGUUUAUCUUGAGGAAUUUGACCAGUGAGUUGGUUCUUCGAGAAGUUUAAGUACCCAAGAUAUCUCAAAUCUCCCAAUGCUCUAGGAAUUCUUCUAAUAAGCAUGUUCGAAGAUAGAUCAAGCCAUUCAAGAUUAGUUAAGUUUCCUAAAGUCAAAGGGAUGGAACUUGCAAGGUGGUUGUGAGAAAGGUUGAGCCCUAUGAGACAGCGAAGAUGGCCAAAAACUUCAAGAAUGUCUCCUUGGAAUAAGUUUUGUGAUAAGUCAAUGGUUGUGAAGAUGGUCAAGAUCUUCACUAGCUUUGUUUCUCUCCCCUUCAUCAUCACGGUCACGGUAUUUUCAUAUGACGACCCAAAGGAAAGGUAAUAUCGUGUCAUGUACGAUGGUCCGUAUCGCCCAUCUUCUGUAUUCUUCAUGCCUUCAAGGUUCAUUAUCAAGUUGGCUGGUAAAGGACUGCAAAAGUUGUUGUUCGAGAGAUCCAAAAUGCGCAAUUUCGUAAAGAUGAGAUCUCCCUUCCGAAUGUUCAAAGGACCCUUCAAAUUGUUGGACCUCAAAAUGAGAAUUUUCAGUUCUCAAAAUUUUCCCAACCAUGCCAGGAAUGUAUCCUCUAUCUGAUUGAUACUAAGAUCUAAAAUUUCCAGAUUUGUACAAUUGACAAGGGAUCGGGGCAACGUCCCUUCAAACCGAUUUCGGCUCAAGUCAAGAGUCGUUAAUCUAUGUAUCAAAGAAAUAGUUUGUGGAAUUGUGCCCUCCAAGUGAUUCAUUCCCAAGUUCAAAACCGAGAGAACAGUGCUAAAAUUUGUUAAGCACCAAGGCAAGCUACCAAUUAAGCUAUUGUUAGACAAGUUGAUCAUCUCGAGAUUGGUGGCGUUGCAUAUCAAAGAAGGGAUCAUUCCUGUUAUAACAUUAUUUGCAAUGGAGUAAUACAUUGUGACAGGAGACAGAAGUGGAAUUGGCACUCCAAAUUUGUUGUUGGACAAAUCUAUUAUGUGUAAUGAGGUGUUGGAGAAAACCUUCAUAGGGCACCAUCCAAUCAAAUUGUUGUUGGAAAUCAAUAAAUAUCUAAGAGCAGGGAAGGAGAGUUCAAAGGCAAUGAGGUUGAUCCUACCAUGAAAAUUGUUGGAUCGCAAACCAAGGUAAUGCAGGUGUGGUGCUUUCAGCCAAUGUGGGAAUAUAUCAUUAAACCCGUUGUAACCAAGUAAUAGUGUUGAUAAGUUUGCCCAUUUGACUAGGGAACGCGGUAAUGGCCCUUGUAAUUUAUUGCUAAUCAAGUUCAGAAGCUCGAGAUUGGUUAUAUUACCAAAACAUGGGGGCACAAUCCCCAAGAGAUUAUUGUAAGAUAAUGCUAGUUCUAGGAGUGAACUCAACUGACAAAUCGAAGAGGGGAUCUCACCGGUGAAACCAUUGUUCAUGGCAUAAAAGUAACGAGUAGAAGGUGAAGGGAUCGGGAGUGAUCCUUGUAAUAUAUUUCUACUCAAGCCUAGAUAGUCAAGAUUGCUUAUAUUACCAACACAUGGGGGCACAGUCCCCGAGAGAUUAUUGUCAGAUAAUGCUAGUCUUAGGAGUGAACUCAACUGACAAAUCGAAGAGGGUAUCUCACCGGUGAAACCAUUGUUCAUGGCAUAAAAGUAACGAGUAGAAGGUGAAGGGAUCGGGAGUGGUCCUUGUAAUAUAUUUCUACUCAAGCCUAGAUAGUCAAGAUUGCUUAUAUUACCAACACAUGGGGGCACAGUCCCCGAGAGAUUAUUGUCAGAUAAUGCUAGUCUUAGGAGUGAACUCAACUGACAAAUCGAAUAGGGGAUCUCACCAUUGAAACCAUUGCUCAUGGCGUAAAAGUAACGAGUAGAAGGUGAAGGGAUCGGAAGGGGUCCUUGGAGUGAGUUUUCUUGAAGGUUAAUAUACAACAACCGCUUCCAAUGUAGUUGGUGUAUACCUCCCUCCAGAAGGUUAUUAGAAAGAUCUAAAUGUUUCAAUGUAUGUUGGCUUAUUCCCCAAAACCAUCUCAGAAUCUCUCCACUAAUCUUAUUGUGAGAGAGGUUUAAGUAUGUUAAACUUUCUAAUGAAUUCAAGAAGUAGGGCAACUUGGUCAAAUUGCACGUUGACAUGUCCAACACUUGAAGCUUUGGGAGAUGGAGGGAAUUAUUGGAAUAGAGAGUGCCAUGAAUCAGAUGUUAGGCAAGAUAGAGACCGGUGACGUUACUGGUGACAUUGUCCCAAGUGACCUCAUCCCAUGAGCAGCAAUCUACACUCUUGUUCCAUGAUACGCCCAUUUCGAAUGAGCAGGGGUCUCAUGAGUAAUUGGUACAAGGCGAAUCAAGGAGGAAGGAAUUCUUAAAAUUGAGCAAGGCAUCACGCUGGUCAGGAGGGCAAAGGGGGGAGGUGAAGGGAAGAUGGGAAUGUAAGAAAAAGAGGAAAUAGAGGAGGCCAAAGAACCAAUGCCACCCCAUUUUGCAAUUUAGCACGUGAGCAGUGAGUUUACCGGAGGUGGAGAGCGCUUCCACUUAUAUAGCCUUUGUCAAGUGUGAAGUCACUGAAACAGGUCUUCACUAAGGUUCCAUUGGUGGGCUCACAACAUGUGUCACCUGUUUUGAAAGCUCUGUUACCUGGCAUACGAGUAAAUUUCAUGUAAGAUCUAGUUAGAAUGAUAUUUCAUUUCUCAUGGUUAAGGAAGAUCAGAUUUUCUAGCUAAGUCAGUUUAGUCAUAGGUACACAAGUGUGUAAAAUAAAUAUCCAAGUUAAAAGAAAUUUUCUUUCUAGACACAUACACUUUGAUUGUUCGUUAUUUUAGAUCAAUUGUGACAACGAUGGAUAGAAAGAAACAUUUAUUUGAAUUAGGCCUUGGGACCCUGACCCUUGGGGUCUACACUACAUCCUGAAGAUAAACGCAACAAUGACUUAACAACGAACAUAAUAAAGCGUAGAAAGAAGAGUACUAAUUUAUUAAUUUUUUAUGAGGCAAAGUGAUUGUUUUAUUAGUUAUAGUUUAGUAAUUUUACCAAAGUGACAUUAACUUUUCCGGUAAUCUAAUAAUUAGCGGUCAUAGACCAUAGUCGGGUAAAUGGGUUAUAAAUUCUCCAUAUUUGAGCUUUACAUUGUAGAAAUGUCCCUCCUAUUUACGACGUUCCUUAAUCAGUCCCACUUCGGGGCCUCAAAAACGGGUACCGCACUUGUUUGUGGAUGUUAACUUGGAAGGGUUUUCUUCCCAGCAUCAAUCGGCGCUGCAUUUUCUCGAUCUCAAUAUUCCAUGAAAUGAAUAAAAAUUGCUUUAAUUUAUUGAAACGUCUAUAGGCGACCUAACAAUCCACUAUAACUAAAUUGCUGAAGUUAUCACUACUAGAAAAACUGCCUAAGGUGACGAAAUUCGAUUCUGUCGCGGUGGGUAUGCCAAAGGCGACCAAAACCUUAGGUUGAGUUAAGGCGACAGUUGACUACGACAAAAAAGAAUCAUUGUCGCCUUACUUCCAAGUUGCUAACUCAACCUUUCAAAUUUUUUAAAUAUAAUUUUCCAUUUAGAAUUACAAGAUUUAAGAGUCACAAAAGAAAAUAGAAUUUAAACUGAGUUGUUCUACUUAUGAAGAAACCAAGAAAAGCUAACUAAUUGGCAACCCAUAACAACGGGAAAGCCUCCAAUAAUUCUGUCACACAUAAGAGUAAAUAAAGCCGAGAAAGUUAUUUGACACUUCACUGCAANNNNNNNNNNNNNNNNNNNNNNNNNNNNNNNNNNNNNNNNNNNNNNNNNNNNNNNNNNNNNNNNNNNNNNNNNNNNNNNNNNNNNNNNNNNNNNNNNNNNNNNNNNNNNNNNNNNNNNNNNNNNNNNNNNNNNNNNNNNNNNNNNNNNNNNNNNNNNNNNNNNNNNNNNNNNNNNNNNNNNNNNNNNNNNNNNNNNNNNNNNNNNNNNNNNNNNNNNNNNNNNNNNNNNNNNNNNNNNNNNNNNNNNNNNNNNNNNNNNNNNNNNNNNNNNNNNNNNNNNNNNNNNNNNNNNNNNNNNNNNNNNNNNNNNNNNNNNNNNNNNNNNNNNNNNNNNNNNNNNNNNNNNNNNNNNNNNNNNNNNNNNNNNNNNNNNNNNNNNNNNNNNNNNNNNNNNNNNNNNNNNNNNNNNNNNNNNNNNNNNNNNNNNNNNNNNNNNNNNNNNNNNNNNNNNNNNNNNNNNNNNNNNNNNNNNNNNNNNNNNNNNNNNNNNNNNNNNNNNNNNNNNNNNNNNNNNNNNNNNNNNNNNNNNNNNNNNNNNNNNNNNNNNNNNNNNNNNNNNNNNNNNNNNNNNNNNNNNNNNNNNNNNNNNNNNNNNNNNNNNNNNNNNAAAAUCUAUUAGUUUGAUAAAGUGCUUAUCAAAAAGGGAGAGUGGACUAGGGUUGGGAAUGUGCUUGGGAAGUUGUUUGCACGCCAAAAAGGGAGGGUGGACUCGGAUUGAUCGAUCUAAAAUUAUGGAACAAAGUUUUGUCAGGCAGUAGGCUUUGGAUCUUCAUAUAACCGCCUUGGAGAUCAUUUAACGAGAAGAGAUUCGACUUAACAAGAAGAGAUUCUUAGCCAUUAUUUAGGGGCUUAUUAUACUUCGAUCCAUCCACUAGAAAAAGCAAUGAGAUCCACCCCAUUUUUUGCUUCAGCAUGCGAGUAAAAGUUCUUCCAGUUAUACAGCCUUUGUAAAGUGUAAAUUGAUCCACGCAAGUCUUCUCUAGAAGGUCUGCUGGUGAGCUUCCCAAAUGGGCUAGCCGUUCUAAAAGCUCUAUCGGUGGGAUUGUUGACUAUGUGUUUACUAUAAUGAUGUUUCAAUAGCUGGGCUAGGAUGGAAUAUUAUUGGUGGUGACAUACCCGUCUUCUAAGGGUCCGAAACAGCUGUCAAACUAGGGAGAAGUUAUUUCAUGGGUUGAAUCCAAAUUUAUGUCCUUUAGAUACUCUCAAUGGCGACUCAUCGUGGGACAAACAUAACAUAUUCAUGAUGAAUUGAGGUUGUCGUUAGUCAGCCGAUUUGAAGAAUUCUGAUUCCAAGGUUGACCAGGUUUCAUGUCCUUUUGUUUUGGGCAAGAAACUUGUUCCUUAUUCAUGGGUUGAACCCAAAUUUCUGUCCUUCAGAUACUCUCAAUGGCAACUCNNNNNNNNNNNNNNNNNNNNNNNNNNNNNNNNNNNNNNNNNNNNNNNNNNNNNNNNNNNNNNNNNNNNNNNNNNNNNNNNNNNNNNNNNNNNNNNNNNNNUGCCGCCCUCGCGGCCACUGGCGAGGUGGCCGGCGAGGUCGACCUCGCCGGCCAUCGUCUCUGGCCGGUUGUCGAGCUCCGGCGACCGGUUGGAGGAAGAAGAUGAGAAGGAAAAAAAGAAAAAAAAAGAAAAAAAAAUUAAAAAUAUUUAAAAAUAUUAAAAUAUUAUUAAAAAUUGUACACGUCAGGGCCGAUCAAGCCACGUCAGCCAGCCGGCGUCCAAUCAGCAAAAUCCGGCCAAAAUUGGCCGGAAAGGACUAAAUUGGCACAACAUAAAAAGGUUUAGGACUAAAUCGGCACCAAAAAAAGGUUUAGGACUAAAUCGGCACAAAGCCAAAAGGUUUAAGACUUUUUUGGCACUUUUCCCAGCAUAUUACUCAACUCUAUCACCAUCUGAUAGAUGAAUUUAGAUAAUCUAUCGGGAAGUGUGCAAUCAUUUAUGAAUUUUUUCUUGAAUUUACAGAUACUUUGAAUCUCUAAAAUCUAUUAGUUUGAUAUAAAGUGCUUAUCAAAAAGGGAGAGUGGACUAGGGUUGGGAAUGUGCUUGGGAAGUUGUUUGCACGCCAAAAAGGGAGGGUGGACUCGGAUUGAUCGAUCUAAAAUUAUGGAACAAAGUUUUGUCAGGCAGUAGGCUUUGGAUCUUCAUAUAACCGCCUUGGAGAUCAUUUAACGAGAAGAGAUUCGACUUAACAAGAAGAGAUUCUUAGCCAUUAUUUAGGGGCUUAUUAUACUUCGAUCCAUCCACUAGAAAAAGCAAUGAGAUCCACCCCAUUUUUUGCUUCAGCAUGCGAGUAAAAGUUCUUCCAGUUAUACAGCCUUUGUAAAGUGUAAAUUGAUCCACGCAAGUCUUCUCUAGAAGGUCUGCUGGUGAGCUUCCCAAAUGGGCUAGCCGUUCUAAAAGCUCUAUCGGUGGGAUUGUUGACUAUGUGUUACUAUAAUGAUNNNNNNNNNNNNNNNNNNNNNNNNNNNNNNNNNNNNNNNNNNNNNNNNNNNNNNNNNNNNNNNNNNNNNNNNNNNNNNNNNNNNNNNNNNNNNNNNNNNNNNNNNNNNNNNNNNNNNNNNNNNNNNNNNNNNNNNNNNNNNNNNNNNNNNNNNNNNNNNNNNNNNNNNNNNNNNNNNNNNNNNNNNNNNNNNNNNNNNNNNNNNNNNNNNNNNNNNNNNNNNNNNNNNNNNNNNNNNNNNNNNNNNNNNNNNNNNNNNNNNNNNNNNNNNNNNNNNGGCCACAGUCGACUGGCAGUAGAGAAAUUUGAUCGACCCCAUCACGCACGUUAAAGAAGUCCAUCUUCAGUUUGACAAAUAAGGAACAAGUUUCUUGCCCAAAACAGAAGGAAAUGAAUCCUAUUCAACCUAGGAAUCAGAAUUCUUCAAUCGGCUGCCUAACGACAACCUCAAUUCAUUGUGAAUAUGUUAUGUUAGUCCCACGAUGAGUCGCCAUUGAGAGUAUCUGAAGGAUGGAAAUUUGGGUUCAACCCAUGAAAAUGGGCUGGACGGACAUCGUGACGGACAGUGAAAUCGAGUAUUUUAAUCAAGCCUUUCAUAAGUCUUUCUUUUAAAAGAUGAAAGACUCGUGGAAUACUAAGAUGCAAUAUAAUUGGUGGUGACAUAGCGACUCAGUCUAUGCAACCCUUCUGACAAGCCAAGUGAUCAACACCAAAGUCUUCUCUCAAAAGGUCUGUCGGGUGCGCUCAUGCCAAACAACAUAUUAUUAUAUUCCCCAGUGCUUUCACCGAAAGGCCACAUCAAAUGGAAUUGGAUUUCCAUGUAAAAAGCGUUCUAGCUUUGUCAAAAUUAAACAAAGUUUAGAAAAGGAGGCUGGGACAGAAUUUAUUAUCAUAUUCCCUGUCUUUGGAAUAAUUUUUUACCUCCUAAAAUAAGAAAGACAAACUUCAAUAGAAAACCUUGCCAUGAAUUACCCUUAAUCAAACCGGACCAUGUUUCUCGGUAUUUUUUUCUUCCUCUUUGCAUUGAUCCUAAAGUUACGUUCAGAGAUGACCCGGAAAGAAUAAAAAUGAAAUCAUCCAUCAGUUCGACUAGUAACGCCUUUUGAUGAAAUAUAACGCGGAAACUAAUAUUAGAUCUUGCAUUUUAAGUCAAUGCGAAAUUACUGAAGAAAUAAACAAGGGACAAUAAAGGAUAUAAAAAAUUUUAUGCUCGAUCCAAGUAUUGGUACUCACAUUUACGGGGAAAGCAAUAACAAAUAAUUCACUAUGAUCAGAUAAUCAAAAUUAUAAUUACCCACGUACUUGAGUAUUUUUUACAUUAUGCUUAAGCACAUAGUUUUUAUUAAUAAAAUAACUCAAUUGGACAGAAAUUCACAGCACAAAAUUCACCAUGGUCAACACUCCUCCGUGCGAUCGAAAAAAAGAGUCACCGUGCGACCCCUGUCUUACUUCGCGGUUCGUCUUUUUUUCUGGAGUUCACUACACGGCUUGAAGGAAUUCUGCGCGGCCAAAGACAGGUACUCCACCCUACAGGAUUUAUGCGUGCCCCUUUUUCUUGUUCCUUUUCUCGUGCGGCCUUUAGACGUCCACCGUACGGCUUGUCAAGGAAUUAAUUACAGCCAAUCAACAAAGAAAUAAACCUGCGAUCAAAGCAAAUAUACUCAAUCCUCAAUUAUCUAUAUCUAACAAAACCACCCGUCCAACAAAAUCCAAACUUGAAUCGGAUUAAUGGGCCCACCGAAUUUGAACAAAUUAAGAUCCUCCAAACAGCUCGGAUUUCAUACAUGGGCUAAACUGCGAGAUACAAUGUAAUACCUAUUGUUUGCAAUCAAAAAAGAUAUUUUAUUGUUGCCAGUGCAACAAUAUGCGGUGGCAUGCGUCCAAAGGAAAUGGCAUCACUCCCUUUGUAUUAUCCCAACAAAGUGGGUGGUCAAACAAUAUUCAAGCAAAUCUUCAAGCCAUCAUCAAAUUUACUUAGAAUGAUAUGAUGAGCUGAUGCAGAGGUGGAUAAUAGAAGAAAAAGAACAGAUGACGAUGGUCACAUAAUUUUUAACAUCUUAUUAUCUUAUCUUUAUAUCAUGAUAAAAUUAGUCCUAACUCCAUAUUUUGGAGUAGGCCAUCUUGACCUUGUCAUAAUAUAUUCACCACCAACACACUACAGUUCUAGAUCUUUGUCUGUGUAGAACGUCUAGCAUACUUGUUUCGUGCUUAGGUGAUGUAAUUAUAAUAGACGCGACAUUGAGAAUAUGAGAGAGGAUACAGUAAGGGCAUAUUUCAAUGUAGUUGAUUACUGUGUAUGCAUAUUGAUAUUUAUGUUGUACGCCAUAUUAGCUCACAACCUUCCCAGGGGAAAAAAUCUGGUGGUUUAAUUUCAGUGCAGGUGUAUUUGCACCAGAUUCAAGCACAUAUGUUCCGGCAAGAGCAUGAAUAUUACUCAGGUGGGUUCAAAUGCAAAGAAUAAACCGAGUUUUGCAUAUACCUACAAAUGAGCAUCAAAAUAAACACUCAUAAGAAGAGAGCUUAAUCUCCCAAUCUUUUUGCAUCGGAUAAUUUGCAGUAUAUCGCUCUUCUUAUAACUCCCCAGAUCUGAUAAAAUUAGCAGGCAUUGGAGAGGCAAAGGCAUUGUUAAUUUCGCUCUUCUUAUAACCAUUCGCCUUUUAGCUGUUGCCUAGGAUUGAAAACGGGACUUCCUGAAUUUAGCACCCCCAUCAUCCAUAGGUAUUCCUUUCUUAUACUACCCGGAAUCACGAAACGAUUUAACCAGAACCCAGGAAAGAAAAUGUAAUGUUACAAAGUAGAUUACCACAAGAGGUGUGUGUCAAUUGUGUGAUCAUAUAUCGCUAUUAGGUAAUUGACUCGCAAGGUUAUGCAGGAAAUGGGUAAGAGACAAACCAUGCUAACCUCUCUCAUUUUCAUUAGCAAUGACUGGGUGUUCUUGAAUAGACUGUACACUCCUCAUAAGCUCUCGCAGCUCCCAUUGGAAGUACAAUGUCACCAUUACCAUGUGAACCUGAAGAUAAUUUUGACAAUGCGACAUACGAGAUGUCAACCGCGCUAACUACCGGCAAUUGGCAAAUGACGAUGCACACUGAAGAACGAUCUAAACAUGGUGAAGUUUGUGCAUGGCAAGGGCAGGCACAUGCAAAAUGUUGUGCAAGUAAUAGAGAAAUGAAUUAGCCCAACUAACUGUAGGCUUGUGCAAAUGUUACCUACAUGCCGAUGAAAAACCAUCAAUUUGGUUUACCUUGUCAAGAGCAGAAUAUCAAAUGAGAAAUUACUUUCUAUCUUUAGCACAUAAAACCGUCCACACUUGAUAUUACAUACUUAAAUUCUCGGUACUUAUUUUUCUAGACAAAUCAAACGAGCUUUUAGGCUUCGAAUAUGCUGGCCUAGUUAAGCACCCAAGAUCACCCAUAAAAGAGAGCAUGUGAUAAGGGUGCGGGGUGGGCCAGUGUUGUUUUGAGUGAUAAUACAUGGAAUCAGAGUAUGUGGGAACGGAUGUCAAUGGGUAAAUGCAACACGCCCAUAUCGUGCUGUGAGGUCUACUUUAUCUAAUUCGAUGAACAAGGAUUCCACGAUUUAGAACACUUGUAGAAAUCAGCAGCUCUCGGUAAGUAUGAAGCUAGGAUUUUAAGUGUAUGCUUGAAAGAUUUGUACCCAGCAAAGUCUGUUUCCAAUCAUAGGGAAGUGGACUCCUCACGCAGCCCGUACAAGCUGAACUCCUUUUCCUCUGAGAGGAUGCACAUGAAACUUUGAGUAGCAGCGGUAGGCAAUGUAGAUUUUUUUUUUCAGCAACAAAUAAAAACCAGGCACCCCCUUCUCUUCCCCGUGAUCAUGUUCAAAAUCUUCUCCUCCUUUGUCAUUAUCUUCGCCAACCCAGGCCUCUGAUACAGAUAAAGUUUGCAGCCUGCUCUCGUCACCAUCUUUUGUGACCUCAAUUGAAGCAUCCAUUAACUCAGGUUCAACUUCUCGCAGCGACUUCCCUAACAAAUGUGAUUCAUUAAGGAAGUUACACUGCACAACGAAUCAUUGACACCUCUCGCACAUAUCACGUGGAAUACAACUAAAUUAAACUGCUUUAGCAAAAAGAGGAGAAAAAAAAAAAAAAAAAAAGCCACUUAUGUUCCAUCUGGAAAUGAAAAAAAGUGUUCAGCAAGCAAAAAUUUCAGAUAUUUCGCACAGCUUGAGCGUUCAUGUACUCCUUUCCCGAGCACAACACCAGCAGUUACUCAUCUUUAUUGAUAUAUGCUCGACGAACUAUGGUGCCAGUACCAUCAAAGCAAUUUAAAAGUACGAGCUGACACACUCAAACUCAAUCUAAGUGGGGAAAAAGCUGCAGUUAGGAAAGAGCCUCUUAUUCGAAGAACCAUUUUGCCCGGAAAGAACUCAUCGUGCAAUAGCCAAGCAUAGCAAAGCAGAUAGCAGGUGAACCGGCAAGAAAGGCGAAAAGAUUCUCACAAACACACACCUACACACACUCACAAAAACAUGAAUAAAAAUGCGAUGGUACCAAUGAAAUUGAACUGCCUUCGCUUUCCUUCUCGAACAUCCAGUCCCAGUCUCUGCGACAAAUCAACAAACACGUCAACGGCAUCAACAAGUAACAACUCACACCAAAAGCCUCACGAAACAGCCACGCAUUGCAAAAGCAUCACCUUCGCAAGCAUCCGAGCGUCCAACGCCGGUUGCUCCAGAGAAGCGAUAAUGAAUCUUAUUGGACAUCAUUAUAUCCACGAAGCCCAUGAAAGCUCAAAAUCGCGCUGCCUCCAAGACACAUCUUUUUUUCCCAGCAGUAUCUGAGGAUGCGCUUGAUUUGGGGAUGGGAGAAGGAAGCGAGCUCCAUGCCCCCAGAAGACGUCGCCGCCGAGCCUCGCGCUACUUCAUGUUGAGGCUCUUCUGGGCGUCGGAGUCGGAGUCGCUGCCGUCAUCUUCUCGGGGGAUCGUACGGUGGCGCGGCGGUUGGGGAAUCUGAGCCAGCGCGGCCGGUGAUGGACGUCGCGGUGUGCCGAAGGGACCACACCGUCUGGAACAGACAACGGUGAGGACGCGACGUUGUUCCAAAGGGCGAAAGAGAUAUCUGUAGUGGAUAUUGGCUCUUGCUUCAUUUUCCCUUUUUUGGGCUCUUUUUUUUCUAAGCUAUGUGCUUGACAAGUUUCAUAAUUCAUCUUUUCAAUUCAAUUUAUACACCAUUACACCAAGAUACAAAAGGAGAAGACAUUAAAACAAGCCUUGAUAAGGGAAAUGACAUUUGAUGCCAACUAGAUGACAUCUUUAUUUACUAAGACAACAUUACAUGAUUUAAAGAGACAACUCUUCAACAAUUUCACUGUCCAUGAAACUUGAUGGCCCUCCACUUUGGCUUCUCCAUCCAUUGGAUUGCACUUCUCUCCAGCAUUCUCACGCCUCGCGCGAGCCAUUUGGGCCAUCCUAUUUGAAUUGCAAUGUAUGCUAUAGAAAUCCCAAUGAUAAUUCCGGAUGCAUAACCCAUCCACACUACUUUCUGUUUGAACCAACUCUCAUGCCCUUCGCGGUCCAGAGUCGAUGAGGAUGAUGGUGGAGGAGGUUGAGCAUCGCCAAGGCAUGCUUUUGACAGUGGAGUUCCACAUAAGCCCAGAUUCCCACUAAAUGAGUCAUUUAAAAAUGUGCUCAAUUGUUUGUCUUGAGGAAUUCGACCAGUGAGUCGGUUCUUCGAAAGGUUUAAGUACCCAAGAUAUGUCAAAUCUCCCAAUGCUCUAGGAAUUCUCCCACUAAGCAUGUUCGAAGAUAGAUCAAGCCAUUCAAGAUUAGUCAAGUUUCCUAAAGUCAAAGGGAUGGAACUCGUAAGGUGGUUGUGAGAAAGGUUGAGCCCUAUCAAAUAGCGAAGAUGGCCAAAAACUUCCGGAAUGUCUCCUUGGAAAAGGUUGUAUGAUAAGUCAAUGGUUGUGAAGAUGGUCAAGAUCUUCUCUAGCUUUAUCUCUGUCCCUUUCAUCAUCACGGUCACGGAAUUUUCAUAUGACGGCCCAGAUACCUGCCCAGAUACCUGCCCAAAUACCUGCACAAUAAAAAGGAAAUUCUGUGUCAUGUACGAUGGUCCGUAUCGCCCAUCUUCUAUAUUCUUCAUGCCUUCAAGGUUCAUUAUCAAGUUAGCUGGUAAGGGACCGCAAAAGUUGUUGUUCGAGAGAUCCAAAAUGCGCAAUUCUGUAAAGAUGAGAUCUCCCUUCGGAAUGUUCAAAGGACCCUUCAAAUUGUUGGACCUCAAAAUGAGAACUUUCAACUCUGGAAGUUUUCCCAACCAUGUCGGGAAUGUAUCCUCCAUCUGAUUGACACUGAGAUCUAAAAUUUCUAGAUCUGUACAAUUGAGAAGGGAUCGAGGCAACGUCCCUUCAAAUCGAUUUCGGCUCAAGUCAAGAGUCGUCAAUCUAUGUAUCAAAGCAAUUGUUUGUGGAACUGUGCCCUCCAAGUGAUUCAUUCCCAAGUUCAAAACCAAGAGAUCAGUGCUAAAAUUUGUUAAGCACCAAGGCAAGCUACCAUGUAAGCUGUUGUUAGACAAGUUGAUGAUCUCGAGAUUGGUGGCAUUGCAUAUCAAAGAAGGGAUCCUUCCUAUUAUAACAUUAUUUGCAAUGGAGUAAUACAUUGUAACAGGAGACGGAAGUGGAAUUGGCCCUUCAAAUUUGUUGUUGGACAAAUCUAUUACUGAUAAUGAGGUGUUGGAGAAAACAUUCGUGGGCCACCAUCCAAUAAAAUUGUUGUUGGAAAUCAAUAAAUAUCUAAGAGAAGGGAAUGAGAGUUCACAGGCAGUGAGGUUGAUCCUACCAUGAAAAUUGUUGGAUCGCAAAUCAAGGUAAUACAGCUGCGAAUAGGUUAUGUUACCAAACCAUGAGGACACAGUCCCCGAUAGACUAUUGUUAGACAAAUCUAAUAACAAGAGUUUAGUUAAAUUACAAAAACAUUGGGGUAUAGUCCCAGAGAGAUUAUUGUUAGAUAAAUGUAAUUCCAAGAGUGAACUCGCCUGACAGAUUGAAGAGGAGUUCUCACCGGUAAAACCAUUGUUGUUGGCAUAAAAGUAACGAGUAGAAGGUGAAAUGAUUGGGAGUGGUCCUUGGAGUGAGUUUUGUUGAAGGCCAACAUACAACAACCGCUUCCAAUGCAGUUGUUGUAUAACUCCCUCCAAAAGGUUAGUAGAAAGAUCUAAAUGUUCCAAUGUAUGAUGGCUUAUUCCCCAAAACCACCUCGGGAUCUCCCCACUAAUCUUAUUGGAAGAGAGGUCUAAGUAUGUUAAUGUUUUUAAUGAAUUCAAGAAAUAGGGGAAUUUGAUCAAUUCACAAUUAGACAUCUCCAACACUUGAAGUUUCGGUAGAAGGAGGGAACCAUUGGAAUAGAGAGUUUCGUGAAACCGACUAUAAGUAAGAUCAAGACUGAUGACGUCACCGGUGACAUUGUCACAAAAGACUCUUUUCCAUGAGCAGCAAUCUACGCUCUUGUUCCAUGAGCUUUCGUUCCCAAUGGCAAUUGGAGGGGACCAGACACCAGUGAUGAACAACAACGGCAUUUGUAGAACGAAGGAAUGUUUAAAAUGGAGCAACGCAUCACACUGGUCAAGAGGGUAAAGGGGGGAGACAAAGGGAAGGGAGGAAUGUAAGAAAAAGAGGAAAUGGAGGAGGCCAAGGAUCCAAUGCCACCCCAUUUUGCAAUUCAGCAUGCGAGUGAGUUUAUUGGUGGUGGAGAGUGCUUCAACUUAUAUACCCCUUCUCAAGUGUGAAGCUAACAAGAGGUCCGUUAGUGGGCUCAUAGCAUCUGUAACCCGUUCUAAAAGCUUUGUUGAUUAGCACACGAGUAAUUUCUUGUAAGACUCGAAUAAAAUGAUUUCUCAUUUUCUCAUGAUUAAGAAAGAUCAGAUUUCCUGUCGAAGUUAGUUUAGUCAUAGGUACACAAAAAUAUCCAGGUUAAAAUAAUUUUUCUUUCCUAGGCAUAUACACUUUGCACCGUUCGUCUAUAUUAUAUCAAUCAUGACGAGAUUGGACUAAAAGAAACUUUAGAGAGAGGGUUAGUUAACGUAAGCUUUGUGACCCUGGCCCUCGGGGUCUGCACUACAUCCUGAAGAUAAACACAACAGCAACUUAACAUCGAACACAAGACGUGGAAAGAAGAGUAAUUAAAUAAUAACUUUUUAUGACGUCAAGUGAUUGUUUUAUAUAGCUAAGUGACAUUAACUUUUCCAGUGAUCUAAUAAGUAGCGGUCACAGACCAUUAGUCGGGGAAUUGGGUUAUAGAUUCUCCAUAUUUGAGCUUUACAUCGGAGAAACGUCCCUCCUAUUUGCGACCUUCUCUAAUCGGUCGCACUUCAGGGCAUCAAAAACGAGUGCUGCGCCUGUCUGGGGAUGUAACUUGGAAGGGUUUUCUUCCCAACAUCAAUUGGCGCUGCAUUUUCUCGAUCUCAAUAUUCCAUGAAAUGAAUAAAAAUUGCUUUAUAAUCACUUUAGCAUGGGAGUGAAAGUUCUUGCAAUUAUACGGACCUUAUAAAGUGUGAAGUCAUCCACGCGAGUCUUAUCUAGAAGGUCUGUUGGUAAGCUUCCAAACUGGGUUAGCCGUUCUAAAAUCGGUGGGAUUGUUGACUCCAUACAAUUACCAUCAUGAUGUUUUAUAGCUGGAAUUAUAUGAAAUAUUAUUGCUGGUGACACAGGGAUUCAACUCAUAUAACCCUUCUAACAAGCCAAGUGAUCAACACGAAAGCUUCUCUCCAAAGAUCUGUUGGUAGGCUCAUGCCAAACAAUUUCGCAGCGCGUUCAUCGACCUUAUAUUUACGUUCAGGGAUGAGCAAAAAAGAAUAGAAUUGAAAUCAUCCUUCUGUUCUAGUUCAAUAAGUAAUGCAUUUUGUUGUAAUAUAAUGCUGUAUCUUGAAAUUUAAGUCAAUACGAAAUCACUAAAAAAAUAAAUGAGGAACAAUAAAGAGUCAAAGAUUUCUGUGGUUCAGCUUAAGUGUCCGUACAUAUAUCCACGGGGAGAGCCAAUAGCAAAUAAUUCAUUAGAAUUGGAGAACCAAAAUUACAACCACUUAAAUACUCAAAUAUUUCCCUCCUAUUUACGACGUUCCUUAAUCAGUCCCACUUCGGGGCCUCAAAAAUGGGUACCACACUUGUUUGUGGAUGUUAACUUGGAUGGGUUCUCUUCCUAGCAUCAAUCCGCGCUGCAUUUUCUAGAUCUCAUUAUUCCAUGAAAUGAAUAAAAAUUGCUUUAAAUUAUUGAAACGUCUAUAGGCGACCUAACAAUCCUCUAUAACUAUAUUGCUGUAAUUAUCACUAGAAAAACUGCCUAAGGCGAUAAAAAGUUUUACGACAAAAAUAAUUUGGUCACCUUAGGGGCACCAGAGGAGACGAAAUUCGAUUUUGUUGCCGUAGGUAUGCCGAAGGAGACAAAAACUGGUUUCUAUCGAAUUAGGUUGAGUUAGGCGACGUUCGAUUGCGACAAAAAAAACCUUUGUCGCCUUAUUUCCAAGUUGCUAACUCAACCUUUCAGAUUUUUUAAAUAUAAUUUUCAAAUCAGAAUUACAAGAUUUAACGGGUCGCAAAAAGAAACAAAAUUUAAACUGAGUUGUUCUACUUAAGAAGAAAGGCUUAUUAAUUGACAACCCAUAACAACGGGAAAGCCUCCAGUAAUACCGUCAGACAUAGACAAUUCCUAUGUACAUUCGGAUCACGUUAAAUAUGUCCUAAUUGAUUGAUGUUACCGAGAGACUUUGAAAUAUAGUGGCGUAGUCCACUCCGCAUCGAUGGGCUGAUAUUGGUAGAAUUCAAUGUUUUUCGGUCAAGGACAGUGGCUCUAGGACAGCGGUGCACUUAAAUUCUAAUGUAAAGAAGUCAAAGUCUCCUUGAGAUGACAUUAGUGGGGUCACAAAUUCGAUUCUAUUGGUGGAUUUACUUGGAGUCUAGUCUUAGCUUCAAUUUCGGGACGGAAUCAAAAGACCUGCAUAAAGUCCUUGUGGAAAUGUCUGCAUAAUUGCUCGGUUGGAUGAGGAUUUGACGCCACCCCACCUUCCACGGCAGAAGGAUGCAUGAUUGAAGGGGAUUUUGCAAGAAUUGCAGGCUUGGGAUAUCUCUGCAUCUGGCAAGCCGCCCAUCAGCCGCAGAGACUAGAAGACGACAAACGUCUAGUUAAAUAAAAAUAGGGAUGCCCCAAUUAUCUGAUUUUGGCAUAAUUGAAGGCAUGUUUGGCAAUUUAAUCGGCAUCCUACUUUUCUUUUUUAAUUAAUGCUUGCCGUGCGAAAUCAAUUUUGUUGGACUCAGUGGAACGUGAAAACCAAGAAUCAAAUCAUCAUCAAUUUUCUCAUGCGAAUUGACUCUUGAUGACCCACGCUUCCAUAUUCUAAGCCAGAAACUCUGUCUUUACAUGGCAAAAGUAUCGUAAAACACACUUCAUUCUAUGGGACAACGUCCUAAUUACGGGGAAUAGAAAGUGGCUUCACAAAAAAUGAGAAUGCGCUCAAGUCGUCCACGUACUGCUUUUUAUUUCAUCCAUCCAACUUGCAAAGUCAAGUCUCCUCCGUUUUUCUUUCGGGGCAAGCCUCCAUGCAUUGUUCUUCACGGUUGUCGUAUGUCUUUUGUUGUGUAACUUCCAAUGUCAUCUGCAAAGAAACAUUGUCAUUUAUUUGUGUGUCUUUCUCCAACAAUUUUCGGACCGACGGCAUCCUUUAAUCACUCAAUUAAUUAUAAUUCAUGAUAGUACCCACAUCCUAAUAGUUGUUUUUCGGUCGAGCACAACGGCUGUGGGACGGUGAUGCACUUAAAUAAUAAAUGCUAAGAAGUCACGGUAUACUUAGGUCCACAUUUUCUCUUUUCAUCGAUGUUGGAUGAGUUGAAAAGAAUACAAAACAAAUCAUCCUUUAGUCUCAAUUCAAUAAGUAAUGCAUUUUGUUGUAAUAUAACGUGGAAACUAAUAUUAGAUCUUGCAAUUUGAGUCCAUAUGAAAUCACUGAAGAAAUAUAAAAGAAUACUAAAGGACAUCAAAGAUUUACAUAAUUUGAUUCGAGUAUCAAUACCUAUAUACAUGAAAAGAGCUCACAAUAGAUAAUCCAUCAUAAACGGAAAAUCACAUGCUCAAAUAUUUCUCCCAAAUUAGAUUAUACCCAAGCCUACAGUAUUUAUAAAUAAAAUAAUUCGAUUUGAUGUAAACUCACAAUAGAAAAUUCACCGUGGUCAAAACUCCUACAUACGAUCGAGAAAAAGAGUGUCACCCAUUGCGACCCCUUUCUUACUUCGCUGUUCGUCUUGUCGUGGAGUUCAUUACUCGGCUGGAAGGAGUCUUCCGUGCGGCCAAGCAAAGGUACUCCACCCGACAGGAUUCAAGUGUUCCCCUUUUUCUUGUUCUUUUAUAGAAGUCAACAAAUCCACUUUUGACCGGGACCCGUCGAAUUUCAAGCUCCUUUUCUCGCGUGGCUUUUAGACGUCCAACGUACGCCUGGAGUGUCAAAUAGGUAAAUCAAAUCGAAAAUGAUCCAAUUCAUAUUAAUCUAUCUUCAUGAAAUAUAAUUUCGACAAUCCAUACUUAAUUUAAUUCUAACUCGACUCAUACCCAAUAUAACUCAUAUUAUUAAAACAUAUUCAUACUUGACCCUUACCAUGAAAAUAAAUACCAACUCAUUUGAUCCACCUAAAGCUCUUCAUGUUAAUAACUUAAUAUGUUGUUUGGAUAAAUUCUUUUUUAUCAAAUUAAGACAGUAAAAUAACAAAAUAUGAAGAUGUAAGUAAAUAAAACAAAAAAUAUAAAUAAAAAACAAUAAAAUUAAAGAGACGCAAGGUGACUAUGGUCUUUUAUUUUAUUUUAUUUUAAAAAGAUGUCCUAACUUUUCUUUUCUUUUCUUUCUUCUUUCCUUUUUCUUCGCCCGUUUGCUGGUUAUGGUGACUAAUCACAGGUGAGCUCCAGCUUCGCUAUAGUACUAUAUGUGUUUUUGUUGUGCUUUGUCUUUUUCCCCCCUUUACCAGAAGUAAUGUAGCUUGUGCUCAUCAGAUUGAUUUGAAGAAGUUCAUGAAAUUUUCACAAGCAAUUUAUGAUGAAAGUUAUUUUUAACAUUGUGAUGUGAAUCUGUCCAAUUCGAUCUAAUUGGUCAUCCACGUGAUUUCCAGUGCAAGCAAGGACAGAGUUUCUUUUUAACAUUUAUACGAAGUCUCCAACGCAAUUUCUUUUCCACGUUCCCACUGAUCUCACAUGGCUUUUCCCACAGUCGAUGCAUUGAAUGAUUGUAUUGCGAAAGUUCGUGGAAAUAAAAUAGCUCAAUCAGAAGUAGACUCACAGCGCAAGAUCCGCCGUUGUCAACGCUGCUCCGCGCGAUCGAGAAAGAGAGUGUCACCCAGGGCGACCCUCCUUCUUACUUCGCUGUUCGUCAUUUUUUAUCUGGAGUUCAGGACACGGCUUGAAGGAAUUCUUCUGCGCGGCCAUCAAAAGGUACUCCCACCCCCACGGGAUUUAUGUUUUCCCCCUUUUCUCGUUCUUUUAUAGAAGUCAACAAAUCCACUUUUGCCCGGAGCCCACCGAAAAUUGAAGGUCCUUUUUCUUGCGUGGCUUUUACUCCGAUGGUGAGCCGUNNNNNNNNNNNNNNNNNNNNNNNNNNNNNNNNNNNNNNNNNNNNNNNNNNNNNNNNNNNNNNNNNNNNNNNNNNNNNNNNNNNNNNNNNNNNNNNNNNNNNNNNNNNNNNNNNNNNNNNNNNNNNNNNNNNNNNNNNNNNNNNNNNNNNNNNNNNNNNNNNNNNNNNNNNNNNNNNNNNNNNNNNNNNNNNNNNNNNNNNNNNNNNNNNNNNNNNNNNNNNNNNNNNNNNNNNNNNNNNNNNNNNNNNNNNNNNNNNNNNNNNNNNNNNNNNNNNNNNNNNNNNNNNNNNNNNNNNNNNNNNNNNNNNNNNNNNNNNNNNNNNNNNNNNNNNNNNNNNNNNNNNNNNNNNNNNNNNNNNNNNNNNNNNNNNNNNNNNNNNNNNNNNNNNNNNNNNNNNNNNNNNNNNNNNNNNNNNNNNNNNNNNNNNNNNNNNNNNNNNNNNNNNNNNNNNNNNNNNNNNNNNNNNNNNNNNNNNNNNNNNNNNNNNNNNNNNNNNNNNNNNNNNNNNNNNNNNNNNNNNNNNNNNNNNNNNNNNNNNNNNNNNNNNNNNNNNNNNNNNNNNNNNNNNNNNNNNNNNNNNNNNNNNNNNNNNNNNNNNNNNNNNNNNNNNNNNNNNNNNNNNNNNNNNNNNNNNNNNNNNNNNNNNNNNNNNNNNNNNNNNNNNNNNNNNNNNNNNNNNNNNNNNNNNNNNNNNNNNNNNNNNNNNNNNNNNNNNNNNNNNNNNNNNNNNNNNNNNNNNNNNNNNNNNNNNNNNNNNNNNNNNNNNNNNNNNNNNNNNNNNNNNNNNNNNNNNNNNNNNNNNNNNNNNNNNNNNNNNNNNNNNNNNNNNNNNNNNNNNNNNNNNNNNNNNNNNNNNNNNNNNNNNNNNNNNNNNNNNNNNNNNNNNNNNNNNNNNNNNNNNNNNNNNNNNNNNNNNNNNNNNNNNNNNNNNUUUAGACGUCCACCGCGCGCCUUCUCGAAGAUAUUAGAUAAGAGUUUUGCUAAUAAAAGUGUUUUUGCAUAACUGUGAGAGUAACGGAUAAGGAAUGGAUCUCUAAAUAAUUUUCAAUUAUUUGUUAUUUAUUUUUCUUAUGAUCUAGAUCAGACUGUUUUCAUCACAGUGAAUUAAGAAAAAUCACUUAAUCAUUUCUCAUAAAAUAAAGCCAAUCAAUUGAGAGAAAAACCCGCAAUCAAAGCAAAUAUACUCUAUUCCCACCAUACAAAAUCCAAACUUCAAUCGGAUCAAUGGGCACACUAGAUUUGAACAAAUCGAGAUCAUCCAAAUGGUUUGGAUUUCGUACACGUACUAAAACUCGACAUAUAAUAUUACACUUUUUGUUUGCUAUCAAAAAAGAUAUUUUGUUGUUGCCAAUGCAGCAAUCUGUGUUGAUAUGCGCUCUAAAGAGAUGGCAUCACUCCCUCUGUCUUGUUCCACCAAAGUGGGUGAUCAAACAAUAUUCAAGGAAAAUCUUCAAGCCAUCAUCAAAUUUAACUUAAAAAAACAUUAUGAGCUGCCGUAGAGACAACUCAAAGUUGAAUAAUAAAAGAAAAUUAAUAUAUGACAAAGGUCAUAUCAUUUUAUCGUAAUAAAAUUAGUGCCAACUCCAAAAUCCAACUCCACUUUUUGGAGUUGGCCAUCUCGAUCUCGUCCUAAUACAUUCACCACCAACAGACAAUAGUCAUAAAUUUUUGUCUGUAUAGAACGUCUAGUGUAGUUGUUCCGUACUAAGGUGAUAUAGUCAGAAUGGAUGCAAGGAUACGGUAAGGACAUAUUUCGUGUAGUUGAUUACGGUGUACGCGGAUGGGUACACAUUUUAUACGCCCUAUCACUUCAGGAACUGCCCAAGGGAAAAAAAUGUGUUAGUUUAAUUUCAGCACAGGUGUAUUUGCACCAAAUUCAAGUACAACUGUUCCAGCAAGAGCAAGAAUAUAAAUCAGGUGGAUUCGAAUGUGAAGGAUAAACUGAGUUUUGCACAUACCUACAAAUGAGUGUUAAAAUAAACACUCAUGAUAAGAGAGCUUAACCUCCCAUUUUUCUUUAUAAGAUGAUUUGCAGUAUUUCGUUCUUCUUAUAACUCCCCAGAUUUGAUAAAAUUAGCACGCAAUGGAGAGACAAAGACAUUUUUAGUUUUGCUCAUCUUAUAACCAUUCUCCUUUUAGCUAUAAGGAACUUCCUAAAUCUAGCACCCCAUCAUCCACCGGGUAUUCAGUUCAUAUACUACCCAGAAUUACAAAAUGAUUUAACUGGAACCCAAGGAAGAAAACAUAAUGUUACAAUGUAGAUUACCACGAGAGGUUAGUAUCAAUUGGGUGAUCAUAUAUUGCGACUAGGUAAUUGCCUCGCAAGAUUACCCUAGGAAACGGGUAAGGGACUUCUGAGCCCUUUGCAACACCAUGCUAGCUUCUCUCUCAUUUUCGUUAGCAGCAGCUGGCUGUUCUUGAAUCGAAUGUACACUCCUCACAAGCUUUUGCAGCUCCUAUUGGAAGUACAACGUAGGAAAAUAUUCACCAUAAACAUGUUAACCCAGUACUAAUUUUGACAAUGCAACAUAGUAGAUGUCAACCGCGCUAAGUACUGGCAAUUGGCAAAUGCAAAUCUCAGCAAUGGGCAAUGUGUUGCAUUGUGCACUGAAGAACGAUCUAAACAUAAUGAAGUCUGUGCAUGGCAAGGGCAGGCACAUACAUUAUGUUGUGCACGUUACAGAGGAAUGAUUUAGCCCAACCAGGGAUAGGCUUGUGCAAAUGUUACCUACAUGCCCAUGAAAAACCAUCAAUCUAGUUUACGUUGUCAAGAGCAGAAUGUCAAAUGAGAAAUUACUUUCUAUUUUUAGUACAUAAAACCGUCGACACUUGAUAUUGAAUACUUAAAUUCUUAGUGCUCAUUUUUUUUAGUCUUAUCAAACGGCCUUUUAGGCUUCGAAUAUGUGGGCCUAGUUGAGCGCCCAAGAUCACCCAUAACUGAGAGAAUGCGAUGCAGGUGCAGAGUGGGUGAUUCUUGUUUUGAGUGAAAUAAUGGAUAGAAUCAGAGUGUGUGGGAAUGAAUGUCGAUGGGCAAAUGCAACACGCACAUAUCAUGCCGUGAGGUCUAAACGUAUCUAAUUCGAUGAAUAAGGAUUCCAUGGUUCAGGACACUUGGAAGAAAUCAGCAGCUCUCAGUGAAAAUGAAGCCAGGAUUUUACCGUAUGCUUAAGAGAUUUGUAACCAGCAAAGAGUGUUUCCAAUGGUUUCUUGACAACUAAGUAUCAAAUCAAUGACGUACAGGUGAAACUUUCUUCUCUAGGUGAUUGGGAAGCGGACUUCUCGCACCGCCCGUACAUGCUGAACUCGUUUUCCUCAAAGAGGAUGCAAAUGAAACUUUGAGUAGCAGCGGAAGGCAAUGCAGAUUCUUUUUUUCUUUGUCAAGCGACGAAGUUAAAAACCAGGUAUCCCCUCCUCUUCCCCGUGUCCAUGUUCGAAAUCUUCUCUCUCUUUCGUCAUUAUGUUUGCCAACCCAGGCCUCCGAUACCAUUAAAGCUCGCAGCCUGCUCUGGUCACCAUCUUCCAUGGCCUCAAUUGAAGCAUCCAUUAACUCAGGCUCCACUUCUCGCAGCAACUUCCCUUUAAGGAAGUCACAUUGCACAACAAAUCAAUGACACCUCUCGUGCGUAUUUUGUAGAGUAUAACUAAAUAAAACUGCUUUAGCAAAAAGAAAAGGAAAAAAAAAAAAAAGACGGCUUGAGCAUUCAUCUACGACUUUCCCGAGCACAUCAUUAGCAGUUACUGAUCAUUCAUCAAUCUAUGCUCGAGGAAGUAUACUGCAAGUACCAUCCAAGCAUUUUAAAGUACAAGCCGACACACUCAAUUUCAAUCUAAGUGGGAAAAAAGCGGCAGUUGGGAAAGGGCUGCUUACUCCAAGAACUAUUUUACCCACAAAGAACUCAUCGUGCAAUAGCCGAGCAUAGCAAAGAAGAUACCAGGUGAAGCGGCGAGAAAGGCGAAAAGGUACUCACAAACACACACACACACACACACUUAAAAACAUGAAUAAAAAUGUGAUGGUACCAAUGAAAUUGAACUGCCUUCGCUUUCCUUCUCGGACAUCCGGUCCCAGUCUCUGCGGCAAAUUAACGAACAUCACAACGGCAUGAACAAGUGACAACUCAGACCAAAGGCCUCGAGAGAAACAGCCACGCAUUCCAGGAGCAUCGCCUUCCCAAGCAUCUGAGCGUCCAACGCCGCUUGACUCCAGAGAAGCCACUCCGCAAUUCCUCUUUUAAAAGAAUGGAUAAUGAAUCUACAGUGCUACGUUAUUGAACAUCGUUAUCUCCACGAAGCCCGUGAAAGCUCAAAAUCGCGCCGCCUCCAAGACGCAUUUUUUUUCCCCAGCGCUCGGAUCUGGGGAUGGGAAAAGGAAGCGAGUUCCAUGCCCCAAAGGCUCUUCUGGGCGUCGGAGUCGGAGUCGGAGUCGCUGCCGCCAUCUUCUCGGGGGGAUCGUACGACGGCGGGCGGUUGGGAAAUCUGAGCCCGCGCGGCUGAUUAUGGACGUCGCGGAGUGCCGAAUGGACCACACCGUCUGGAACAGACAACGGUGAGGACGCGACGUCGUUCCAAAGGGCCAAAGAGAUAUCUGUAGUGGAUAACGACUCUCGCUUCAUUUUCCUUUUUCUUUGGCCUCUUUUUUUUUUUUUUUUUUUUGGAGCUGUGUGCUUGACAAAUUUCAUUAUUCAUCUUUCCAAUUCAACUCAUAUACAAUUAUACCUUAGUUUAAGAACGGAGUAGGUUUUUAAAAUACUCAACGAAAAGAAAUAAACGGGAGAUCUAUCCUAUAGAAAGACCCCGUAAUGUCACACCUGUAUUUCCUCUCAAUUGGGAAAAAAAAUUAAUUAGAAAUUAGGAGGCCAUGUGGUAGUGAAGAUAAAUACCAUGUCAGGAACUUCAAUUCUUAACUACCGUCAAAUAAGUGGGUAUAAUAGCCUUCUACACCUAGGGUAAGAAGAGGUGGGUGAAAGGCCCAUUGCAGAGUUAACACACCCUUACGAGCAAAGUCAAAUUGACCAACCGCCAACUCUAUAUCCCCAGUUAAUUUGACUUUGCCUACAAAAUACAAAAAAAGAAGACAUAAAAAACCAAGCCUUCAUAAGGGAAAUGACAUUUGAAGCCGAUUAGGCGACAUCUUUAUUCACUAAACCUACAUUAUAUGGUUUAAAGAGACAACUUCUCAACAAUUUCUCUGUCCAUGAAACUUGAUGGCCUUCCGCUUUGGUUUCUCCAUCCACUCGGCUACACUUCUCUCUAGCAUUCUCACGCCUUGCACGAGCAAUUUGGGCCUUCCUAUUUCAAAUGCAAUGUAUGGUAUGGAAAUUCCAAUAACAAUUCCAAAGGCAUAAUCUAUCCACAGUACUUUCUUUUUGAACCAACUCUUAUGUCCUUAGCAAUCAAAAGGUGUUGAGGACAAUGGUGGAGGAGGUUGAGCAUCGCCAGGGCAUGCUUUUGGCCAUGGAGUUCCACAUAAGCCUAGAUUCCCACUAAAUGACUAGCUUGAAAAUGUGCUUAAUUGCUUGUCUUGAGGAAUUUGAGUAGUGAGUUGGUUCUUCAAGAGGUUUAAAUACACAAGAGAUGCCAAAUCUCCUAGUGCUCCCCCGUUAAGCAUUUUCAAAGAUAGAUCAAGCCAUUCAAGUUAGUCAGGUUUCCUAAAGUUAGAGGAUGGAACCAAUAAGGUGGUUGUGCGAAAGAUUGAGCCCUAUGAAAGAGUGAAGAUGGCCAAAAGCUUUAGGAAUGUCUCCUUGGAAAGAGUUGCGCGACAAGUCAAUGGUUGUGAGGACAGUCAAUAUUUUCACUAGCUUAAUCUCUAGCCCUUUCAUGGUCACGAUCACAAAAUUGUCAUAUGACUCCCCUCACAAAAACUUUGUCAUAUACAAUGAUUUGUCUUGCCCAGUUUCGCCAUUCACUAUGGCUUUAAGAUUCAUUAUCAAGUUUACUAGCAAAGAACCACGAAAGUUUUUGUUAGAGAGGUCCAAAAUGUGUAACUUCGCAAAGAGGUGAACUCCCUUAGGAUAUCCAAAAGAUCCUUAAAAUUGUUGGACCUCAAAAUGAGAACUUUUAGUUCUAGGAGUGCUCCCGACCAUCUCGGGAAUAUAUCCUCCAUAUGAUUGUCACUCAAAUCUAGAACUUCUAGAUUUUUACAUUUGACGAGGGACCGAGGUGAUGUGUCUCUAAACCAAUUUCAACUCAUGUCAAGAGUUGUCAAGCUAUUUUGAAAGAAAAUGAUUGAGAACUUAUGCCCUCAAGAUGAUUCAUUCGCAAAUUCAAAACUGAUAGGUCAGUGCUAAAAAUUGUUACGCAUCGAGGCAAGCCACUUGUUAAGCCAUUGUUGGACAAGUUGAUGACCUUGAGCUGGGUGGCAUUGCAUAUCAAAGAAGGAAUCUUUCCCAUUACGUUGUUACUUGCAAUAGAAUAAUAAAAUGUGACACAUGAUGUAAGUGGGAUUUGGCCUCCAAACCUGUUGUUGGACAAAUCUAUUAUAGUCAAUGUGGUGUUUGAGAAAACCUUUGUGAGCCACCAUCCUAUAAAAUUGUUAUCGGAAAUAAAUAAAGAUUCAAGAGCAAGGAAGGAUAGCCUAAAAGAGUGAGGUUAAUCUUACCAUAAAAUUUGUUGGAUUGCAAAUCAAGGUAUUCCAGAUGCGAUGCUUCCAACCAUCAUGAGGGGAUAUCACUAAACUCAUUGUGACCAAGAAGUAGUGUUUCUAAGUUCAUGCAUUUGACUAGGGAGCACGGUAAUGGCCCUUUUAAUUUAUUUUUUCCCAAAUCUAGACUUUGGAGAUAAAUUAUAUUACCAAAAAAUGGAUGUAUAUUCCUAAAGAGAUUAUUGUUAGACAAAUUUAGAGACAGAAGUGAACUCAACUAGCAAAUCGAAGGAGGGAUCUCAUCGGUGAAACCAUUGUGUGAGGCAUCAAAGUCAAGUAUAGAAGGUGGAGGCAUUAGGGGUGGUCCUUGGAGUGAGUUGUUGUGAAGGUCAAUAUAUGACAAACUCUUCCAAUGUAUUUGUUGUAUACCUCCCUCUAGAAAGUUUUGAGAAUGAUCUAAUGCGUCCAAUGUAUCAUGAUUUAUUUCCCAAAACCACUUCAGGAUCUCCUCACUAAUCCUAUUGCACGAGAGGCCUAAGUUUGUUAAUCUUUUUUUAACAAAUAUAAGAAAUAAGGGAACUCGGUCAAGUUGCACGAAGUCAACUCCAGCCAUUGAAGAGAAAAGGAUGAAAGAGAGAGAUUCUAAUAAGUCACUUUUGGUAAUGUACUCAGAUUAUGUGAAAUGUGGGAGCGAGCAAGGUCAUUACUAGAAAGGUCGAGCAUCCAAAGAUGGUGAAGGAGAAGGAGGGAGCUAUUAGGGUGGAGAGUGCUGCAAAGCCAACUGCAAGCAAGAUCGAGAGUAAUAACAUUACCAGUAACAUUGUUGCAAAUUACACCAUGCCACAAGUAGCAAUCUACGUCCUUGUCCCAUGAGUUUGUCUUUGAAGAAGAGUGGUAACAAGAGUCUGAUGCCAUGUUAUCAAGCGUGAAGGAGUUUUUAAAAUGGAGCAAGGCGUUGCGCUAGUCAGAAGGGCAAUGGGAGUGUGGGAAAGGAAGGGGAGGAACGUAGAAGAGGCGAAUGAGAGAAAAAGAGAAAACAAAGUAGGUCGAGGAUAUGAUGCCACCCCAUGAUGCGAUUUAGCAGGCAAGUAAGUGCUCUGACUUCUAAAAUGUGAAGUGAUGGACACCAAGUCUUCCUAUACGACGAGUUCGACAUGUCUUGUGGGUUGUGAAUUAAUUUAAUAUGCCUAUAUCAACCCACUAUUACACCCACCCCAUUUUUCUGUAGUCCUCUAUUAAUCUUAACCCACAUCAGAAAAUGCUAUUAGAUCCUCCCCAUUAUUCAGUCUAGCAUCCGAGUGAGUUUAUUGGUGGUUGGGAUAGGAAUUUAACUCAUAUAGCCCUUUUAAUAAGCCAAGUUCUCUCCACACGUCUGCUCUCAAAGGUCCGUCGGAAGGCUUGUACUAAAUAUAAUUUUGUAGGCUGCAUUCGCUCGUGACCUUCCCAGGUGAAAAAGGAUUAACCUCAGUGCAUAUGUACUUGUAUAGGAUUCAACUACAUCCGUACUGUCUGGCACCAGCAUGGACGUUACCCAGGUAGAUUCGGAUGCAAAAGCAUAAACUGGGUGUCAAAAUAAACAUUUAUAAGAACAGAGCUUAACCUCCCAUUGUUUUUUCUAUCAGACAAUUUGCAUAAUUUCCCUCCUUUUAUAACUCUCCGGAAUUGAUAAAAUUAGCAGGCAGUGGAAAGGUAAAGGCAAAUGAAUAACGUUAGCGGCAUAACUAUUCUCUUUUGAGCCAUUGCGCAGGACUGAACCCAGCACCUAAUUAAAACUGGCACCCCAUCAUCCACCUGGUACUCGGUUCAUCCAUAACCCUGAAUCGUAGAACGAUUCAACCGGACCCUGGAAAGAGAAAAUGUGAAUGUUACAAAAUAGAUUAGUACAAGAGGUGAGUAUCGACUGUGUAAUCAUGUAUUGCCACAACAUAAUUGCCUCACAAGGUUUCGGAGGAAACGAGCAGGGGACUUCCGUGCCCUUAGGAGAGCUAUGCUAGCUUCUCUCUCAUUUUCGGCUGGCUGUUCUUGAGUCGACUGUACACUCUGUACAAGCUUUCGCAGCUCCUAUAGGAAGUACAAGGUAGAAA